Molecule: long non-coding RNA, 153898 nt
Filed under: Citrus x clementina
Lineage: Eukaryota; Viridiplantae; Streptophyta; Magnoliopsida; Sapindales; Rutaceae
Description: Citrus clementina (C. clementina) long non-coding RNA (CCLE_LNC002335)
Rfam family: Small nucleolar RNA Z247 (bases 1616-1752)
Source: RNAcentral
CCUUGAAAAUAUUCCCAACCCAUUGCACUGCAAUUACGAUCGUAAGUACGAUUGCACUGCAAUUUCGAAGCUUCUUCUCCUGCAUUUUUGUUAUUUGCUAUGAAGUGAUAUUCGUAAGUAUGAUUGCAUUAAGCUGCUGCUGGGAGAUAUGAGGUUUUGAUGGCUGCCCAUGCUAUUGUUAGAAGCUGCGGUUCUUUUUCAUCAGCCUGAACCUGGACCUGUCGUUUCCACUGUUUUGAAACUCUUAAGAUUAAACUUUAGUAAAGUUGUUUUAGUUAUCGAUGUAAUCAGGCUGAGGAUACUUAGCUGCCUAUUUAGGCAAAUGUCAGAAUUUAGUUUGUUCGCUGGGAACUGGUGUGGUAACAGCGUCCUGGCAAAGGAUGAUGAGAUAGUUUUUUGAUUGAGUAAAUUUUGGAAGCUUGAGUGUAUUGGGAUUUGCAAUUACAAUCAUCCUCUGCCUCAGGUGAUUUCUUCUCCUGCCCUAUCGUUGUUUGUUCUUUAAUUCAAAGUUAUAAAAUAUUUCAAUCAAAUUUUAUGCCAGGAAUAUGCAAAAGUUUCUAAUAUUUUAUUUCCAUCUGUUUGCCUUGAUAACUUUGCGGCAUAUGUGCUAGUUAAAGAACAAAUCGAAACAGAGCUCAGUUAAAAGUUUCUUCUGCCGUCAUAUUUGAAAAAUGAAACCAUUUCCAAGAAGCAAUGGGUGUUAAGGAAGCUCACAUGAGCAGAGUAGUCAGUGGAGCAGAGGAUUGCAACACCUGCAGCUUGCUGUUACAGGUUGAUGACAUGGCUUGCCAGCUGGAGCCUGGUGGUUAUAUAGUCUCUUGCACACGUGAAGAUUAACAGAGUUUGUUAUAGUAUUUCUUGUGCUUGUAAUUCGGUUUUAAUUAGUUAUAACCAGCUGAUUAGCACUUGCAAUUAGUUGAGAAUUAGUUCUAAUUACUACUGAUGUAUAUAAACAGAAGUAUGUACAGAUUCAGUCAAUUAAUGACUUGAGAUAAUAAAAACGAAGAAAGAGUUUUAGAAUUCUCUUAUUUUCCUUUAAGUUUUCUCUGUUUCCAAACAUCAUUGAAUUGUUACUUGGUAUCAGAGCCAACCAAUAAUGGCGUCUGUUAAUCUUGCUUCUUCUUCCUCAAUUCCAACUCUUAAUCAUGCUACAAAUUCAACAACUGUUUCCUUUACCUUUAACACACCAGUCAAGCUUGAUUAGUCCAAUUGUCUCAUAUGGCGAUCUCAAGUCCUAGCCUCAAUUCGUGGAAACAGGCUCGAAAAGUUUAUUGAUGAUGCAGUCACUCCACCUCCAUCUCAUAUAGCUCAGAGAGUUGAUGAUGAACUCAGAUCUGUGGAGAAUCCAGAAUUCGCAACAUGGAGAUCUCAAGAUCAGGUGCUGCUUGGAUGGCUGCUCUCUUCGAUGAGUGAAGGAAUCAUCAGUCUAGUGUUUAACCUGGAAUCAUCACUUGAAGUGUGGAAAGCUAUUAAGGUACAAUUUGGCUCGCAAUCUAAAUCCAGACUUUUACAUCUGAGAUACAUGAUGAAUUCAACAAGGAAAGAUUAUAUGAAAAUCAUAGACUAUUUUAUUAAGAUGAAAAACAUAGCUGAUAAUAUGGCAGCAGCAGGAAGUGCUUUAAGUAGUGAUGAUAUGAUUUUACAUGUAUUAUCUGGCCUAGGACCAGAUUAUAAUUCAGUAGCUACUUACAUUACUGGUCAAGUAGGAGUUGGUAAAAUGAAUGUAAAUGAAGCCUAUGCUAUGCUGUUAACUCAAGAGGCUAGGAUUGAACAACAAUCACAAAUGCUUGCUGGUGUGGAUAUGAAAAACAAUUUUGAGGCAAAUUAUGCUCAAAACAGAGGAGUAAAGAAGGGAAACAUAUCAGGUGGAAGAGGUUUUGGUGGUUAUGGCUAUAACUCUGGGUUUGGAAAAGGUGGUUAUUACAAAGGAAACUUUGGCACUGAAUCUGCUGGUGGUGGUACUGGUUUUAAUAGUCAGUUCAAAGGUUAUCAAUCUGGUAAUCAAAGAGGAGGAGGAGGAGGAAACUGGAACAAUAACACUAGAAUUAACAAUUUUAACAAUGGGAAACCACCUAUGAACUCUAAACCUCAGUGGAAUACUUCUAAACCUACCUGCCAAAUCUUCCUCAAGCCUGGACAUACUGCAAACAUUUGUUGGAAGCUGGAAGAAUUCAUUGCUUCAGGCUCUUACAGAUCACCUCCAAAUAGAGGACCAAAGGCUGCCUAUUUAGCCAACAUGGAUGCUCCAGCUGAUACAAAUUGGUAUCUUGACAGUGGUGCUACACACCACCUCACUAAUGAUAUGAGCAAUAUGAAUAUGGCUGAACCUUUUACAGGUAUUUCUAAACUUGUCAUUGGUAAUGGUGUUGGUUUAUUCAUAACACAUACAGGUUCUGCUGUUUUGAGAAUGAAAAGCUCUAUAAAUCAUGUUGAUCUUAAGCUAAACAAUAUUCUUCUUGUGCCUAAAAUAACCAAAAACCUGAUAAGUAUAUCAAAACUAACCAGAGAUAGUGAUGUUGUGGUAGAAUUUACUAAUGAUUUCUGUUUUGUUAAGGACAAGGUGAGGAAUUUGAUCAUGCUGCAGGGCAAAGCUGAAAAAGGAUUAUACAGAUUGCUAUUAGUCUCCUCAAAUAAAACCUCUCCUUAUCUGUCAAACCAAGGUCUUUUUGCUCAUGUUCAGUCAGCUGUCUCAACUCAACCUAUUUCCAAGUUUUCUGUUGUUGAUUCUAAAUGUCAGAAUAAAAUUGCUUCUCAGUUACAAACUGAAGCACAAUGUAGUCAAAACUCAGAUUGUAUGUUGAGUACUAUGGUUUUACACCAAAGAUUAGGUCAUCCCAAUGCUAGAGUGUUAAAUCAUGUUAUCAAUUCUUGUCCAUCUUUUAAAACCAUCGAUGGUAAUAAAGGUUUUGAUUCUUGUGAUGCUUGUAAGUUGGGAAAAAUGCACAAACUUCAUUUUCCAGUAACUGAAACUAAAACCAAAAAUGCACUUGAAAUCUUACAUACAGAUCUAUGGGGGCCUGCUCCUACACUUUCUAUACAAGGAUAUAAAUAUUAUAUCAACUUUGUAGAUGAUUACACAAGAUUCACCUGGAAUUUUCCUUUAAAAACCAAAGCUGAAGCAUUUCCAGUGUUCAAAGUUUUCAAAGCUCAAGUAGAGAAACAAUUAGAUAAACCUAUCAAGUGUCUUCAAUCUGAUUGGGGUGGUGAGUAUAGAUCAUUUGUUCAUUUUCUUCAAACAGAGGGGAUUCAGUUUAGACACUCCUGUCCCUAUACCCACAAUCAAAAUGGACUUGUGGAAAGAAAACAUAGACACAUCACUGAGUUGGGUUUAACCUUGCUUGCACAAGCCAAGUUACCUAUAAAAUUUUGGUGGGAUUCUUUUCAUACAGCUACCCAUAUUAUAAACAAACUUCCAACUCCUGUUCUUUCCUUGAAAACCCCUUAUGAAUAUCUAUUCCAUCAAAAACCAGACUAUCCAUUUCUCAAAACUUUUGGUUGUGCUUGUUUUCCUUUCUUAAGAGAUUACAAUCAUCACAAGUUUCACUUCCAUACUUCUAAAUGUGUCUUCUUAGGAUACAUCCCUUUACACAAAGGCUACAAGUGUCUUCAUCCAUCAGGAAGAAUUUACAUAGCUAGUCAUGUUCUUUUUUAUGAAACUUCCUUUCCAUAUUCUACUGAUUCUACCUUCUUACAGUCUAUGCCAUCUAAAUCUUCUGACUUCUUUUAUAAUUCCUUACAAGUAUAUCACAUCUCAGUUCCUAAUAGCAAUCAGAAUCCUUUAGCAGCUGCUCCUGCAGAUACAGAUUCUCAUGCCUCCAGUUCUACUCACAACAUCAUCUCCCUUCCUAUUCCUACAUCACAAGUAAAUUCCACCUCACUGAUUUCACCAAAUAAUACUAUAUCUUCACCCAUUGUCCACACAACAUCACCAGCUGCUACCAUAAACACUAUACCAAACACUACAACUUUACCUGCAAUACUACAAAAUUCACCUUCCAGAUCACUUCCCUCAGCUGCAACCAUAAACACUCAUUUUAUGAUUACCAGAGCUAAAGCUGGCAUAUUCAAACCAAAGGCCUUCUUGACAGAUCAUAACAGCCUAGAACCUUCCAAUGCUGGAGAAGCCUUAUCUGAUACUAAGUGGAAGGCAGCAAUGCAAGAUGAAUAUAAUGCUCUCAUUAGAAACAAAACCUGGAGCUUAGUACCAAUGAAUCCAGAAUACAAGUUAGUAGGCUGCAAGUGGGUCUUUAGAACUAAAUACAAUACUGAUGGUUCAGUCUCUAAGUACAAAGCUCGCUUAGUUGCAAAAGGGUUUCACCAAACUGCUAGGAUAGAUUACUCAUAAACUUUUAGUCCUGUAGUGAAAUCUUCUACUGUCAGAGUUAUUCUUAGCUUGGCAGUCAUGCAAGGCUGGAAUGUUAGACAAAUUGAUGUCAAUAACGCAUUUCUUAAUGGGAAUCUCACUGAGGAUGUAUACAUGCAACAGCCAGAGGGUUUUGUUUCAGAGGGAGGAUACAUCUGUAAACUAAACAAAGCUCUUUAUGGCUUAAAACAAGCUCCAAGAGCCUGGUAUGAUAAGCUUAAGGGAUGUCUUACAAGCUGGAAAUUCACUAAUUCUAAGGCUGAUACUUCUCUGUUUAUCAGGCAUGAUGUCAAAGGCAUAAUUCUUGUCUUAAUAUAUGUGGAUGACAUUCUGAUCACUGGACCAGAUUCAGACUUGCUGGAAUCUUUUAUUGCUAAGCUCAGCAAAGUUUUUGCAUUAAAAGACUUGGGUCUAGUAACAUAUUUCCUUGGUGUAGAAGUCAGCUAUACAGAUCAUGGAAUGCAUCUCUCUCAGACUAAGUACAUCAAGGAUAUGCUGUCCAAAGCCUCAAUGCAAGACUGCAAAGGAACUGACACUCCUUUCAGCACAGGCUACAAGUUGGAAAGGUCAGCAAAAGGCCUAUUGGGUGCUGAAUUUGAGAAUCCAACCCUCUAUAGAAGCAUUGUUGGAGGUUUGCAAUACUUAAUCUUAACCAGACCAGACAUUGCAUAUUCAGUGCAUAAGCUUAGUCAGUACCUCAGUGCUCCUACACUUCAACACUAGUUAGCUUGUAAAAAAGUGCUCAGAUACCUUCAAGCUACUGUCACAUAUGGUCUCUAUAUUCAACAGGAGGGAACUCUGGAAACUAUAGGACUAACAGGAUAUUCAGAUACUGAUUAGGCAUGUGAUAUUGAUGACAGAAAAUCCAUUGGAGCAUAUUGCAUUUUCCUUGGUAAUAAUUUGGUUUCCUAGUCUUCAAAAAAGCAAGCCGUUGUAGCAAAAUCUAGUACUGAGAGUGAAUACAGAGCCUUGUCAGCAGCCAGCUCUAAACUUUCUUGGCUAUAAUCAUUAUUCUCUGAGCUCAACAUCACAAAAUUACCAACUUCUGUUCUAUGGUGUGAUAACCAGAGUGCUGGAGAUCUAGCUAGAAAUCCAGUUUUUCAUUCAAAAUCAAAACACAUAGAGCUAGACAUUCAUUAUAUUAGAGACAAGGUUCUUAACAAUGAAUUGGAAGUGAGGUACAUUCCCACUGAAGAGCAAGUUGCAGAUGUUCUUACUAAGCCCCUGUCAUUUCCUAAGUUUAGUUAUUUUCGUUCCAAACUCAAUGUGUUCAGUAGACCCUUGAGCUUGAGAGGGGAUGUUAAGGAAGCUCACAUGAGCAGAAUAGUCAGUGGAGCAGAGGAUUGCAACACCUGCAGCUUGCUGUUACAGGUUGAUGACAUGGCUUGCCAGCUGGAGCCUGGUGGUUAUAUAGUCUCUUGCGCCCGUGAAGAUUAGCAGAGUUUGUUAUAGUAUUUCUUGUGCUUGUAAUUCAGUUUUAAUUAGUUAUAACCAGCUGAUUAGCACUUGCAAUUAGUUGAGAAUUAGUUCUAAUUACUACUGAUGUAUAUAAACAGAAGUAUGUACAGAUUCAGUCAAUUAAUGACUUGAGAUAAUAAAACGAAGAAAGAGUUUUAGAAUUCUCUUAUUUUCCUUUAAGUUUUCUCUGUUUCCAAACAUCAUUGAAUUGUUACUAUGGGCAGCAAAUUCAUAUAAAGCGUAGACAAUGGUGAUCAAAAAGGUGAUUCACAAUUUCACUUUUUUUAAUGAAAUUAAUUGUUUGGUUGGAGCUGAUAUUGUUAGAAGGCCAUUGAGCUAACCUAUGUCACUACUUGCCUAGAUUACAGGGGGUCAAAACUCAAAAGAGGCAUUGAAUUUUAAAAGGCAUCCAAUAAUUCUUGUGGCCAUAUAUCAAUUCAUGUAAGUUUGAAUGUAAUUAUUGGUGAAGGGGUUUCACUUCCCGUCUCUAAAUAAAAAUACUGAUUCUUUAAGGUACAUGCCACUAGGGAUUGCGAGAUUAACGAGUCUUUGGACAUUGGAAGAGCUUCUUGUGAGUGGAGGAGGAGGUGUUCAUGUGUAGCAAAGCAUGUGGGCAGUGGGCUUGAAUCUCUUAAAAACUUGGAACUCCUCCAAGCGUAAGUAUACGUAUACUGGGAAAUGUGUUAGAUGUGGAUGAGGCUAAGAGAUUAGAGCUUGACAAAAUGAAAUACCUCUGUCAUUGAGACUUAAAUUUGAUGGGGAAGAAGAAAAAGAAUAGGGAAGGAGAAAGAAUGAGAAUAAUCAACUUGUUCUUGAAGCCUUGCAACCACCUCUGAAUUUGAAGGAAUUAGAGAUUUGGUCAUACAGAGGCAACAUUGUUUCCCCCCGGAUGAUGCAAAAGUUGAAGGAAUUUACCAAUCUAAGGAGUUUGACACUCUUUAAAACUGCAAAAAUUGAGAGCAGUUGCCUUCUUUGGGAAAAUUGUGAUCCUUUGAAAAUCUCAGCAUAUUGUACAUGGAGAGUGUGAAAACAGUGGGUAAUGAAUUUAUGGGAAUAGAAAGUGAUCUUCAUGACUCAUCUUCAUCUUCAUCAGUUAUUAUUGCCUUCCCCAAAUUGAAAUCACUUUCAGUUGAGGGAUUGAUGGAAUUGGAGGAGUGGGAUUAUGGGAUUAAAAGAACAGGAAACACCUUCACCAACAUUAUGCCACGUCUUUCUUCCUUGGAAAUUAGUGUGGGGUUAUGGGAUCGCACAACGACGUUGAAGGUAUUGCAGAUUGUGGCAUGUGGUACUCUAAGAAGACGUUACAGACAGGGGAGAGCAGAAGACUGGCCUAAAAUGCUAAUGUGGAGUACAAUCAUAAAAUGCUAAUGUGGCCACCCUGGUUCUUAAUUAAGGUUGUGCAUAUUAUUGUAAAAGAUGAUUAAUUCAAUUUGAGUCAUUCGUUUGCUUUGAUAAUGAUAGUAAUUUUAUAUUUUGACAAUUUGCAAGGUGAGAAUGGUGCUGAUUGGUGAUACAGGAUAUGGUUCAAACACCAUUGAAUAAAGCUACGGACAUGGUGGCUCAACUUAGCUAGAUUGCUGUCAAAAUUGGUAAGUUGGCUUGUCAAUGUAUUGAUGCUUUUGUUUUCUCUCAACCCUAAUUACCUUACCUUCAUUUAGUUUGGCUUUGGAGUUGAGUAAUAACUUUCAAGGUUCUCAAACAGAGCAGGACAACCGAAAAAAAAUAGCUUAAUUUGCUGCAGAUCACGUGUUACCAAUUAUUUAAGGUAAUUCUCGUUUACUUGCUUCUACACUAUAGAGUACGUGUUCUGGCUGGUUUAUGUAAUUCAUCAAAUGUUAUUUCCUUAUUGUUCCAUUGAUAUGUUUGUUAGAAAGUGAAACCAUUUCCAGGCAGCAGUUGGCAGUGAAUUCAUGCAAAUGUUGAUGCCAUUCAUAGAUAUUGAAGACAAUGAUGAGCCAAAGGUGAUAAAUCAUUAAUGCAUAGUUACCAAAACCUCCAUCCUUCUCUCAUUGUAAUUUGAUUUGAAAUGAAUAAUUGCUAGGUAAUUGAAGCCAAUAUUGUUAGAAACGGUGUUGAGCUACCCAAGCUAAGAAGUUAGCUGCCAAAAAAUGCAGGGGAUCAAAAGAAGCAUUGCAGUGCUACAAUGAAGCUACUGGGAAAUUUAAAUCCCAUAUUAGACUUUCCUCACAUCAGAAGCUGUGGAUCUUCGGACAUCAGGUUUUUUCACAGUUCUGAAACUCUCAGGAUUAAACUCUAUUAAAGUUGUUGUAGUUGUCUACGUUCUCAGGUCAAGGAUUCUAAGCUGCCUAUUAAGGCAAAAUGUCAGAAUUCCCCUAUUAUUUUUUUUUCAUGUAAAAUUAUGUUGUUGUCUUCGCCCAUGAAUCUUAGCUAAAUUCUGAACCAAUUGUUUGCUAUUAUAAAUUUCAUUGUUAAAUAUUAAUUGUGAUGUUGGUGUUGAGUUUCUUUUAAAGUCACAGAAGCCUGACGAUUGAGUUCCGUGAUUCUGAGAAGCAGUAAUAUUUUGAACAAGUGAAGGUUCUUCGUUUUUAAUUAUGUUCUGCACCUUUACAGUAUGAGUAAAUGUCUAAGAGGCGAGAUUUUAAUUUCUGUAAAUGCUAAAUUUCGCAAAACAAUAAAAAAAUAAAUGCAUGACAGUGACUUCAAGAAAUUAGAUUAUUGAAUUUGGCCAUUUUAAAAUUGAACCAGAGCUCAGAAAUGUAGAAUAUAAAUAUUGGAGAUUUGAACUUCAAUCAUUAGAUUUGAAGCUAAAGAGGUAAGCCAUUAAUUACAUCAAAUGAUUUGGAAAAUGGAGGAAUUGUAAAAAGGAAACUUUUUCUUUGUCCGAUUCAAGAGGAACAAGAGUAGCCUAAGAUAUUAAAGACAAUGUUGAGGCAAAGGAAACAUAAAUCCCAACCAUUGCAUGUGAACAUGAUCACAAUAAAUCCCAACCAUCCAAACCAUUUUUUUGAGAAUUUUCAAUUGAAAGUGAAACCUUUUGACAUUUACCUAAUAAAGUAAGUUAAACGAGAGAAAUAAAGGGGGGAAAAAAAAGUUGACUCAAGUCAAUACAGAAUUAUUAGUUCAACCUAGAGUAACUAAAACAGAGCCACUUGAGUUUCAAAAAUAUCUGCAUUCAUCACCUUCUCCAACAGCUUAUGAGCUACACACGAAUCAUUUCCUUUUAGCAUUUUUGCAGCAGCAAUUUCUCCCCUCGUUUGUCAUCAAUUUCUCCCUUCUCUUGGGGAAAAAAGGGCAGUUGUAAAUUACAUUAUUUGUAACUUUGGCGGACUCUUUAUAUAACACAAAUUCUAUCAUUUAAAGAAAUUAUAAUGAUGCAAUCGUUUCCCCUCUCUUGGAGCAGCUGAUUAUCUUUGCUGCUGAAGAGAUGAGACAACAGGGGAAGCUGGUGAGUGUUGGAUGAGCGGAUCACAGCAUGCGCCAAAUUGCAAAUUGAGAGCGGCAUUGAUGACAAUGCUCUUGGUGCUCCUUAUCUGAAGAAGAAGGUAUAUUCCUGCUUUCCUGCUUCUUGCUUUGGUUUCAAGCAAGUCUUUCACUGUCAUAACAUUUAUUGUAAUUUCAUUUGGAGAUAUGUAAUAUCUGUUGUACAGAUAUAUUUCAUACACCAGCUGUUAAUAAUUCUGCCUGCAGAGAACUUACAAAGGAGCUGUGUGAUGUAAUAGAAGACUAUGUAGUCUGGUCAAUUUUUUCAACCUUAGAUAUUAGGAAGUUAUGUAUUUCAUUAUCAGUUAUCAUUAUGAUUUUCAUCUUCAAAAAGAUAAAUGGAUGGCUUUGAAUGGCUUGUGUUUGAGGAUUUUAGUUUGACUUAUCUUGAUUGAAGUACUUUUUGACAAUAGAAUUCCUUCAUGAUUUAAACAUUCUUUUGAAAACCAAAUAAUAAAAAAAUAAAUAAACUAACAAAUAUUAUUUUAUUAGUGCUCUUUUCAUCAAAUAUACAUAAGAGUAUUGUAAUUUAUAGCAACUAAUUUUUCAUUAAAUACACCCAUAACAAACUAUUAAAAAUAAAGUGAUAGAAAAAUGCCUAAUUUUUCAUACUUUCUAAUUUCUUUUGGCCCUAAAAUAUGGGUAUUUAUGCCAUAAUAAGCCCAUGUAGAUCUCAAUGCCGAAAGUUCGAUAAAUGGCUUUCAAGGAUUGAUAAUUAUCUAUUAACAUUCUUAAUUAUAUUCAGUUAAAAUAUUAAUAUUAAAUACAUUCUUAAUAUUAAUAUUCUUGGAUGAAUUUCUUUGUGGAUUUAAGAAUAAAAUAUUAAAUAAUUUUAUUUUUCUUUUAUUCCGUAACUUAGACCAAAAAAGGAAAUGAGUUUCCCAAGGACUUCUCAUGUUUCCCAUCCUCCAUACUGUGCAGAGGAGUUUAGCACCCAUCAACUUUUAUUUUUUAAAACUCAUAAUGGCCAAUGAAUAAAGCUGUGGUGGCUGAACUUAGGUUGAUGUCAAAGAGGUAAUUGAAUUGGCCUGUUAAGAUGGAUGCUUUUUGUUGAUCAGGCGACAGAGCAGGACUAUGAAAAAGACAAGCUUAUUACCGGUAACUCAAGUUUACUUGCUUGUUAUAUAAUAUGCUUUUUGUCACCGAAUUUCAUUUCCAGUACGUCUCCAUCGGUAUCAAGAAGAAACAGAACUCAAAGAAAUAUUUUUUCAAUCUUCAUAUUUGUCUGAAUUCGUCCUUUCAUUAAGAAUAACCAUUUUCAGGCAGCAGUUGGCACUGAAUUCACGCAAAUCUUGAUGCCAUUCGUAGUCGCAGACAUUAAAGACAAUGAUGAGCCAAUGGUGAUUAAUCAUAAAUGCAUAAUUAACAAACUUCCGUCCUUCUCUCAUUGUAAUUUGAUUUGAAAUUAAUUAUUGCUAGGUAACAUUAAUUCCAACCAUUGCAAGAUUUUUCCCUUAACAUAAUUCGGUAACAUUUAAUUGCAUGUGAAAUUGAUCAUAAUACCGUGAAGGACCUACCAAAACUUUUUUUUGAGAAAUUUCGAUUGAAAGUGAAACCUUUUGACGUUUACCUAAUAAAUUUAGUAAAUCUGGAAAAAAAAAAAAGUUGACACAAGCCAAUGCAGAAUAAUUAAUUAAAUCUGGAGUGACCACAUUUUCAAAAAUAUCUGCAUUCAUCACCUUCUCCAACAGCUAGUCAGCCACACACUGUUGGGGAAAAAUUAGGUUUUUAAAUUUUAUAAAACCUUUUGAAGAUCGCUCUCAUAUAAUAUAUAAGAAUUUGUAUUCUAGAAAUCGUACCUUGAAAAUCCGAGUUGGCUUUUUCCGCUGAAGUGAUUUAGGCUCCUAGAUCACGAUCCGCCACCACCACUCCUGUUAGAUCACAAUCCGUCACCACCACGCUUGUUAGAUCACGAACUGUCUCCAAUGAUCUUCCAAGUUAUAACUCAGGUUCGAUCUACACUUGACGUGUGGGUGCCUUUAUCACUACCAAAGCAACUAGCACGAGAAAAUUUUUCUUCAAUAGAGAGAAAAAUCUUAUUCUCCGAUUUGUAUAAAGUGGCUUCUACCUUUUCUUUAGAGAAAAAUAAGCUUUUUAUAUCACCCUUUAGUGAAAACCCUAGGCUCCAAAUAAUGCCCAAAAUAAAACUCACGUUACUUUUCAUUUAAUAGGGGACCCACCAUGUAAAAUAACAUAAGGCCCUUUACACAUAAGCUAAUUAAAUGGAGCCUCUUACUAAAUGAUAUAUUUAGGCUUUUGACCCAAAUAACUAGUUAUCUUGCUUAUUAGUCCAGUAGUGGUGCAGUCAAUUAAAUGAGCUAACCCGGGGAUCAUUUGGGAACAUACAAUAAUGGCUACAAUAAUUAGGCCUGUAAUUAAACUAGCCCAAUUAUUUAAUUUCAAAUCUACUCCACUAAAAGAUUGGAACUGACUUCCAUAAUUGCAUGCUCGAAUAAUAAUUCGUCCCAAGCCACAUUGAUUUCUUUACUGCACAAUCCUUUGUACCACAUCGUUAAUUAAAUUGAUAUCUCAACUGUCCAAUCAAUUUAAUAACAUCUUAUUCCUUGAUCCUUACUGAUUUUUUCUAAUGAUCAUUUUCAACAUACUAAAUAUGUUGACACACUCUGGCCAGAGAAUUCUAUGAUCAAGUGCCGAAAAUCUAUCAAGAGAUGUGUUGUACAAAUUCUAUAUUGUCAAUCCAUAACUCCAAUACUCAUAAUUGCUCCCACCAAGAUACCGGGUAAUCUUGACCACAAGGAUGUGUCGUGCCCAUUGGUAACUCAAAUGGAAUAACAAUUACAAUCAUGAAAUCAUAAUUAACUCAAGAUUAAGAUUACAGUAAAAUCAACGCCUAUGAGAUUUAAUAAGUCUGACAGUUAUUACAAAGUUAAUUAAAUCUCAUAUGUGAUCCUGUUCAAUGUAGUCGUACUACAUCAAUAAAUUCAUACAUGAUUAAGACAAAUCAUUCAAUGAAUUUAUUACAGUCUAUACCUAAAUAAAGUGCCCAACUUUAUUUAUCAACUGCAAACAAAAUUUAUUUAAUCAUAAGAUAACUUGUAUUUAUGUCUUCUGUGAAUCCACAUGGUGAUCACAUAAAUACAUAUAAUAUGAUUAAAUGGACUUUAAUAAAAAUAUUAAUACAAUUAAGAUAUUUGAAUAAAAUACCUCAUUAAUUUUAUUAAUCAGAAAAAAUGUUUAUUACAAUUAAAUAAACACAUAUGCUUUUAAAGAGCAUAUUUUCCCAACAAUCUCCCACUAGCUCUCAAAGCAUAUCUGGCAUAUUGCACAUGCUUUCGGGCUCUAAGUGCAGGUUAUAAAGGUUUCCCACUAAUGGCCAUUGUAAUAAGAUCUGCCAUUUAGCAUCUAAUGCCAUUUAGGGUACUGUCAUAUAACCUUUCUACACUAUUCCCUUAUAAGAUGAUACUUCAUGUCAGUAUGUUUUGUUUCUUGUGGUUCCUUAGAUUGAGCUACUGCACCACCAUUAUCACAAAAUAGUUUAAGGGGUGUAGUUACAACAGGUACCACCUCAAGAUUUUGUAGGAACUUGCGGAGCCUAUAUAGCUUCUUUUGCAGCUUCAGAUGUAGCCACAUAUUCAGCUUCAGUUGUGGAGUCUGUGAUACAAGAUUGUUUCACACUCAUCCAACUAAUAGCUCCACUUCCUAAUGUAAACACAUAGCCGGAAGUUGAUUUUCUAAAAUCCUUAUCUGACAAAAAAUCAGAAUUAGUAUAACUCACUAGAAUAAGUUCAUCACCAGAAUACACAAGCAUAUAAUUUUUAGUUCUUUUCAGAUACUUUAUAAUAUGCUUGACUGCAGUCCAGUAUUGAGGUCCAUGAUUAAAUUGAUAUCUGCUAACCAUCCCUACCGAAAAACAGAUGUCUGGCCUAGUGCAAAGCAUGGCAUACAUGAGACUUCCCACAGCUUCUGCAUAGGGAACUCAUCUCAUUCUCUCUAUCUCUUCAGAUGUUUUAGGUGAUUGAUCCUUAGAGAAUGUAAUUCCAUGUCUGAAUGGUAAUAAACCAGUCUUGGAAUUUUCCAUGCUAAAUCUAGCCAAUAUCUUAUCGAUAUAGACCGCUUGAGACAAGGCUAAAGUUUUAUUCUUCCAGUCUCGUAGUAACUUGAUACCAAGAAUAUAACUUGCCUUUCCCAGGUCUUUCAUAUCAAAUUGUUUUGCUAACCAAAUCUUUAUUGUAGUCAAUACAUAUAAUAUGAUUAAAUGGACUUUAAUAAAAAUAUUAAUGCAAUUAAGAUAUUUGAAUAAAAUACCUCAUUAAUUUUAUUAAUCAGAAAAAAUAUUUAUUACAAUUAAAUAAACACAUAUGCUUUUAAAGAGCAUAUUUUCCCAACACACACGAAUCAUUUCCUUUUAGCAUUUUGCAGCAUCAAUUUCUCUCCUGUUAAUCUGGAGGAAUCCGUCAGACUUUGGCUGGAUCGGCUCAAGUACGCAUCCUACGACAUUGAAGAUGUGUUGGAUGAGUGGAUCACAACAAGAGCCAAAUUGUAAACAAGAGGUUGAUGACAAAUAUAUCUGUUGCUUCUCAUCUGAAGAAGAAUGUAUCUUCCUGCUUCCCUGCUUUUUGCUUUGGUAUCAAAUAAGUCUUUCUCCGUCAUAACAUUUAUUGUAAUUUCAUAUGAGAUAUUACAUAAUAUAUCUGUUGUUCAAAUAUAUUUUAUAUACAAGCUGUUAAUACUUAUGCUUGCAGAAAGCUUACAAAGGAGUUGUGUGAUGUAAUAGAAGACUACAGUCUGGUCAAUUUUCAACUUUAGAUAUUCAGGUCAUCAGUUUCUCUUGAAUUCUUUCUUGAGUUUCUUUGAAUUAUUUGUGAAUAAGAUCUUAGUUGGCUGCUCCUCUUCAGGAUAAGGAAAGUGUGGCAAAACUCGUGAAGCUGAUAGAUAAAAGCAAUGGGUAUAUCUUUGCUGGCAUGGAUGCCAGCGCAGUUGAAUUCAGCAAGGUUGCCAUUCGCGAUGUUGAUUGGGAUUACUUCAGAUAUCCCUCUUUUCACCUAUUUUCAAUCUUGUGAUUCUCAUUUUCAUAAAACAUUUUGGUUAUUUAAUUAUGGCUCAUUGUAUGCAUCUGCAUCCUCUAACUUGUUCGUUUGAGAAACAAAUUUUGCUGUUAGGUAGGCUUCAAGCUUGAUUCAUGCUUUUUCCAUAAAUGUACCAAAAUCAUGGAAACAUCUUUUUCCCAGAUAUUGUAUCCACACUUUUCCCAUCUAAAAGACAAGUUUUGCUUAACAAAGAAAUCUACAGUAGCUGAAGUGCAGGAGAAGUACAUUAAGGAUGAUGACGAUGUUAACUAAAAGGGAACGCGAAGAUAUGUGGUGUGCAAAUCGUAAGCAAGCUGUGAGUUGAAUGAAUAAAGUUUGGUUUCCAGAAACGACCACGUUUUGGAGCUGUAAAACCUUCAUUAGUCACGUGCUGCUGUUCUUAACUGAAAACGAUUUAGUCGAAACGACAUGGGUGGAGCGCGUUUUACAUAUCAGUUUAAGUUAACCACAUGAGGAAGCAUGUGAUGAAGGUUAUUCUGAGUUUGUUAAAGGUUGUUAACCACGUGUCAACGAGCUGUACAAUCUAGAAAUCAAGUUGGCUGCCUAAACAGAGUAUAAAGGCUAGGUUUUGGGGAAAUUCAGGAACGAAUUUCAUGAGUCUUGCUGUGAGGGUUUUGUGAGAGAGAAAGUAUUAACUUGUUCUUUGUAAAGUCUGGUGGAAGGCUCUGUAACAAUCUCCAUUGUUGAUUCAAUAAAGCUCAUCUUGAGGCUUCUCCAAUGGAUGUAAGCUGAGCAUUCCAUGCUCAACUGAACCACGUUAAAUCUUGGUUUCUGUGGGUUUCUUGUUUCUAGUUCUUGUUCUUUUUGUUAUUGAGUGAGUUUGUCUAAUUAGAUCUUGGGGUUGUGCAACUUGCAUUGACUAGAUCACUAGCAUCCUGGGCAGUGAUCAAUUUAGCUUGGUUUAAAGGCUUGCUGUUCACUACAAUUGGUACUAGAGCUUGGUGUUCUGUGAUCAAGUCCAAGUAUGGUGUCUUCUAAGGUCGAUGUAGAAAAAUUUACAGGCAAGAAUGACUUCAAUAUGUGGAAGAUGAAAAUGGAAGCCUUGCUGAUCAUUUAGGGUUUGGGAGAUGCAAUUGAGCCUGAAAUGAAGGAAGGUAAAGGGGUUUCUUCAUCAAAGACUCCAGAGGAAGUUGUUGAAAUCCACAAAAAGGUCAGAAGUACAAUAAUCCUGAGUCUUGGUGAUUCAGUCAUUAAAGAAGUGGCCAAAGAUAAGACAGUUGCUGGAUUAUAGAGCAAACUGGAAAGUCUUUAUAUGACCAAGUCACUUGCAAACAGACUCUACAUCAAGAAAAGGAUGUUUACACUAAAAAUGGUGGAAGGAGCUUCACUGGAAGAACACAUCGAUGAGUUUAACAAGGUAUGUGAUACCCUGGAAACCAUUUAUGCUACUCUGGAUGAUGAGGGGAAGACUCUCUUGCUAAUCAAUUCAUUACCAAAAUCCUAUGAAAAUUUGGUUGAUGCCCUGAUGUAAGGAAGACAAACCCUAACACUUGAUGAAGUUAAAUCUACCCUAAAUACAAGGGAACUUCAAACUAAACAAGGGCAUUUGGAGAAUAAUAGAAGUGAAUGACUGAUAAUAAAGGUGAAAACUGACAAGAAGAAGAAGAAAGGCAAAUCCAAGAACAAAGAAAGAGACCUAAAAUGCUUUCAGUCUCACAAAGAAGGCCAUUUUAAGAGGGAUUGCCUUGAAAAGAGAUUCAAGCCCAAAGAUUCAAGAAACCAAAGUGGAGAUGCAGCUGUAGUGGAAGAGGAAGGAUAUGAGUCUGCUGGUGUAUGUGUGGCAAUAGAAAACAGCCAAAAAGGUAAAUGGGUUCUGGACUCUGGAUGCACUUUUCACAUGUGCCCUUUUAGAAAUUACUUUAAUAAAUAUCAAGAUUUUGAUGGAGGUAGAGUAAUUAUGGGAAAUAACUCUAUUUGUAAAAUCAUUGGAAUUGGGGAUGUAAGCCUUAAGCUACAUGAUGGUUCAAUAAGAGUGCUUAGGCAAGUCAGGCAUGUGCCAGACUUGAAAAGAAAUCUAAUUUCUCUUGAGGUGUUGGACCAAAUAAGGUGUAGAAUUAAGCUUGAAUCUGGAGAAUUGAGUGUUUUGAAUGGUUCAAAUCUAGUCAUGAAAGGGACGAGGAAGAAUGGAGUUUACAUCUUAGAUGGUGAGGUGAUAUCUGGAGUAGCUGAUGUAUCCAUUAAGCAUGCUAAAGAUAAAACCAGGUUAUGGCAUCCAAGGUUAGGGCACAUGAGUGAGAGAGGAUUAAAAGAGUUAGAAAAACAAAGGUUGUUUGGUUCUGACAAGAUUGGUAAUCUAGAGUUUUGUGAAGAUUGUGUUCUAGGGAAGUCUUCAAGAGGCAGCUUCAAUAGAUCUAGUCAAAAAUCAAAUGAGAGGUUGGAUUAUGCACACUCAGACUUGUGGGGGCCUGCACAGUGUGUAUCUCUGCGAGGGAAUAAGUAUUUUUUAUCUAUCAUAGAUGACUUCUCUAGGAAAGUUUGGGUGUAUGUGUUAAAGAACAAGGAUCAGACUUUUGAGAGGUUUAAAGAGUGGAAACAGAUGGUAGAAAACCAAACUGGUAAGAGAUUAAAGAAGCUGAAAACUGAUAAUGGUCUUGAAUUUUGCAACCAGCCAUUUGACAACUUUUGUGCAAAUAAAGGUAUUGGUAGACAUAAGACAGUAAGGAUGACCCCAUAACAAAAUGGGUUAGCUGAGAGGAUGAAUAGGACUCUAUUGGAGAAAGUAAGAUGUAUGCUGAUUUAGUCCAAGCUCCUAAAAACAUUGUGGGCAAAAAUCUUACUCACAGCAUGCUACCUUGUCAACCUAAGCCCUUCUAUUGGAAUUAAUUUCAAAACACCUUUUGAAUGUGGUCACGGAAACCUGCUGACUAUGGAAUCCUUAAAGCCUUUGGCUGCCCAACCUAUGUUCAUGUCAGUCAAGGUAAGCUAGCAGCUAAAGCCUUGAAAAGUGUUUUCAUAGGCUAUCCAGAAGGAGUCAAAUGGUUUAAAGUUUUGUGCACUGAGCUUAAUCCACCAAAAUGUAUAGUGAGUAGGGAUGUGGUGUUUAAUGUGGGGAGUUUGAUGAAGGUGAAUCAUGAACCUGAUCUGGAAACUGAAAAUUCAAGACUAAUAGAGAAACUAGAGUUUGAGGUGGAGCCAUCUACUUCCAGAAACACAACUGAAGCUGCAGAUUCAGGUGGUGUUCCUGAAAACACUGAUGACACACAGGCACCUCAAGAUCAAUCAAGUUCUCAGGAGCAAAUCAGAGAAUACCAGCUCACCAGAGAUAGACAAAAAAGGCAGAUCAAACCAACAAGGAGAUAUGGCUAUGCAGAUUUAAUAGGUUUUGCUCUAACAGUUGCAAAAGAUAUAGAUGGUGAGGAACCAAAGAAUUUUAAGGAAGCAACCCAGAGCCUGUUCAAAGAAGAAUGGCAAAGAGCUAUAGAUGAUGAAAUGGCCUCCCUCUAUAAAAACAACACAUGGGAGCUGGUCAAGAAGCCUAGAAAUAGAAGAGUGGUUGGCUGCAAAUGGAUUUUCAAAAUUAAGGAGGGCAUAAAUGGAUCUGAACCAAGGAGAUUCAAGGCUAGACUUGUGGCCAAGGGUUAUAAACAAAAGGAAGGGAUAGAUUUUAAAGAAGUAUUUUCUCUAGUGGUUAGACAUGCCUCAAUUAGAGUUAUGUUAGCCAUAACAGCUGUGCAAGACAUGGAGCUUGAUCAACUCAAUGUCAAGACAACAUUUCUGCAUGGAAGACUUGAGGAAGAAAUACCGAUGUCCCAACCUGAAGGGUAUGAGUUCCCAGGUAAAGAAGACCAUGUGUGUCAACUAAAGAAGUCACUCUAUGGGCUUAAACAGUCUCCCAGACAGUGGUACCUAAGAUUUGAUAAAUUCAUGCAACUGCAUGAGUUCAUCAAAUGUAGCUAUGACUGCUGUGUUUACUACAAGACAAUCAAGGAUGGUCUGUACAUAUACCUCCUUCUAUAUGUAGAUGACAUGUUGGUUGCUUGCAAAGAUAAAGAGGAAAUUGAUAAGCUCAAGGUGCUGCUGAAUUCAGAAUUUGAAAUGAAGGACCUGGGGUAUGCAAUGAAGAUUCUAGGAAUGGAGAUCAGAAGGAAUAUAAGUAAAGGGAUCAUGUUUCUGUCACAAGAAAAAUACUUGAAAAAAGUGUUAGAAACAUUUGACAUGAGUAAGUCUAAACCUGUGCAACUACCAUUAGCUUCACAUUUCAGGUUAAGCAAUUUGCAGUAUCCUUAAACAGAAGCUCAAAAGCAAGAUAUGGCAAAUGUGCCCUAUGCAAAUGCAGUAGGCAGCCUUAUGUAUGCAAUGGUAUUGACCAGGCCAGACAUAACUCAUGAUGUCAGUGUAGUUAGUAGAUAUAUGGCACAACUUGGGGAAGACCAUUAGAAGGCUAUAAAAUAGAUACUCAUGCAUCUCAAAGGCACUGUAAAUUGUGGUCUGAUGUAUGGCAAGACAAAAGCAAAUGAUGAGGUUUUGGAAGGGUAUGUUGACUCAGAUUAUGCAGGGGAUUUGGAUAAAAGAACGUCUCUUACAGGUUACAUAUUGAUGUUAAAUGGUUGUACUGUAAAUUGGAAGGCAACUCUACAAAGUGUAGUGGCUCUUUCAACAACUGAAGCAGAGUAUACAGCUGCUACAGAAGUUGUAAAGGAAACACUUUGGCUCAAGGGGUUGGUGACAGAGUUGGGAUUAAAUAAGAAGUCAGUAUCAAUCUGCUGUGAAAAUGGUGAAGAUUCAUACUGAUGAGAAUUCUGCAGAUGCUGUUACUAAGGUGAUUCCUGUGGAUAAGUUCAGAGCUUGCCUGGACCUAGCUGGCUUGUGCAGUCAGUGAUAUGCAUAAGGUUUGGAGAAGGAUUUAGAGUGAGGGUAAACUUUGAUUCAAGUUGGAGAAUUGUGAGUUGAAUGAAUCAAGUUGGUUUGCAUAAACGAUCGCGUUUUGGAGCUGUAAAACCUUCAUUAGCUCACAUGCUGCUCAGCUGGUUCUUAACUAAAAACGAUUUAGUUGAAAUGACAUUGGUGGAGUGCGUUUUACAUAUCAGUUUAAGUAACCACGUGAGGAAGCAUGUGAUGAAGGUUAUUCUGAGUUCAUUAAAGGUUGUUAACCACGUGUCAACGAGCUGAACAAUCUGGAAAUCAAGCUAGUUGCCCAAACAGAGUAUAAAGGUUGGGUUUUGGGGAAAUUCAGGAACGAAUUUCAUGAGUCUUGCUGUGAGGGUUUUGUGAGACAGAAAGUAUUAACUUGUUCUCUGUAAAGUCUGGUGUAAGGCUCUAUAACAAUCUCCAUUGUUGAUUCAAUAAAGCUCAUCUUGAGGCUUCUCCCGUGGAAUGCUCAGCUGAACCACGUUAAAUCUUGGUUUCUGUGGGUUUCUUGUUUCUAGUUCUUGUUCUUUUUGUUAUUGAGUGAGUUUGUCUAAUUAGAUUUUGCGGUUGUGCAACUUGCAUUGACUAGAUCACUAGCAUCCUGGGCAGUGAUCAGUUUAGCUUGAUUUAGAGGCUUGCUGUUCACUGCACAUGCCUUUUGCCUUUGUGGAUGUUCAAGCUUGUGAUUCAUGUUUGUUAAUCUAUUAUGCUCUCUUGCAGGAUUUAUAAAGUUUUCGAUCAAUCAAGCAUUUGACUCAAGUUCUUAGCUCUUCACUGCUUGAAUGGGUCAGAUAGGACAAGCGCCGAUGAGGUGGUUUUAAUCAGACCCCUCCUAAUUAUGAUGUAUGGUCCGAAUCUUGGACUUUUUGUACAAAUGUAGCUAUUGAGGACAAUGAUGAGACAAAGGUGAUCAUUCAUUAAUGCGUAAUUACCGAAACCUCCAUCCUUCUCUCAUUGUAAUUUGAUUUGAAAUGAAUAAUUGCUAGGUAAUUGAAGUCAAUAUUGUUAAAAACCGUGUUGAGCUACCCAAGCAAAGAAGUUAGUCGCCAAAAAAUGCAGGGGAUCAAAAGAAGCAUUUCAUUUGAAAAGGCAUGAGAUUCUGUUUAAAUUUGUGCUACUACGGUGCGGUAAUGCUGCUACUGGGAAAUUUGAAAAGGCAUCAGAAGCUGUGGAUCUUGGGACAUCAGGAUUUUUCACAGUUCUCAAACUCUCAGGAUUAAACUCUAUUAAAGUUGUAGUUAUCUUGUUGUCAGAAUUCCCAUAUUAUUAUCUUUUUCAUGUAAAAUUAUCUUGUUGUCUUCACCCAUGAAUCUAAGCUAAAAUUUGAACCAAUUGUUUGCUAUUAUAAAUUUCAUUGUUAAAUGUUAAUUGUGAUGUUGGCGUUGAGUUUCUUUUAAAGUCAUAGAAGCCUGACGAUUGAGUUCCAUGGGAUUCUGAGAAGCAGUAAUAUUUUGAACAAGUGAAGGUUCUUCGUUUUUAAUUAUGUUCUGCACUUUUACAGUAUGUGCAGAUGUCUAAGAGGCAGGAUUUUAAUUUCUGUAAUGCUAAAUUUCGCAAAACAAUAAAAAAAUAAAUGCAUGACAGUGACUUCAAGAAUUUAGAUUAUUGAAUUUGGUCAUUUUAAAAUUGUUGGAAUGUUGAACUUACGUAAUUUUGAUAAACCAGAGCUCAGAAAUGUAGAAUAUAAAUAUUGGAUAUUUGGACUUCAAUCAUUAGAUUUGAAGCUAAAGAGGUAAGCCAUUAAUUACAUCCAAGGAUUUGGAAAAUGGAGGGAUUGGAAAAAGGAAACUUUUUCAUAAACUUCAAGCAUUGGGCAUUUUCAUUUGUCCGAUUCAAGAGGAACGUCAUAGAAAGGGGUAAAGAAAAGAGUAGCCUAAGAUAUUAAAGACAAUGUUGAGCCAAAGGAAACAUAAAUCCCAACCAUUGCAUGUGAACAUGAUCACAAUAAAUCCCAACCAUCCAAACCAUUUUUUUGAGAAUUUUCAAUUGAAAGUGAAACCUUUUGACAUUUACCUAAUAAAGUAAGUUAAACGAGAGAAAUAAAGGGGAAAAGAAAAGUUGACUCAAGUCAAUACAGAAUAAUUAGUUCAAUCUGGAGUAACUAAAACAGAGCCACUAUAUUUUCAACAGCUAAUGAGCUACACACGAAUCAUUUCCUUUUAGCAUUUUUGCAGCAUCAAUUUCUCUCCUCGUUUGUCAUCCAAAAUUAUUCACCAAUACCAUGGCUGAUGCAAUCGUUUCCCUGGUCUUGGAGCAGCUGAUUAUCUUUGCUGCUGAAGAGUUGAAACAACAGGGGAAGCUGGUGAGUGUUGGAUGAGUGGAUAACAGCAUGCGUCAAAUCGCAAAUUGAUCAAUGCUCUUGGUGCUCCUUAUCUGAAGAAGAAGGUGCAAAUUGAGAGCUGAAUUGCACUGUCAUAACAUUUAUUGUAAUUUCAUUUGGAGAUAUGUAAUAUCUGUUGUCCAGAUAUAUUUCAUACACCAGCUGCUAAUAAUUCUGCUUGCAGAGAACUUGCAAAGUGAUUCUGGGAUAUGUAAUAUCUGUUGUAAUAUCUGGAGAUAUGUAAUAUCUGUUGUCCUAGAAAUAUAGAUGUGUGGUUCGCAAAAUUUUCUUGAUCUUAAGAAAGAGUUAUCUUGAAUAGAAGAUAACAUGGAGAAUUCAGCAACUAUACAGUCAUAUUGAUGUCUGUCAACUUGGGUCAGAUGGUGUCGUUUGGAUGGAGAUGUUAGGUCCCAGAUGGUAUGCUUGUUAUCAAUUCCAGUCUAAUUCAUUCAUGCUUUGAUGACAUAUGCGGUGCAGCUUCUUAUCUAAGACCUGUAUAUGUUCAGUCAUCAUUCAGUUCUGUAUUUGGCUGCCAUUCUUUCAAUGAAUUCAAACCACUUUCUGAAUACUUGCAAAUUCAUCCAGUGUUGUCAUUGAGAUGCCAAUAUGUAAAGGAGCAAUAGUUGCCCUUGAUAGUAUGCUUAUUGAUUGCCUCUUGCCUCACUCAGCCUAAGGAAUCUGGUUGUAUGGUGUUCUUGUAAUUUCAUUUGGAGAUAAGUAAUAUCUGUUGUUCAAAUGUAUUUUAUAUACAAGCAGUUAAUAAUUCUGCUUGCAGAAAGCUUACAAAGGAGCUGUGUGAUGUAAUAGAAGACUACAGUCUGGUCAAUUUUUCAACCUUAGAUAUUCAGGUCAUCGGUUUCUCUUGAAUUCUUUCUUGAGUUUCUUUGAAUUAUUUGUGAAUAAGAUCUUAGUUGGCUGCUCCUCUUCAGGAUAAGGAAAGUGUGGCAAAACUCGUGAAGCUGAUAGAUAAAAGCAAUGGGUACAUCUUUGCUGGCAUGGAUGCCAGUGCAGUUGAAUUCAGCAAGAUUGCCGUUCGCGAUGUGGAUUGGGAUUAUUACAGAUAUCCUUCUUUUCACCUACUUUCAAUCUUGUGAUUCUCAUAUUCAUAAAACUUUUAUGGUUCAUUGUAUGCAUCUGCAUCUUCUAAUUUGUACGUUUGAGAAACUAAUUUUGCUGUUAGGUAGGUGUCAAAUUUGAUUCAUGCGUUUUUUAUAAAUUUACCAAAAUCAUGGAAACUUCUUCUUCCCAGAUAUUGUAUCCACACUUUUCCCAUGUAAUUCAGUCAGACAAGUUUUGCUUAACAAAGAUAUCUACAGUAGCUGAAGUGCAGGAAAAGUACAUUGAGGAUGAUGACGAUGUUAACUAAAAUGGGACACGAAGAUAUAUGGUGCGCAAACCGUAAGCAUGCCUCUUACUUUUGUGCAUGUUUACUUGCUUGUGAUUCAUGUUUGUUAAUCUAUUAUGCUCUUUUGUUGGAUUUAUAAAGUUUUCAAUCAAUCAAACAUUUGACUGGUUCAGACAGGACAAGCGCGGAAGAGGUGGUUUUAAUCAAACCACUACUAAUUAUGAUGUAUCUCGGACCUUUGUACAAUAUCAAGCGAUUUUUUUAGUUGAAUCAGCUAGUGUACACAAAUGUCGUUUAUUGAUUUUUCUCUAGUAUAGUUCGUAAUUUUGGUAACACAUCUACUCUAGUAUCGAUUGUAAUUACAAGAAACAAAGUAAUGAAAUUUAUCACUGCAUUCAUAGUUAUGCUUAAGCUCAAAGACCACUGUCAAGAUCAUUUUGGGGCCUCUAUUUGUUCUAUAACAUGAUGUUGACACAUGUCAAAUUAUGAAGCUUGUGAUUAAAAUACUUUUCACAUAUAUAUUUUAAGUACCACUAAUAAUUAAAUAUAUGAAUAAAUAUGGUCAAUGAGGAGGGGAUAAAAUAAAAUGGUUUUAUUUUUUGAAUUACUCAACUGCUUCAAACUUCUAAGAAGUAGAUUUACGAUGAGCGGAAUCUUAAAUUGAGUACGAGCUAGGGAUAACUUAUAAAAUUGGGAUACAAGCUUCAAAGAAAGUGUAUUACUAUUCAUAUGUAGAUUUCGAAUUAAGAAGAUAUGCCAACUAAUUGUAUAAAAAUGUAAAAAUUGAUCACUGACAUAAUCCCAAAUGAUAAAAUGAGCUACCUCGAUCAAAAGGUCAAGAACCUACCUUCUCUUAGGGAUAAGUGAAAGCUUCCCAAUUGAAGGAAAGUGAAGAGAAGAUUCUAUGCUCUCAUUAUUAUUAUUAUUUGUUAGAAUGAAGUGCGAAGUGAGCACAUCAUGCAAGCUCAGCAGAAGUGAUAAGGUGACUUGUAACUCAGCUGGCACUCAAGAGACAAAGUGUAGUGGAGAAAAGUUUCCCAAUUGAAGGAAAGUGAAGGGAAGAUUCUAUGCUCUAAUAAUUAUUAGUUGACAAUGAAUUGGCAAAUAAAAACAAAAUAGCAAGCCUGUAAAGUAAUGAAGUGGAGACAAUGACCAUGUGAUUGAUUGGUAAAUAAAAACAAAAGAGCAAGCCUGUAAAGUAAUGUAAACUAUAGUGUAUAUUCAAGUUAAAGUAAUGGAAACAGUGUAUAUUCACAAAAAAUUCUUUUAUCUCUCAUUGUCUUGUUCUUUUCUUUAUUUACGUUGUCCAGAAGUAAAGCCAUACAUGUGAUGAAGCAUAAAUAAGAAAGCUAUCGCCCGAAAUUCAUUUUCACAAACACUUCAAUAUCCUUUUGAUCACUUUUGCAAACAUCAAUUUGUCUCCUCUUGUAUUCACCAUGGUUGAUGCCAUCGUUUCCCCUCUCGUGGAGCAGCUGAUUUCCUUCGCUGCUGAAGAGAUAAAACAACAGGUGAUCGAAGUUACACCCCUCAUAUUACAAAUACUUACAAUGAUUUUAUUUGGUUUUGCUUUUAUCAAAAACAUUAUAAUUAUAAUUUUUGAAAUUUGAAUUGAAUUUAAUUAAAAGGUGAUAUAGUAACCACUCAUUUUUAUUUUAUUUCAUUUAUAUUCUCGAUAACUACCCAUAUUGUGGUAACUUGCUAUAACUCUCGUAUAUAAGAAAUGAUCAAAACCCAUAAUUUUAACUCUGUAUAAAUAUUCAAUGUUGAGCUAAGGUUUUGUAGAACAUUCAAGUUUAUCAAACAGUCAUUAAUUUAAUGCUUAGUAAAAUCUCAACUCUGCACUGAAUCCCAUAACUAUUACUUAGACUCUAUGAAAAAUUUCAUAGUUUUCUUACAUUCUUUGAGUUUGGUAAGUGAUUUCAUAUAAUUUAUUUUCAAGUUAAAUUUUAAUUUGGUUUCUGAUAUAGUCUCUUUGCCGAAUUGUCUCUUUUAUGAUUCUUGGAUUUUGGGCUUCAACUUUUUAGGAUUUGAUAGUCACAUUUUAUGCCGUGCUCAGAUUGAUUUUCAUGAUUAUUAGUAGCCGUUAAGUGACUUACAAUUUGACGAAAGUUUGAAAGGAAAAAUGUUUCAGGAUUAUGUUUUAAUUGACCUUUUAGUGGAAAUAGGAUGCUUAUAACUUAAUGUGGAUGGUUCGUAAAAUCAUGAAAUUUGGAUAGGAUUCACUAGAAAUAUGUUCAAGACUCUCCAUAAAGUUUCAUAAUUUUUCAUUGGGUCUGGGCUGUUACAGGUGAUGCUUGUGACUGGUGUCGAGAAGGAAGUGAAAAGCCUUACGAACCACCUUCAUGCCAUUCAAGCUGUGCUCGAUGAUGCAGAGGAAAAGAAAGUGAAGAACAAAGCUGUUAGUCUUUGGCUGGGUAGGCUCAAGUAUGCAUCCUACGACAUUGAAGAUGUGUUGGAUGCGUGGAUCACAACAAGACGUAAAUUGCAAAUUGAGGGUGGCGUUGAUGACAAUGCUCUUGCUGCUCCUCAAAAGAAAAAGAAGGUGUGUUUCUGCUUUCCUGCCUCUUGUUUUGGAUUCAAACAAGAAGAAUUUGGUUUCAAACAAGUCUUUCUACGUUAUGACAUUGCCAACAAGAUCAAAGAAAUGAAUGAAGAGCUACAUGAUAUUGCCACUCAAAAAGACAUGUUUAAUCUUAAAAGUGGUGAAAGACCAAGGCGUGUACAGAGUACCUCCUUGAUUGAUGAGGAAGAGAUUUGUGGUAGAGUUGGUGAGAAGAAUGAACUCAUAAGCAAGCUGUUGCGUGAGAGUAGCGAGCAACAAAAAGGCCUCCAUAUCAUCUCAAUUGUUGGUAUGGGAGGCAUAGGGAAAACUACUCUUGCACAACUAGCUUGUAAUCAUGACGAGGUGAAGAGAAAGUUUGACAAAAUUCUGUGGGUGUGUGUAUCAGAAACUUUUGAGGAGUUUAGGGUAGCCAAAGCGAUCGUUGAAGCUUUGGAUAGUCGUGAAUCUCAUUUAGGUGAAUUUCAAUCUCUUCUUAAAUAUAUUUAUGAAUCAAUUGCAGGGAAGAGCUUUCUUCUUGUCUUAGAUGACGUGUGGGAUGGAAAUUACUUGAAAUGGGAACCAUUCUACCGUUGUCUAAAGAAUGGUCUCCAUGGAAGUAAAAUUUUAGUUACCACACGUAAAGGGUCAGUCGCAUCCAUGAUGGGAUCCAUAACUAUUAUCUCCGUUAAGGAGUUAGCUGAAGAGGAAUGUUGGUUGUUGUUUAAAAAGAUAGCAUUUUUUGAUCGGUCCAUCGAGGAACGUGAAAAAUUAGAACAAAUUGGGCAAAGAAUUGCAGGCAAGUGCAAAGGUUUACCUCUUGCAGCAAAGACAAUAGGGCAUCUCAUGCGUUCUAAACAAACUGAAGAAGAGUGGAAAAGAAUUUUAAAUAGUGAUUUAUGGAAAGUAGAAAAGAUUGAGAAAGAUGUUUUGUCCUCUUUAUUGUUGAGUUAUAAUGAUUUGCCAUCUAGAGUAAAAAGAUGUUUUUCAUAUUGUGCUGUCUUUCCAAAAGAUUAUAAUAUAAGAAAAGACAAACUAAUCUCAGUAUGGGUGGCUCAAGGUUAUCUUAGUGCAGAAGCAGCAGAACAAAAUGAGGAGUUGGAGACUAUAGGUGAAGAGUAUUUUAGCAUCUUAGCUUCUCGCUCUUUCUUUCAAGAGUUUAAGAAAAGUUAUGAUAAUUGGAUUAUAGAGUGUAAGAUGCAUGAUAUGGUACAUGAUUUUGCCCGAUUUGUAAGUCAAAAUGAAUGUUUUUCCAUGGCAAUUAAUGGUAGUGAAGAAUCAAACGCCACAAACUCUCUUGAUGAGAAGGUCCGUCAUUUAAUGUUAAUCUUUAGUAAAGGGGCUUCAUUACCUGUUUCCACUCUUAGAGUUAAAAGAAUGCGUAGCCUCUUUAUUAACGAUAGUGAAUCUGAUCAUUCAUCAUUAAAUGGUGAGAUCCUAGAAGAAUUAUUUAGGGAAUUGACAAGUUUAAGGGCAUUAGAUUUUGGCAAAUCGUGUAACUCAAGUUGGUCUUCGACUCUGGAGUAGGGAUGGCAAAAAUCCCCACGGGGACGGGUACCCUCGGGGAUUUUCCCCAUUCGGGGAGGGUAUGGGGAUAAUUUCAUACCCAAUUUCUUAUUCGGGGAGGGGACGGGGAAAUUUUUUUACCCAAUUUCUUAUUCGGGGAGGGGACGGGGAUGAGGUGGAAUCCCCAUCCCCUACCCAUUUCCCCAUUUUAAUUUUUAAUUUAAUUUUAAUUUUUUAAAAUUACUAGUAAAUAAAUUAUAAAAUUUAAAUUAUAAAAUUAUAAAUAUUGGUAAAAAUAAAAAAUAUCAAAAUAUUUAUAUUAUUAAACUUUUAGGCCUAAUUAGCUAAUUAAAGUUCUAAAUUUUUAUUUAGGACAUUAAAAAGACUGAGUAGAUUCUAUUAGCCAAAUUUUUUUUUAAUUUUGAUAUUCUUUAAAUAUUUUAAACUUAAAUCUAUUUUUUAUUUAAUUUUAGAUGUUAUAAUUGCCCACAGCGAAUCACAAUUUUAAUAUCUAAUCUAAUCUAAUCUAAUAUUUACUUUUGAUUUGCUCCGAUUUAACUAUUGUGUUGUAAAGGGAAUAGUCCACAUUUAUAAAGUGCCCACGCCACCAUUGAAAAAGUUAAUUUUGAAUCUAAAUUUGAUUUUAUUUGUAACAAUUUUGUAUUAGACUAUUAAUUUGUUCAUGAUAGUUUGUAAAAUAAGUUUGUAUCUCUUGUAUGUUGCGUUACUUACUAAUUUAAUGUAUGUGACUUUUGUAAUAGAUAUUAAUGUAAGAUAUAUUUCGAACUUUACUUUUAUUUGAAUUUUUUAUUUUAAUAUGAUUAACUCAAAAUCGAAAAAAAAAUGUAUUAGUUAAUCGGGGAUCGGGGACCCUCGGGGAUCCCCUGUUAUUAUCUUCNNNNNNNNNNNNNNNNNNNNNNNNNNNNNNNNNNNNNNNNNNNNNNNNNNNNNNNNNNNNNNNNNNNNNNNNNNNNNNNNNNNNNNNNNNNNNNNNNNNNACCUUAUUUGUGUUUUCAGAAAAUAGUGAAACUACCGGAGACAUUAUGCGAGUUGUAUAAUCUAGGAAAGUUAGAUAUUAGUUGUUGUUAUAGUCUUAAAGAAUUACCUGAAGGGAUUGGGAAGUUAAUAAACAUGAAGCAUUUACUAAAUAGAGAUACUCAUUCUUUAAGGUACAUGCCAGUAGGGAUUGGGAGAUUAACGGGUCUUAGGACCUUGGAUGAGUUCCACGUGAGUGCAGGAGGAGGUGUUGAUGAUAGGAAAGCAUGUAGGCUUGAAUCUCUAAAAAAAUUGGAACACCUUCAAGUAUGUGGUAUACGUAGACUGGGUGAUGUAUCAGAUGUGGGCGAGGCUAAGCGAUUAGAACUUGACAAAAAGAAAUACCUCUUCAGUUUGACCCUUGAGUUUGAUAAGAAGGAAAGAGGAAGAGAAAGGAGGAAGAACGAGGACGAUCAACUUCUUCUUGAAGCCCUGCGACCACCCCUGGAUUUUAAGGAAUUAGAGAUACGGUUCUACCGAGGCAACACUGUUUUCCCCAGCUGGAUGACGUCAUUAACCAACUUAAAGAGUUUAGAUCUCUGUAACUGCGAAAAUUGCGAGCAGCUGCCUCCUUUGGGAAAAUUGCCGUCCCUUGAAAAACUCAGCAUAAUGUUUAUGCCUGUGAAAAGAGUGGGUGAUGAAUUUUUGGGGAUAGAAAGUGGUCAUCGUGACUCAUCUUCAUCUUCAUCGGUUAUUAUUGCCUUCCCCAAAUUGAAAUCACUUUCAAUUGAGUCUCUGGACGAAUUGGAGGAGUGGGAUUAUGGGAUUACAGGAACGGGAAACACCUUCAUCAACAUCAUGCCACGUCUUUCUUCUUUGGAAAUUAAUUACUGCCCCAAAUUAAAGGCACUGCCCGACCACAUUCAUCAAACGACAACAUUGAAGGAAUUGCGCAUUUGGGGGUGUGACCUUCUGGAAGAACGUUACCGCAAGGGAGAAGGAGAAGACUGGCCUAAGAUAUCACACAUUCCCAACCUCCAUAUUGGGCUUUGACAAGUAAUUUCUUCUCUUACUCUGAUUUGCUUUGUUGUUGUUUUUAAUCUAAUUAAGAAGCGUAAAUAGCAUUUUGAAUCAAACUCUAUAUCAGAAAUCUGCAAUACUUACUUUCUAAUAUUCUGAUUUUCAUAUCCUAUGAAUAUACGAUUUUUAAUUUGUGAGAUGGGUAACGUUACUGUAAAAGAUUAUUAAUGCAAUAUGAGUAAUUCUUUUGCAGGACAAGUGACCUACAUUUAGUUUGGCUUUGGAGUUGAAUAAUAACCUUUCGGGAACUGGUGUGGACUGGCAAAGGAUGAUGAGAUAGUUUUUUGAGUGAGUAAAUUUUGGGAGCUUGAGUGUAUUGGGAUUUGCAAUUACAAUCAUCCUCUGCUUCAGGUGAUUUCUUCUCUUGCUCUGUCAUUGUUUGUUCUCUAAUUCAAAAGCAUGAAAUAUUUCAAUCAAUUUUUAUACCAGGAAUAUGCAAAAGUUUCUAAUAUUUUAUUUCCAUCUGUUACAAGAUCAAACUGAAGCAGAACUCAAACAAAAGUAUGCUACUUCUUGCGGAAAUCUUGCCUUUGUUCAGAUUAUGAAACCAUUUCCAUGCAGCAAAUUCAUCCAAAAGUUUGAAUAAGUUUCAUGGUCGGACACUGUUGGCUUCUUUUUCUUCUGGGGUGCAUUUAGGUGCUAUCAAGUGACAGCUGUAAGUAUGAUUGCACUAAGCUGCUGCUGGGAAAUUUGAGGUUUUGAUGGCUGCCCAUGUUAUUUUCAAGAAACUAUUGAUGUAAGAAGCCGUGGUUCUUUUCAUCAGCUUGAACCUGAAACUGUCGCUAUGGAUAACUCAGGUUUUUGUUAUCAACUAUAUCAUCUUUUUCACUAUUUUGAAACUCUUAAGAUUAAACGUUAGUAAAGUUGUUUCAGCUAUUCAAAUGAAAAACUCAUUGAUUUGAGACUUCCUUCAUUAUUGUUUCUAAUUACAAUGCUAACGAUCCAGAUAAAAUAAUAUUUAAUCGGCGAAGGUGUCCCUUGGAAGUACAUCCUUCUUUUUCUUUUAUUAUAUAAAUUCUUGCAAUGAGCUUAGUGAAGCUGUUGUGCUAUCAUGCCACUGCAUAAUUUGGCCCCUAAUGUGGGUACUCUGUUUCAUUGUUCUGCAAAUUCUCCAGCAGUUAAAAUCAAUAAAUUUUCUAUUAGCUCUAGUGCUUUGACCUAAAUGCUAUUCUAUAUUCUGAUUACAAUGUUUUAACCUUUAAAUUAACUACUCCUAGAUGUUGGAUUUUCUAGAACUUCAAAAUGAUUAAUGGAGAAAGAUCCCAUUAUCGUUAUUGCUAUAAGAAAUUGAUUUAUGCAUCCAAAGAUACAUUAUAUAUUUCUGUGUCUCUAUUUAUAGAUGACAUUUAAGCAUCCAUAAACCGUCAGACAGAGGAAGGGGGUUCAGUGCAAAGAUUCUGUUGACCUAGGGUUGACUGCAUAAUGUCACUUGUUCGCAAUCUAUUAUUUAUUUUAUAUUUUGAAGAAUUUAAUGGGUAAUCCUAAUUGUUUGUUUUGGCAGGUAUGUGUUGUUAUCUCCUUCUAUCUUACAGUCAUACCUAAAUAGCAUAGUUUCAUCUGUGUUACCAUGUGAUGUACAUAAUUUCACAUUUGCCUCAGAUUAAGCUUAAUUUCCCACAAAAUAGAGCUGUCGCGACUGGACUUAGGUUGAUGUCCAAAGAGGUAAAUUAUUGGCAUGCCUAGAUAAUUUGGCCAUUUCCUAAUUCAUAAGUCUACGUUAAUUUUGAUUUUGAGUUGACUGAUUUCUUUUCAAGGUCUGCUUCCUUAACGGAGUGACCAAUGUUUUUCAACUAAAUUUAUCAUAUGAUGCAGGAAGCAGGGCAGGAUAUGAAAUGAGAAGCUCAUUGGUGGAAGUAUUGCCAGUAGCAGAACCCAAUGAAAAUGAAACUAUUUCAAGGCAGCAGUUGGCAGUUGCAAGUGAAUGGAGGCCCUUGACAAAAUUCUCAAGCGGUUGCAAUGCAAUUACGAUCAUCCUCAGCCUCAGGUAAUUUCUUCUCCUGCUUUGUAUUUAUUUGUUAUCUAAUUAGGAAGCGUAAAGUAUCUUGAAUCAUUUUCUGUAUCUGGAAUAUAUGCAAGAGUUUCUAAAAUUUUGAUAUGAGUGUAAUGAUGGUAAUUUCUGUUUUCUGUCUGUCAUCAAAUGUUAGAAAACUUUCAUUGAGACCCUUGAACCGAGUCAUUUUUGACAAGUGAAGGACAAUUGCUGAAGAGUGGGAAUGGUGCUAGAUUGGGGAAUAAAGACAAAGGAGGUAAAUUAUUUGCAGUUUAUUCAGCAUUAUUUGCUUUGGACCAGCGCCUGAUUCACAAGUCUCCAUAAUUUGGCUUUUGACCAGUUAAUAAAUUUUUAAUUCCAUUGGUGCUAAAUGUACACGUGAAGCAGGCAGAGCAGGACUGUGGAAAUGAGAAGGUUUUUAGUGAAAGCUUAAACUCAGGUAAUUCUAAAAAGUACAUGUUUUUGCUGAUUUAUCUAAAUCAGGAAAUUUUAUUUCCAUCUGUUACAAGAUAAAACAGAAACAGUCAAACAGAACACACAGAAAAAUAUUCUACUUCUUGUGGCAAUCUUGCCUUCAUUCAGACAAUGAAACCAUUUCCUUUCACCAAUUUCUUCCAAAAGUUUGAAUAAGUUUCAUGGUUGGACAUAGUUAGCUUCUUUUUCUUUUGGUGCAUUUAGGUCCUAUCAAGUGACAGCCAUAAGUAUGAUUGCAUUAUUGGAAAAUUUUAGGUUUGGAUGGUUCCCCAUGUUAUUGCCAAGAAAGUCCUCAUGUCAGAAGCUGCGGUUCUUUUCAUCAGCCUGAACCCGAACCUGUCGUUAUGGAUAACUCAGGUUUUUGUCGUCAACUAUAUCAUCUUUUUUACUGUUUUGAAACUCUUAAGAUUAAACUUCAGUAAAGUUGUUUCAGUUAUCCAUGUAAUCCGGCUAAGGAUAUUUAGCAGCUUAUUUAGGCAACUGCCAGAAUUCAGUUUGUUUGCUCGAAACUUGUAUGGUGACAAGGAUACUGGCAAGGAUAGUGAGAUAGUUUUUUGUGUGAGUGAAAUUUGAAAGCUUGGGUGUUCUGGGAUUUGCAAUUGCAAUCAUCCUCUGAGUCAGGUGAUUUCUUCUCCUGCUCUGUCUUGAUUUUCUCUCUAAUUGAAAGCAUAAAGUAUUUCAAUCAAAUUCUGUACCAGGAAUACGUAAAAGUUACUAAUAUUUUAUUUCCAUCUGUUUGCAUUGAUAACUCGGCCGCAUAUGUUCUAGUUAAAGAACAAACAGAAACAGAGUUCAGGAAAAAGUUUCUUCGGCCACCAUAUUUGAAAAUGAAACCAUUUCCAGGAAGCAGUUGGCAGCAAAUUCAUAUGGAGUGUAGACAAUGAUGAGCGAAAAGGUGAUUCGCAAUUUCUUUUUUUUUUUUAAGUGAAAUUAUUUGUUAGAUUGAAGCUGAUAUUGUAAGAAGGCCAUUGAGCUAACCUAUGUCGCCACUUGCCUAGAUUGCAGGGGGUCAAGACUCAAAAGAAGCACUGAAAUUUAAAAAGCAUGCAAUAGUUCUUUUGCCAUGUGUCAAUUAAUGCAAGUUUGAAUAAGUUUAUUGGCUGAACGAUGUUAGCUUCUUUUCCUUUCGUGCACUUUGGUAUGCUAUCAAGUGACAGCCGUAUGUAUGGCUUGCAUAUAGCUGCUGCUGGGAAAAUUGACGAUUUCAUGGCUGGCCGUGUUAUUGUCUUAAAUUAGUUGUGAUAAGCUGUUGCUUGGAGAUUCUGUUGCCAAGACUUUGCUCACAUCAGAAGCUGUGGAAUCUGAACCCUUCGUUAUGUAUCAUCUUUUUCAUUGUUUUAAAACUCUCAGGAUUAAACUUGAGCGAAUUUGUUCGGUUGUCUAUAUAAUCAUGUAUUGAGUAAACUCUCAGGAAACUGAACAUGCAAAUGUUAUAACUCGGGUUGUUAGCCAAAAACUUGUUGAAUAGGGAUUUGGAUUUGUUAGGAAGUUAUCAUUUUUUAUUUUUUAUUUUGUUUUAUUUUUUUAUUUUUUUAUUUUUAUCUUCUGGUGGUGCUAUAUUUUCAAACGACAGUCCGAUUCAAAACUUGAUAUUCCAAUUAUAUUCAUAAGCUUCUAUAGUUAUCUUCAAAAAGACAAAUGGAAGGCUUUGAACGGCUUGGGUCUGAGUAUUGUAGUUUGAUUUAUUUUGAUGAAAGAACCUUUUGACAUUAAGAUUCUUUCAUGAGUUAAACAUUCUUUUUAAAACCAACUUAUUAAAAAAAAGUAACGAACAUAUAUUAUUUUGUUAGUGCUUUUUAAAUCAAAUAUAAAAAAGAGAACUGUAAUUCUUAGCAACCAAUUUUUCACUGAGUACAGCUACAACAAACUAUUAAAAAAUAAAGUGAUAGAAAAUGCCUGAUUUUUCGUACUUUCUAAUUACUUUUGGUCCUAAAAUAUGGCGAUUUGUGUAAUAAUAAGUCCAUGUAUAUCUUUAUGCCAUUAGUUUGAUAAAUAGCUAUCAAGGAUAACUUAUUAAGCUAAAAAUAUUUGAAGGAUAAAAUGAUAAAACUAAAAGGGUGGAGUAAUAUAGUUAUUUAGGAUUACAUAGUAAGUCAACUAUAUUCAAGGGAUAAAAUAUUAAAACUUGAAUAGUGAUAUUAAAAAUAUCUCGGUUAUUAUACUAUUAAAUCAUAUGCCGUAAUAGUAUUUUUUUUCAAACUUUAAAAAAUUCAGGAUUUUAAAUUAAAACAUGGAUUUCUUUAAGAUGCUAUAUAUGUUUUUUAUAGUAUUGAUAUUGGGAUUAGUGUGGACCCUUAGAUGAAAGAGUUUUAAUCUGAAUCAUUCAUUUAAUAUAAUAGAUAAUUAAAUAAUUAAUUAAAAUAUAGCAGGUAACUUAUAGGUUGUAGGUAAAAAAUUAAUUUUUUAAUUUUAAAUUAAAAUUAAUUUGGAAAAAUACCAUCCACACCCCUAAAGUUUACUUAAAUGAUCAUAUAAAUCCCUUUAGUUUCUACAUAGUUAUACAGAGCCUCUUAAUUUCAUAAAUUAUUAUUAUACUUUUAAUUAAAACAACCUAAAUGAAUAUAAAUAUAGUAAUAGGAUAGAAAUAAUAAAUAAAUAUCAGAUGAAACAAAUAAAAUAUUACAAUAAAUACAAUUAAUUAAAUAAUAUGUAUGAUGAAAAUUUUAUUCAUAUUAAGUUAUUAUUAGUCUAUCCCGAUGGAUUUACUCAAAUCAAUUAAUCCAAAAUUUAAUUUUAAGAUUGAUAUUAAUAUGGACAUAAUUAAAUAAGAUGUUGUAAUAUAUACUACUUUGAAUGUUAAGUAUAAUUAUCUAAUAUUAUUAGUAUGUGAAAUAGAUUUUAAUAUUAUUAAAAGAAUAUGACAAUAUAUAAUUUUGAAAUAAAUUUUUUAGUAUUCAUAAUAUUUUAUAAAUUUUAUCUUAUUUUAUAUAUUAUAUUUUUUUAUUUUAAUGUAUUAUAUAUGAUCAUUUAAGCAAAUUUUGGAGGUGCGGUGGUCUUUUCCCUAUUAAUUUUAUAGCAUAUUUAAAGUGUUAUAUCAUACAUCAUACAUCGCACUUUUGUUAAAGUGUUAUGUUAUUAAAAAUUAAACUUUGCAUUUAUAAUAUACUACCAUUUUAAUGUAAAGGUAAUAGAAAAUAUGAAGAUAUUUUUAAGUAGUCAAUUGUAGUUUUCUUUUACAAAAUAGCAGUAUAGAAAUACACACACACACACACACACAUAUCAAGUACUUGUAUGUUCCCCUAACUUUUAUUAAUAGGAAGGAAAUUAAAUUCAUAAUUUUCCCGGUGAAUUAUGAAUUGAUAAAUGAAAUAUAAAUAUUAGAAAAAAUUAAUUUGUCGACUAAAGAAGUAAACCAUAUUUUAUGGGCAUUUAAUACAUUAAUUUAAGGUCAAAUGAGAUAUAUCACAUGAUAUUUGAUAUAGUAGUCCAAUUUUCAACAUUUGCAUAUAGUUUCUAAGCUAGUAAUCUAAUAAAAUAUACCAAAUGAGAAAUUGAAGGCUAUUAUUUAUAUUUCACCAUUGGACAAACACCAUACAUUAGAAUAAAAAAAUCUCACAGUAGAGACGGCAUCUGUUUGCAUGUUUUGAAAAUAGAUUUUGAAAUUAGUUUAAUUACAUGAUAAUUAAAUUAUAUUAUAAAAUUAAGAAUAUGAUUUAAGUACUAUUUUAGCAAUUUUGAGUCUCACAUUGAGUAUUGAAGUUAAUUAAAUGUUGAAACUCUUUUCUAUUUGGCUUGAAAUCACUACUUAAUAAAAUUACAAAAAGUCAAUAAUGAAUGAUGUAGGACACAUAUGUAAAAUAAAUUUUAAAGUGUAAUUAAACAUUCCUAUCAAUAUUAGUUUUGUAUACAUAUUCAUAUAUUUUACUGAAACCAUAUAUAAUUAAAUUUUGUGUAAUUAAGUAAAAUAUAUUAUUCAAGUGAAUUUAUGAGAAUAUGUAAAAUUGUAGGGGUGGUCACUGAAAUUUGCCAAACUUGAGCCAACCGUGCAUGAUCCAAACAGUUUAUUUUAAUAAUUCUCAAUAUGUUAGUCUGUUUGACUGUUGGCAAAAUGAAUUCCUAUCAGCAAUGCAACACAAUUCAAAAUCAUAUCUGCAUACAACGAACAAUAUCUCAUCAAAGAUCAAAUUAUACAUUUUUUACACCAAAGCAUAAAUAUCUAAAUUGUCCCUCUUCAACUCACCAAGCUCAUACCUAACAACAGCAAGAUUAAAUGUCAUUUGAUCCAUCUUUUUUAUUAAGCUUUAUCAAUUCUUCUCAUGGUUGCAAUUUUGAAAGCUCGCUUCGCUAUUUCCAUUUGCUUUUAUGCUUUGUUUGAGCUCCAUCUACAUUUUACACUGUAAAAAAAAUUUAAAAAAAAUUACAAAGCUUCUUAUACUAGAAUAUGAGCAACAAUAUAAAUAAUAAACAAUAAAGUUAUGAUAGCACAGCAUACUCAUUAAAGUGCUUCUUUUUUUUUUUCAGCAAGAAAUUACUACUGAAUUAAAGAAUUGGCUUUGCAUUAAGGUUUGCCUUCAAUAACUCAACUCCCCACUUGGGUUUUGUCGUUUUCUUAAAAUCUCUGCUCAAUCAAUUUAAAGAUCCAUUUUUUUUUUCUUUCCAAAGAUCUAAAAGCAAUGUCUUUUAUUGGUACCCAACAAAAAUGCAAGGUCUGUGAGAAGACAGUUUGUCCAGUUGAACAGUUAUCUACUGAUGGGGUUGUUUAUCACAAGUCUUGCUUCAAGUGCUCUCACUGCAAAGGCACACUCAAGCUAAGCAAUUACUCAUCCCUGGAAGGUGCUCUUUACUGUAAGCCUCACUUUGAGCAGCUUUUGAAGGAGUCGAGUAACUUCAACAAGAAUUUCCAAUUACCUGCAAAGUCAGCUGAGAAGUUAACUCCUGAGCUGAGAAGGUCGCCUAGCAAAGUUGCCAGCAUGUUCUCUGGGCCCAAUAAAAAUGUGCUUCUUGCAGUAAAACAGUGUGUCCGUGGGAGAACGUAGCAGCGGAAAACCAAGCCUCUCACAAGACAUGUUUCAAGUGCUCACAUGGUGGUUAUUCCAUUAGCCCGUCAAAUUACGCAGCCCUAGAAGGCAUCUUGUAUUGCAAACAUAAUUUCUCCCAAUUGUUCAAGGAAAAAGGCAGCUACAACCACCUUAUAUAAAAUCUGCUUCCAUGAAGCGUGCUGCAGUCUCUGUUCAAGAAGCUUGAACAUGUUAUGUUAUCUUCCAUAAAUCUUAUUUGGCGUGGGUUUUCUCUGGCUUGAGGGUGUGCUUUCUAUUUUGAUCCCUCUUGUUGUUUUUGCGGGGAACUACCAAACCUUCGGUUCCCUCUGCUUCUUUGGAUCAUCUUUGUUGGGACAAAUUUCAUGUAAUUAGAGAUACUGAUUUAUGGGAGGCAUAAUCCCAUGGUCGUAAAUUGACCAUUUUCUGGCAAUGUUCUUUUUAAAAAGAGAUGAGCAGUUGUUUAACAAAAAAAAUAGCUGGCCUUCAUCAUGGUAUGUUACCAAACUGCUAUGUAUAGCUGCUAACUAUGAGCAUCCGAAAAUAUGGUGCAUCGUGAUUCAUGUAGUGCAAUAUGGCUACCAACGCAUCCUAAAUGGAGUAUUACUCAGUUAGUCAGCAAAAUAAGACAACAUAACUGAUAUUAAAAAAAUAAAAAAACUACAUUAAUAAGUGGGCAAGAUCAUGCCAGUUUAACUUUUCGCGCGUCGCUGCUGGAGAUAAUCAAAUCGGGGCAGAGAAAAGGAGAAUGGAAUCAGAGGCUAAGAUUAAUAAGUGGGCUUCUGCUUGCUUUGCCCCUCUUUCUUAAACGAUUGGUAGACUGCUGCUUCCACCGAUUAACCGGGUCUUCAACCACUGCUUUUACUGCCUGCCAUCUUGUUGUUUGUCGAAGGGAUGAAUUCGAGUCGAAAAGAGAAAGCGCGCUGAAAAAGAUAAAUCACUAGUGGUUAACUGCUUACUCAGCCAAGUGUUGGCUUCACUUGAUUCACCGAUUGAGGUUAUUUUGUCUUCUAUCUAAUGCAGCGAAGAAGCUUUGCUGCUUAACAUGCUGCAAUGCAACUUUAUCCUUUGAAGUUCACACUUCAGGGCUGCGCACUUUAUGUAAUCCUAUGAGUAAAAAGAAUUUGUUUUCAAAUGUGAAAAAAGAAAAUGUAAGGUAGUAACUAAAUAUUUUAUAGCAUCAAAGCAAUAUUUGAUAUGAAUUUAGUACAACAAAGAACAUCAAAUCUGUGAUUCCUUGUCUAGUGUCACCAUCGAGCAACAAAUUUAAAAGCCUACCUAUCAAAUACACGAGGCAAUAAACGGAGAAAAAGUUGAAUUACAAGAACAAGUUUACAAUUCUUGUCAAUGGUUAAUGAUUUGUGAACUGAGACAGCUUUCAAGAAUCCAAUUUCAAUACAACAACGUAAAAGAUAAACAGAUGAUGAAUUCUAUGAGAUAAAGAAGGAGAUCGUGUUUUAUCGUAUCUCUAUUUUCUUUCUUUUUAAAUUUAAAAUAAGCUUUUCAACCGGUUUGUUAACCGGUUAUAAUAUUUUUUAAAAUAAUUAAAUAUUUUCAUUAUUAAAAAUAAUGUGUACCGUUGAUUACAUCUAACGGUAUAUAUUUCUUACACUACUAAUAUCGUAAAAAAAAAAUACAGCAUCAUAGAGGGACCCUUAAAACAUUUUCAUUUGAAAUUAUUUGGUGAAGUGAAAAAGUUAAGAAAGAAAUAGUUGUCCCUUUGGUCAUUUCACAAAAAUGAAAGCCCCAUAUAACAUGGACUUGAAUGGAAGCCCAAUUGUUGUGUUUGAUUUCAAGCUUUAUCGGACCUUUGGACCUGGAUACUUUACUGCGGCCUCUAAGCGCUACAAAUUUUUUUUUUGGGAUAAAAGGCGCUUCAAUGAAAAAGCACUUUAAAACUUUGGAUUUUGCCAAAACUUCAAAGCGGUUGGUCCGGUUACGGUGUUAUGCUAACGGGUUUAAAGGUUCUGAUCCAAUGAGUUAGGGUGGAAUAUGAAUAUAUAAAUUCCAUAGCAUGUGAGGACUAGGAUUUGUUUGUUCAUAUCAAGAAAAAAGAUCUGAAAAUUUGAUGAUCAGAAGAUAAAAACACUUAAACACGUUUAUUACAGAGAAACAAACGACAACACGAUACUAGUAGUAGUUAUUCUUUUCAUCCGAUAUAUUACAUGGUAAUAUCACCACUCGUUCCACUGGUUUCAUAUACACCAUCGACCAGCAACAUGAUAAUUUUGUGUCAGUUCAUUUUGUUUGUAGGAAAGAGCAGUAUCUUUUUUAGAACUUGAAAAUAAUAAAAAGAUUUUAAAAUAUAAAUUGCAUAUUUGUUUAUUGCUGUUGUUUGGUCUAAUUUCUUACGUAGAAUUGCUUGUCAUUCUUUGUACGUUAUUGAUUAUAUUUUUGUCAGACUUGGCGUAUAUAUUCACAUAUGUUUUAUUUUGUCAUUUUGUAGAACAUUUUUACAUGCCAUAUUAUCACGACUCUUCUGUGUCUGAAUAAGAAGAAAGCAUAAUGCGACCCUCCAACAGCUUAAUCUAUGGAAUUAUCGUGUUUUGUAAGUUGAGGUCCAAUGGCGUUUUGGCACAUCAUAUGAUAGACCACUAUAUUGCGUUGCUUUACAAAAGAUUAAUAUUUUUAAAAUUAUUAGGUAAGUUUAGGCUCAGUGGCACUUUAACUCAUGAUAUGAUAGUCCAGGUUUUCAUCAGCCUGAACAUGGACCUGUCGCCAUGGAUAACUCAGGUUUUUUUUUUUUUAAUCAACUACGUCAUCUUUUCCACUGUUUUGAAACUCUUAAGAUUAAACUUUAGUAAAGUUAUUUUAGUUAUCCAUGUAAUCAAGCUGAGGAUACUUAGCUGCCUAUUUAGGCAAAUGUCAGAAUUUAGUUUGUUCGCUGGGAACUGGUGUGGUGACAGCGUCCUGGCAAAGGAUGAUGAGAUAGUUUUUUGAUUGAGUAAAUUUUGGGAGCUUGAGUGUAUUGGGAUUUGCAAUUACAAUCAUCCUCUGCCUCAGGUGAUUUCUUCUCCUGCCCUGUCGUUGUUUGUUCUCUAAUUCAAAAUUAUAAAAUUUUUCAAUCAAAUUUUAUGCCAGGAAUAUGCAAAAGUUUCUAAUAUUUUAUUUCCAUCUGUUUGCCUUGAUAACUUUGCGGCAUAUGUACUAGUUAAAUCCCUCAAAACGUAAACAAAACUCUGUUGGUAUUGAUUCCUAAGGUGGACCAUCCUACCAGUUUAACGAUGUUUCGGCCUAUAAGUUUAUGCACUGUCGCCUAUAAGACAGUGACUAAAAUUAUUGCCACUCGUUUACAAGAACUAUUACCUGAGCUGAUCGGGCCUCAUCAGACAAGUUUUGUUCCCGGACGACACAUUGUGGACAACAUUGUUAUUGCUCAGGAAGUGGUUCACUCCAUGCGCAGAAAAACUGGUAAAAGAGGGCUUAUGGCUAUUAAGGUGGAUCUCGAGAAGGCAUAUGAUCGGCUGAACUGGUCGUUUAUUUUUGAAACUCUUCAAUUGACAGGGCUCCCGAUUCAAUUAUCUCGGCUCAUCAUGGAAUGUGUUAAAUCAGCUAGCAUGAAUAUUUUGUGGAAUGGCGAGGUAACUGAGGAGUUUUUUCCGGGAAGAGGUAUUCGGCAGGGUGACCCUCUAUCUCCGUAUAUUUUUGUGCUCUGCAUCGAGCGUUUGAGCCAUGGAAUAUCCCAAGCUGUGGGGGAUGGAAGUUGGAAGCCAAUUCGGCUGGCUAAACAUGGCACUCCCCUUACCCACCUUUUUUUUGCUGAUGAUUUGCUUUUAUUUGCAGAAGCUUCGAUUGAUCAAGCUCAUAUCAUUGAUGCGGUUUUGGAGAAUUUUUGUCGAAGUUCUGAAGUAAAGGUUAACAAAGUGAAAACUACAAUUUUCUUUUCGAAGAACGUUGCUGCAAGAGAGGCCAAGCUCAUUGGUGCUGCCUUGGGGGUUUCGAUUACUCAUGAUCUGGGAAGCUAUCUUGGAAUGCCGUUACUUCAUUCGAGGGUGAAUAAAGCUACGUAUCAAUCUAUUUUAGACAAGGUAGACAUAAGGCUCAGUGGCUGGAACGCGGCUCAUUUAUCCUUUGCUGGUCGUGUUACUUUGGCGCAAUCGGUGAUUCAAGCUAUGCCAAUUUAUGCAAUGCAAACGACCAUGCUUCCUGCUUCGGUGCGCCAUAGAAUUGAUAAGAGCUGCCGUAGAUUUAUUUGGGAUGGGAAGUCGAAGAGUCCUAAGAUGUGCAUGGUGGGCUGGGAUAAAAUCUGCUUGCCGAAAUCAAGUGGUGGCUUGGGGUUUAAGAACUUAGAGGUGAUGAAUCAUGCCCUGUUGAUGAAGAUUAGUUGGGGCAUUAUCUCCAACUCAGAUAAGUUAUGGGUGCGGGUUCUCUGUUCCAAAUAUGGAUUGGACCCAUGCAAUUUGCCGUCUUCCCUCCCUGACAAACAAGGUUCGCGUAUCUGGUCUGCUAUAAGAAAAACGUGGAAUGCAACCAUGCAUGGAGCUCGCUGGGCAGUGUGUGAUAGUGCUCGAAUUCGUUUCUGGCUGGACUGUUGGGUGACGAAAUAUGAGCCUUUGAUUCACCUAGCUCUCCAACCGAUCCCUCAGGCCUCUCUCAAUGCUACGGUUAGCGAAUUUACUAAUGAUUAUGGUGGCUGGAGAUGGGCGAGCUUUGAAUUCCUACUGCCCCCUUCUGUUCUUAUGCAGAUUGCCUCGAUCAUGCCACCUGCGCCGCAUCUUGGUCCUGAUAGACUAUAUUGGAGUUAUAAUCCAAGAGGGUUGUUCACAGUCCGAACUGCUUAUGAGUCUCUUUGCUACCAUAACUUAGACACUCAAGAUAAAGUAUGGAAAUUGCCAUGGUCUUGGAAAGGGCCCCAAUCUAUAAAGCUCUUUAUUUGGCAGACUUUGCAUGGCAAAUUGAAGACCCACAGUGAGCUUAAUAGGCGUAAUAUCCCCGUUUCUGAAGUUUGUGUUAGGUGUGGGGUUUCGGCUGAGGGCAUUCUUCAUGCUGUGAGAGAUUGUAGUUGCAUUAAGAAUCUAUGGCUUAGUCUUGUUCCAACCUGUCAUCAACUUGCUUUCUUCCAAUCCAACUUACGUGCAUGGGUUGCUGCCAACAUGCAAAAUACGUGGAAAAUUGAUUCGGAGCUUCCUUGGGAUUGUAUUUUUGGAGUGGCUAUUUGGAGAUUAUGGUUUUGGCGUAAUCAAUUUAUUAUGGCUGGGAAUUUGGUAGAUAGCAAGACAAUAUAUUCGGAUAUUAUGGCCAGAGCUAGUGAGAUCCAUAGAAUUAAUAACUCACAUCUCAGCCCACAACCAAGGCGUAAGGAGAUUUUUAUUGGUUGGUUGCCUCCUCCAUGGCCAUGGUGUAAGUUGAACACAGAUGGUUUCUGUAAACAUACAGGAGCAACUGCAGCGGGUGGGGUUAUUCGCGACUCCGUUGGUAACUGGGUCUCAGGCUUUAGUAUGAAUAUUGGGGAAAGCUCAGUGAUUAUGGCUGAACUUUGGGGCCUGUAUCAAGGAUUGUCCCUCGCCUGGAAUGUUGGAAUUAGACAUCUUUUGGUGGAAGUAGACAGCCUCUGUGUAACUCAGAUGAUUUCUCAACAGAUGGUUGUGCCUAAUGUCUCCUACGCUUUAGUGGUGGCAAUUCGUGAUUUUUUAAACAGAAAUUGGCAGAUUAAUAUCUCGCAUAUCUACCGUGAAGCGAACUCAGCUGCGGAUUUCAUGGCAAAUAUGGCCCAUUUAAUACCGCAUGGUCUACAGUUAUUCUCUAACCCGCCUGUGGGUAUUUAUUCUAUUCUUUCACAAGACAUGUAUGGGGUUUGUCAACCCCGCAUUAUUCCUAUCUAGCUCGCCUUGAUGAGCCCCUUUUAAUAAAAAAAAAAAGAAGAACAAAUCGAAACAGAGCUCAGUUAAAAGUUUCUUCUGCCGUCAUAUUUGAAAAAUGAAACCAUUUCCAGGAAGCAAUGGGCAGCAAAUUCAUAUAAAGCGUAGACAAUGAUGAGUAAAAAGGUAAUUCACAAUUUCACUUUUUUUUUAAUGAAAUUAAUUGUUUGGUUGGAGAGGAUAUUGUUAGAAGGCCAUUGAGCUAACCUAUGUCACUACUUGCCUAGAUUGCAGGGGGUCAAAACUCAAAAGAGGCAUUGAUUUUAAAAGGCAUCCAAUAAUUCUUGUGGCCAUAUAUCAAUUCAUGUAAGUUUGAUUGUAAUUAUUGGUGAAGGGGUUUCACUUCCCGUCUCUAAAUAAAAAUACUGAUUCUUUAAGGUACAUGCCACUAGGGAUUGCGAGAUUAACGAGUCUUUGGACAUUGGAAGAGCUCCUUGUGAGUGGAGGAGGAGGUGUUGAUGGUAGCAAAGCAUGUGGGCAGUGGGCUUGAAUCUCUUAAAAACUCGGAACUCCUCCAAGCGUAAGUAUACGUAUACUGGGAAAUGUGUUAGAUGUGGAUGAGGCUAAGAGAUUAGAGCUUGACAAAAUGAAAUACCUCUUUCAUUGAGACUUAAAUUUGAUGGGGAAGAAGAAAAAGAAGAGGGAAGGAGGAAGAAUGAGGAUAAUCAACUUGUUCUUGAAGCCUUGCAACCACCUCUGAAUUUGAAGGAAUUAGAGAUUUGGUCAUACAGAGGCAACAUUUGUUUUCAAAUGUGAAAAAAGAAAAUGUAAGGUAGUAAUUAAAUAUAUUAUAGCAUCAAAGCAAGAUUUGAUAUGAAUUUAAUACAACAAAGAACAUCAAAUCUGUGAUUCCUUGUCUAAUGUCACCAUCGAGCAACAAAUUUAAAAGCCUACCUAUCAAAUACACGAGGCAAUAAACGGAGAAAAAGUUGAAUUACAAGAACAAGUUUACAAUUCUUGUCAAUGGUUAAUGAUUCGUGAACUCGGACAGCAUUCAAGAGUCUAAUUUCAAUACAACAACGUAAAAGAUAAACAGAUGAUGAAUUUUAUGAGAUAAAGAAGGAGAUCGUGUUUUAUCGUAUCUCUAUUUUCUUUCUUUUUAAAUUUAAAAUAAGCUUUUCAACCGGUUUGUUAACCGGUUAUAAUAUUUUUUAAAAUAAUUAAAUAUUUUCAUUAUUAAAAAUAAUGUGUACCGUUGAUUACAUCUAACGGUAUAUAUUUCUUACACUACUAAUACCGUAAAAAAAAAAUACGGCAUCAUAGAGGGACCUUAAAACAUUUUCAUUUGAAAUUAUUUGGUGAAGUGAAAAAGUUAAGAAAGAAAUAGUUGUCCCUUUGGUCAUUUCACGAAAAUGAAAGCCCCAUAUAACAUGGACUUGAAUGGAAGCCCAAUUGUUGUGUUUGAUUUCAAGCUUUAUCGGACCUUUGGACCUGGAUACUUUACUGCGGCCUCUAAGCGCUAUAAAUUUUUUUUUGGGAUAAAAGGCGCUUCAAUGAAAAAGCACUUUAAAACUUUGGAUUUUGCCAAAACUUCAAAGCGGUUGGUCCAGUUACGGUGUUAUGCUAACGGUUUUAAAGGUUCGGAUCCAAUGAGUUAGGGUGGAAUAUGAAUAUAUAAAUUCCAUAGCAUGUAAGGACUAGGAUUUGUUUGUUCAUAUCAAGAAAAAAGAUCUGAAAAUUUGAUGAUCAGAAGAUAAAAACACUUAAACACGUUUAUUACUGAGAAACAAACGACAACACGAUACUAGUAGUAGUUAUUCUUUUCAUCCGAUAUAUUACAUGGUAAUAUCACUACUCGUUCCACUGGUUUCAUAUACACCAUCGACCAGCAACAUGAUAAUUUUGUGUCAGUUCAUUUUGUUUGUAGGAAAGAGCAGUGUAUUUCUUAGAGCUUGAAAAUAAUAAAAAGAUUUUAAAAUAUAAAUUGCAUAUUUGUUUAUUACUGUUGUUUGGUCUAAUUUCUUAUGUAGAAUUUUCAGAAUCUGUAGGACGUUAAUUUAUAACUUUGGUAAUUUAAUUAUUUUCUUUUUAUUAAUGUCCGGACAAAAAAUUAUUAUAAAAGGGUAAUAUUGUAAAAGUAAGCCAAAAUAAAUAACAAAUAACGAUAAGAGUAUCAAUAUUUUAAUAGCAGGGAUAUUUCGAGAUAUUUUUAAAAAUACAGAGACUAACUGGACAUUAAUCUUAAAAUAUAAGGACUAAAUGAGCUUUUACCCUUUUUAUAAUCCACACCAUCCUGAUAUAAUUAAACACCAUUAAUAAUGUACCAGCCUUUUAAUAGUAAUUAAUUUAUUUAGUUGGCCACCUAAAAGAAUCCUGCAGGAAAUACUAGUUAAAAAAUUUAUUAAAUUUGAUUACCUCUGUAUCAUUAUAUAUAUAAAGACUGAAAUCCAAAUGAAAUAUUUUAUCAUUCAUUCAGCAAACACUUAUAAAACACAAAUAGUGAAUCUAUGCAUUGACAAUGUGGAUUAAGAAUUAUAACACAUGAAUUCAAACAUACCCUCGUGAAGUUAAGAAUAAGUUCAUACUUCAAAUGAUUUUUUUAGCUAAUAAAGCAAUCACUUUCAUUAAACGACAGUGUUGAAGGAAUUGUGCAAUUUUUUACGUUCUUUUCUAGACAGACGUUACAGAGAUGGGGAAAGUAGAGGACUGGCCUCAGAUAUCUCACAAUUAUUAUUCUUUUUCAUUGUUAUAAUAAUAAUUUUUUUCUUUUGACAGUUCUGCAGGACAAGUGAUCAGAGCUCAAUGAAUAUAUCCGUGGAGGGUGAACUUAGGUUGAUGUCAAAAGAGGUAAAUGAAUUGGCCUGUUUAUAUAUAUAUAUAUAUAUAUAUAUAUAUAUAUAUAUAUAUAUAUAUAUAUAUAUAUAUAUAUAUAUAUAUAUAUAUCAUAUAUAUAUAUAUAGAGAGAAAUGUUCCAGUCAGGAAUUUUAAAGUGCAGGAAAGUACGGGAAACCUUUAAAACCGCAUGGUUUUAAAGGCUUAAAACUGUAAGCCUUUAAAGCNNNNNNNNNNNNNNNNNNNNNNNNNNNNNNNNNNNNNNNNNNNNNNNNNNNNNNNNNNNNNNNNNNNNNNNNNNNNNNNNNNNNNNNNNNNNNNNNNNNNAGAAUUUCUCUGUUAAUAUAUAUAUAUAUAUAUAUAUAUAUAUAUAUAUAUAUCAUAUGAUGCAGGCCACAGCAGAGCAGGAUUAUGAAAAAGAGAAGCUUAUUAAUAAGUGUUUACUUGCUUUUGAAAUAUAUAUAUAUAUAUAUAUAUAUAUUUCAAAUUCAAGUUUACUUGCUUUUAUAUAAUAAGUGUUUUGGCCGAUUUAUCUAAUUCACCAAAUGUCAUUUCCGGUACAUAUCUCCAUUGGUAUCAAGAAGAGGCAGAACCCAAAGAAACGUUUCUUGCAUCUUCAUAUUUAUGCGAAUUCAUCCUUUCAUUGAGAAUAACCAUUUCCAGCCGGCAGUUGGCAAUCAAUACGCACGUCGAUGCUAUUCAUAGAUAUUAAAGACAAUGAUGAACCAAAGGUGAUAAAUCAUAAAUGUAUAAUUACCAAACAUCCAUCCUUCUCUCAUUAUGAUUUGAUUUUAAAUGAAUUAUUGCUUGGUAACAUUAUUUCCAACCAUUGCAAGAUUAUUAUUAUUAUUUUUUUUUGGGAGAAAUUUCAAUUGAAAGUGAAACCUUUAGACAUUUACCUAAUGAAGUUAGUUACUCGGGAGGGUGGAAAAAAAAAAGUUGACGCAAGUCAAUACACAAUAAUUAAUUAAAUCCGGAGUGACUAAAACAGAGCCACUACUUUUUCAAAAAUAUCUGCAUUCAUCACUUUCUCCAGCAGCUAGUCAGCUACACACGAAUCAAUUUCUCUCCUCGUUUGUCAUCCAAAAUUAUUCACCAAUACCAUGGUUGAUGCCGUCGUUUCCACUAUCUUGGAGCAGCUGAUUUCCUUCGCUGCUGAAGAGAUAAAACAACAGGUGAUCGAAGUUACACCCCUCAUAUUACAAAUACUUCCAAUGAUUUUAAUAAAUUUUGUUUUUAUCAAAAACAUUAUAUAUUUUUGCUUUAUUUUAUUUAUCUGGUAAUUUUAGAUUUUGAAAUUUGAAUUGAAUUUAAUUAAAAGGUGAUGUAGUUAGUAACCACUUAUUUUUAUUUUAUUUCAUUUAUAUUCUCAAUAACUACUCAUAUUUUGGUAACUUACUAUAACUUUCAUAUCUAAGAAAUGAUCAAAACCCACAAUUUUAACUCAGCACGAAUAUUCAACGUUGAGUCAUUAAUUCUAAACUCAGCACUGAAUCCCAUAGCUAUUACUUAGACUCUAUGAAAAAUUUCAUAGUUUUCUUACGUUCUUUGAGUUUGGUAAGUGAUUUCGUAUAAUUUCUUUUCAAGUUAAAUUUUAAUUUGGUUUAUGAUAUAGUCUCUGUGCCGAAUUGUAUCUUUUAUGAUUCUUGGAUUUUGGGCUUCAACUUUUUAGGAUUUGAUAGUCAUAUAUUUAUGCCAUGCUCAGAUUGAUUUUCAUGAUUUUUAGUAGCCGUUAAGUGACUUACAAUUUGACGAAAGUUUGAAAGGAAAAAUGUUUCAGGAUUCUGUUUUAAUUUACCUUUUAGUAGAAAUAGGAUGCUUAUAACUUAAUGUGGAUGGUUCGUAAAAUCAUGAAAUUUGGAUAGGAUUCACUAGAAAUAUGUACAAGACUCUCCAUAAAGUUUCAUAAUUUUUCAUUCGGUAUGGGGUGGUACAGGUGAAACUUGUGGUUGGUGUUGAAAAAGAAGUGAAAAGCCUUACCAGCCACCUUGAAGCCAUUCAAGUUGUGCUCGAUGAUGCAGAGGAAAAGCAAGUGAAGGACAAAGCUGUUAGUCUUUGGCUGGGUAGGCUCAAGUACGCAUCCUACGACAUUGAAGAUGUGUUGGAUGAGUGGAUCACAGCAAGACGCAAAUUGCAAAUUGAGGGUGGCGUUGAUGAAAAUGCUCUUGUUGUUCCUCAUAAGAAAAAGAAGGUAUGUCUCUGCUUUCCCGGCUCUUGUUUUGGAUUCAAACAAGAAGAAUUUGGUUUCAAACAAGUCUUUCUCCGUCAUGACAUUGCCGACAAGAUCAAAGAAAUCAAUGAAGAGCUACAUGAUAUUGCCGCUCAAAAAGACAUGUUUGAUCUUGUUAAGAGUGGCAAUAAAAGUAGUGAAAGACCAAGGCGUGUACAGAGUACCUCCUUGAUUGAUGAGGAAGAGAUUUGUGGUAGAGUUGGUGAGAGGAAUGAACUCAUAAGCAAGCUGUUGCGUGAGAGUAGCGAGCAACAAAAAGGCCUCCAUAUCAUCUCAAUUGUUGGUAUGGGAGGCAUAGGGAAAACUACUCUUACACAACUAGCUUGUAAUCAUGAUGAGGUGAAGAGAAAGUUCGACAAAAUUCUGUGGGUGUGUGUAUCAGAAACUUUUGAGGAGUUUAUGGUAGCCAAAGCGAUCGUUGAAGUUUUGGAUGGUCGUGAAUCUCAUUUAGCUGAAUUCCAUUCUCUUCUUCAACAUAUUUAUGAAUCAAUUGCAGGGAAGAGCUUUCUUCUUGUCUUAGAUGAUGUGUGGGAUGGAAAUUACUUGAAAUGGGAACCAUUCUACCGUUGUCUAAAGAAUGGUCUCCAUGGAAGUAAAAUUUUAGUUACCACACGUAGUGGGUCUGUUGCAUCCACGAUGGGAUCCACAGAUAUUAUCUCCGUCAAGGAGUUAGCUGAAGAGGAAUGUUGGUUGUUGUUUAAAAAGAUAGCAUUUUUUGAUCGGUCCAUCGAGGAACGUGAAAAAUUAGAACAAAUUGGGCAAAGAAUUGUAGGCAAGUGCAAAGGUUUACCUCUUGCAGCAAAGACAAUAGGGAGUCUCAUGCGUUCUAAACAAACUGAAGAAGAGUGGAAAAGAAUUUUAAAUAGUGAUUUAUGGAAAGUAGAAGAGAUUGAGAAAGAUGUUUUGUCCUCUUUAUUGUUGAGUUAUAAUGAUUUGCCAUCUAGAGUAAAAAGAUGUUUUUCAUAUUGUGCUGUCUUUCCAAAAGACUACGAUAUAAAAAAAGACGAACUAAUCACAUUAUGGAUGGCUCAAGGUUAUCUUAGUGCGGAACAAGAUGAAGAGAUGGAGACAGUAGGUGAAGAGUAUUUUGGCAUCUUAGCUUCUCGCUUGUUUUUUCAAGAGUUUAAGAAAAGUUAUGAUAAUCGUAUUAUAGAGUGCAAGAUGCAUGGUAUGGUACAUGAUUUUGCCCGAUUUGUAAGUCAAAAUGAAUGUUUUUCGAUGGCAAUUAAUGGUAGUGAAGAACCAAACGCCACAAACUCUCUUGAUGAGAAGGUCCGUCAUUUAAUGUUAAUCUUUAGUAAAGGGGCUUCAUUACCUGUUUCCACUCGUAGAGUUAAAAGAAUGCGUACCCUCGUAAUUAACGAUAGUAGAUCAUUAAAUGGCGAGAUCCUAGAAGAAUUAUUUAGGGAAUUGACAAGUUUAAGGGCAUUAGAUUAUGGCGGAUCGCCCCACUCAAGGCCGUUGUUGACUGCGGAGGUUCCAAGAAACAUAGAAAAGCUGGUACAUUUGAGAUACCUUAAUUUGUCUUUUCAGAAAAUAGUGAAACUACCGGAGACAUUGUGCGAGUUGUAUAAUCUAGAAAAGUUAGAUAUUAGUUGUUGUUUGUAUCUUAGAGAAUUACCUGAAGGGAUUGGGAAGUUAAUAAACAUGAAGCAUUUACGAAAUAGAGGUACUAGUUCUUUAAGGUACAUGCCAGUAGGGACUGGGAGAUUAACGGGUCUUAGGACCUUGGGUCAGUUCCAGGUGAGUGCAGGAGGAGGUGUUGAUGGUAGGAAAGCAUGUAGGCUUGAAUCUCUUAAAAAAUUGGAACACCUUCAAGUAUGUGGUAUACGUAGACUGGGUGAUGUAUCAGAUGUGGGCGAGGCUAAGCGAUUAGAACUUGACAAAAAGAAAUACCUCUUCAGUUUGACCCUUGAGUUUGAUAAGAAGGAAAGAGGAGGAGAAACGAGGAAGAACGAGGACGAUCAACUUCUUCUUGAAGCCCUGCGACCACCUCUGGAUUUAAAGGAAUUAGUGAUACGGUACUACCGAGGCAACACUGUUUUCCCCAGCUGGAUGACGUCAUUAAUCAACUUAAAGAGUUUAGAUCUCUCUUCCUGCGAAAAUUGCGAGCAGCUGCCUCCUUUGGGAAAAUUGCCGUCCCUUGAAAAACUCGGCCUAUCGGACAUGAAGAGUGUGAAAAGAGUGGGUGAUGAAUUUUUGGGGAUAGAAAGUGAUCAUCAUGGCUCAUCUUCAUCUUCAUCGGUUAUUAUUGCCUUCCCCAAAUUGAAAUCACUCUCAAUUGAGUUUCUGCGCGAAUUGGAGGAGUGGGAUUAUGGGAUUACAAGAACGGGAAACACCGUCAUCAACAUCAUGCCACGUCUUUCUUCAUUGACAAUUGUUGAUUGCACCAAAUUAAAGGCACUGCCCAACCACAUUCAUCAAACGACAACGUUGAAGGAAUUGUGCAUUGUGGAUUGUGAGCUUCUGGAAGAACGUUACCGCAAGGGGGAAGGAGAAGACUGGCCUAAGAUAUCACACAUUCCCAACAUAGAUAUUUUUUAAGAAGGAUUUGCGCAUUCGAGAUUUGGCGUUGACAAGUAAUUUCUUCUCUUACUCUGAUUUGCUUUGUUGUUGUUUUUAAUCUAAUUAAGAAGCGUAAAUAGCAUUUUGAAUCAAACUCUAUAUCCGAAAUCUGCAAUACAUACUUUCUAAUAUUCUGAUUUUCAUAUCCUACCAUUUUUAAUUUGUGAGAUGGGUAACGUUACUGUAAAAGAUUAUUAAUGGAACAUGAGUAAUUCUUUUGCAGGACAAGUGACCUACAUUUAGUUUGGCUUUGGAGUUGAAUAAUAACCUUUCAAGGCCAGGACCCAAAAGCAGGAAAAACAAAAAAAGGAACGAAGCUUAAUUUUGCCACAGAUUACAUGUAUUGCCAUUAUUGACAAGUUUCUGGACAAGUGAUCAAGGGUGAGAGUGGUGCUACAACAUUGAAUAAAGCAGUCGUGACUGAAUUUAGGUUGUGUCAAAAGUGGUAAAUUAUUUGCAUGUGUAGCUAAUUUGACCAUUUCCUGAUCUAUAAGUCUAUAUUAAUUUUGAUUUUUAGUUGAGUGAUUACAUUUCAAGGUUUGCUUACUUAACAGGGCGACCAAUUUCUUUUAACUAAAUGUAUUAUAUGAUGCAGGAAGCAAGGCAGGAUAUGAAAUAAGAAGCUUAUUAAUGGCAGUUGGCAGUGAAUGGAGGCCCUUGACUAAAUUCUCAAGCGGUUGCACUGCAAUUACGCUUAUCCGUAGCCUCAGGUAAUUUCUUCUUCUGCAUUUUUGUAAUUUGUUAUCUAAUUAAGGGGCGUGAGCUAUUUUGAAUCAAAUUCUAUAUCAGGAAUAUAUGCAACAUUUUUUAAAAUUUUGAUAUGAGAGUAAUGAUGGUAAUUUCUCUUUUUUGUCUGUCAUCGAAUGUUAAAUAACAUUCACUAAGACUCUUGAGAGUCAUUUUUUGACAAUUGCAGGACAAGCGACGAAGAGUGAGAAUGGUGUUAGAUUGGGGAUUGAGGCAAAAGGAGGUAAAUUAUUGGCAGAGAAUUUGGGAGCUUGAGUGUACAGGGAUUUGCAAUUACAAUCUUACUCUGCCUUAGGUGAUUUCUUCUCCUGCUUUGUCAUUGGUUGUUCUCUAGUUGAAAAGCAUAAAGUAUUUCAAUCAAAUUCUAUACCAAGAAUAUGCAAAACUUUAUUUCCAUCUGUUUGCAUUGAUAACUUUGCGGCAUAUGCGCUAGUUAAAGAACAAACAGAAACAGAGGUCAGGAACAAGUUUCCUCUGCCGUCAUAUUUGAAAAUGCAACCAUUUCCGGGAAGUAGUUGGCAGCAAAUUCAUAUAAAGUGUAGACAAUAAUGAGCAAAAAGGUGAUUCACAAUUUUAUUUUUUUUAAAUUAAUUGUUAGGUUGGAGUUGUUAAAAGGCCAUUGAGCUAACCUAUGUCAUUAGUUACCUAGAUUGCAGGGGGUCCCGAGACUCCAAAGAAGCAUUGAAUUUUAAAAGGCAUGCAAUAAUUCUUGUGGGCGUAUGAGUUUGAUUUAGAAUCAAACUCUAGAUCAGAAAUCUGCAAUGCAUAUUUUCUAAUAUUCUGAUUUUCAUAUCCUACUAUUUUUAAUUUGUGAGAUGGGUAACGUUACUGUAAAAGAUUAUUAAUGUAAUAUGAGUAAUUCUUUUGCAGGACAAGUGACCUACAUUUAGUUUGGCUUUGGAGUUGAAUAAUAACCUUUCGAGGUCAGGACAACAAAAAAAUGAAUCUUAAUUUGCCACAGAUUGCACUUAUUGCCAUUAUUGACAAAUUUCUUCACAAGGGAUCAAGGGCGAGGAUGUUGAUAGAAUAUUGAAUAAAGCUGCCGUGACUGAACUUACGUUGAUGUCAAAAGAGGUAAAUUAUUGGCAUGCCUGACUAUUUUGACCAUUACAUGAACAUGAGUUUACAUUAAUUUUGAUUUUGAGUUGAGUGACUUUUUAAGGUUUGCUUACUUAACCGGGUGAUGUGAUGCAGGAAGCAGGGCAGGAUAUGAAAUGAGAAGCGUAUUAGUGGAAGUAUUGCCAGUAACAGAACCCAAAAAAAAGUGGAACCAUUUUAAGGCAGCAGUUGGCAGUUGGGAGUGAAUGGAGGCCCUUGACAAAAUUCUCAAGCAGUUGCAAUGCAAUUACGAUCAUCCUCAGCCUCAGGUAAUUUCUUCUCCUGCUUUGUUGUUAUUUGUUACCUAAUUAAGAAGCAUAAAGUAUCUUGAAUCAUUUUCUGUAUCUGGAAUAUAUGCAACAGUCUCUAAAAUUUUGAUGACUGUAAUGAUUGUAGUUUCUGCUUUCUGUCCGACAUCGAAUGUAAGACGACUUUAUUAAGACUCUUGAACCGAGACAUUUUUGACAAUUGAAGGGCAAGUGCUGAAGAGUGGGAAUGGUGCUAGAUUGGGGAAUAAAGCAAAAGGAGGUAAAUUAUUGGUAGUUUCUGCAGCCUUGUUUUCUUUGAAUCAGCACCUGAUUCACAAGACUCCAUUAAUUUGGCUUUUGAUGAGCUGAGUGAUAAAUUUUCAAUUUCUUUGGUGCUAAAUGUAUGUGUGAAGCAGGUAGCAGGGCAUGACUGUGGAAAAGAGAAGAUUUUAGUGAAAGCUGAAACUCAGAUAAUUCUACAUUUAUCUAAUUCACGAAAUUUUAUUUCCAUCUGUUACAAGAUCAAACUGAAGCAGAACUCAAAGAAAGUAAUCUACUUCUUGCGGCAAUCUUGCCUUCGCUCAGAUUAUGAAACCAUUUCCAUGCACCAAAUUCAUCCAAAAGUUUGAAUAAGUUUCAUGGUUGGACACUGUUGGCUUCUUUUUCUUUUGGGGUGCAUUUUGGUGCUACCAAGUGACAGCUGCAAGUAUGAUUGCACUAACCUGCUGCUGGGAAAUUUGAGGUUUUGAUGGCUGCCCAUGUUAUUGUCAAGAAACUCCUCAUGUAAGAAGCUGUGGUUCUUUUCAUCAGCUUGAACCUGAAACUGUUGCUAUGGAUAACUCACGUUUUUAUUCUCAACUAUAUCAUCUUUUUUAGUGUUUUGAAACUCUUAAGAUUAAACUUUGGUAAAAUGUUUUCAGUUAUCCAUGUAAUCAGGCUGAGGAUAAUUUAGUAAAGUUGUUUCCGCUAUUCAAAUGAAAAACCCCAUUGAUUUUAACCAUGAUAAAGCUAAUGUUCCCAAUGAUUACUGCAGGUGAGACUUGUGAAGAGGGUGAGUGAGGCAACUGCUAAAAUUCCUGGCUGGGAUACAGUAACUAGAGGCUGAGAUCAGGUGGUGGAAUUUUUUGUUCCGUGGAUGAUACCAGAAUUGUCCAGAAAAGAUUUGUUGAUACUAAUUACAGAUGAUAGAAAGAGGUAUAGGUGGAGAAGAGAAAUCUGCGAGUCAAAUUAGGGAUAAUUGAUUCUGAUACUAGUUAUAUUGAAAAUAAUAAUAACAAUUGCAUGAAGAUAGUCAAUAUUCUUCUCUAGAUAUAUUGUAUGGACUUCCUUGCUGCCUUUAUCUAUGUGCAUGUUGACUAAAGCUAAUCUAGAAUCAAUAGAGAGGGAUAUUUAUCUAUUUUGUUUAACAUAAGAGUGCUGUAUAAUUUUUCACUAAAUACACCUACAACAAACUAUUAAUAAUAAAGUGAUAGAAGAAUGCCUAAAAUAUAGGUAUUAAUGUCAUAAUAAGCCCAUGUGGAUCUCAGUGCCGCAAGUUCGAUAAAUGGCUAUCAAGGAUUGCUUAUUAAGUCAAAAUAUUCAAAGGACAAAAUGGUAAAACUAUAAGGGUGGAGUAAUAUGGCUAUCUUGGGUUACAUAGUAAGUCAACUACAUUCAAAGUAUAAAAUAUUAGAACCUGAACGGCGGAGUAGUCGUCGUUAGAACCUGAACGGCGGAGUAAUCGUCGUUAGAAUCUGAAUGAUAUGUCUAAGACGUUGCAUGCAUCUAGAAAAUUGCAGAUGAUUAGACCUUGCCAUCUAUGCGUUGUAUGAGGUUAUAGCAACUAUCUAUCUGGUCACCGUUUUCAAGUCUCAAUUGGUAGUCCAAACUCCAAAGAAAAGAAUGAUUCUACAAUAGCAUUAAGUGUUAAUUGGACACAAAAAGAAAUGUUUUAACCACUUUAAGGAAAGUAAAUGUAAUUUUGUGUCCUAAAGAAAAGGUAAAUGUAUGCACUGUCAAUUAAUCUUUGGUCGACCAGCAACAUCAUAAUUUUGUGUAGGUUCAUUUUUGUUUCUUAGAGUUUGUAAAAAGAAUGGGAAGAUUUUAAAAUAUAAAUUUCAUAUCUGUUUAUUACUGUUGUUUGGUCUAAUUUCUUAUGUAGAAUUUUCAGAAUCUGUAGGACAUUAGUUUAUAAUUUUGAGAUUUUGCAGCCAUAAAUGUUUUUUUUUUCUUUUUUCUUUCUUUUUUUUUUUGUUGGCAUUUUAUUUUGCUCCUUUAUCUAUGUGCAUGUUGACUGGCUGCAGUGAGUGAAAAUUUACCCAUAUAUGCUGGCUAUUCUUGGACAAUAUUAGAGAAAAUAAUCAUAUUAUUUCGCUUGAUGUGAACUUCCAUAACUUAUCAAUUGAAUUGCUGUAAAAUAUUAAAUAGUUUUAUUUUUCUUUUAUCGUGUAACUUGGACCAAAAAAGGAAAUGAGUUUAACACGACCCUCAUUCUGCUUCUUGCUUUGGUUUCAAACAAGUCUUUCUCCUUUAUGACAUUUAUUGUAAUUUCAUUUGGAGACAUAUAUCUGUCGUUCAAAUAUAUUUCAUACGUAAGCUGUUAAUAAUUCUGCUUGCAGAAAGCCUACAAAGCAGCUGUGUGAUGUAAUAGAAGACCAUAGUCUCGUCAAUUUUUCAACAUUAGAUAUUCAGGUCAUCAGCUUCUCAUGAAUUCUUUCCUGAGUUUCUUUGAAUUAUUUGUGAUGUAAUAACUUGUGCAUUUGAGAAACUGUUCUCAUGAAUUCUUUCCUGAGUUUCUUUGAAUUAUUUGUGAAUAAGUUCCUAAUCGGCUGCUUCUCCUCAGGAUAAGGAAAGUGUUGCAAACUGGUGAAGCAGCUGAUAGAUAAAAGCAAUGGGUACAUCUUUGCUGGCAUGGAUCGAUGCCAGUGCGGUUGAAUUCAGCAAGACUGCCGUUCGUGAUGUUGUUGAUUGGGAUUACAUUAAGGAUGAUGACAACAUUGAUUAAAAUGGGACGUGAAGAUAUAUGGUGUGCAAAUUAACCCAACCCAACCAAACCCGUACAUUUUAUCAACCCAACCCAACCCAACCCGUAAAAAAUCACACGGAUUAGGUUGGUUUCACGGAUUGGGCGGGUUAAUUCUAAUUUCUUUAUAAGUUUACCAAAAUUAGAUCUGCUUACCUUUGUUCAUUCAGCAACAACACUUACAAUUCACAGCUAGAGAAUCUAUCCAUUGACAAUUGUGGAUUAAAAUUAUAACACCUGAAUUCAAACAUAUCCUUAUGAAGUUAUGAAUUUGUUCAUACUUCAAAUGAUUUUUUUUUUCCAAGCUAAUAAAGCAACGACUUUGAUCAAACGACGACGUUGAAGGAAUUACGUAUUUUCAAUGUCCUUUGCCAGACAGACGCUGGAGAGAGGGAAAGGAGAAGACUGGCCUAAUUAAGAUAUCUCACAAAGAUUAUUAUUGAGUUAAAAUGUUAUUGUAAAAGAUGUUUAAUACAAUAAUAGUACUUCUUUUGCAUUGUUAUAAUGAGGCUGGCGGGUUUCCUCAGAGGAUGGAUCUGGCUCGCUAGUAUGCAUUUGGGAAGCUGCUAAUUAUCGGCCAUAAAAAGUCAGGGGGUUGUGGCUCGUCCGUCGCCCAGAAAUUCCUAAACUCAUAUAUCAAACUUCAGAUGAACUUGGGCAUUAUGUAAAUAUGUAUUUUUGAGAAUUAAACUAGUGCGUUAGAAAAAUUUUGAGCCAUUGUAAUCAUUUUAUUUUGCUAAGAGAAAAUUUUACUCUGUGUUUCGCUUUGCCUUUUGUUUUUUCUGUGAUAAUAUGAUUCAUACGAAUGUGAUUACACACUAUCAUGCAUCUAUUUUCAUUUGCUUGUCAUGAAUGAUCAACAUGCUCGAAAUAUUUAUUUAGGUUGGAAAUAUUUAAAUCUAUUAAAAUACUAUACACACCCAUUUAAAAAUAAAAAUAUGAUUAUCAUAAUGAUCGCGAAGAUAACACGAUAUCAUACAUAAAAUAAAAUAUUUCGCAAAAAAGAAAAGAUACACUUGAAUACAUUGGUAUAAAAAAUAUUUUAGUGGAUUCAAGUAGCACUAAUGCCCCCUUAUCAAAAAAUAUAUAAAGAUAACUAAUCUGAUUGGGUAUACCGUGUGUGUGUGUAAUAUUUUUUGAUAUUAUUAUAUAAUAUUUUUUAAAAAGAAGAGAGUGGGCAAAGUCCAAAUCAAUUUUCUAAUCCCUAUCUCCUUUAGGAUUUCUAGUCAAAGAGGCUAAAUUGCACGAAAUUGUGCUAGCUUAUUUGAUUUUAAAAUUUUCCAAUGCACUGUAACACACUCUCAUGCUUGUACAUAGCUCGAAAAUCUCUAGAAUUUACCAGAGUAGUGUACCAUGUAGCUUGUACAUAGGUUUUUCUGGAACACUCCAAGCGUUACUAAGCAUAAGAGCUUUGAGAACUCUCUAGACAUAAAACAUUCAAGGGUAGGCCUACCCUAAAAAUAGGGCAUGAUGAUUGCCAUUUGAGCAUACAAGAAGUAAGAACAAAUCAAGUAUAUUUGUAAGCUCCCAAACUCUCUCGUACACACUCUUGUGAAUAAUAUGCUUUCUCUUUGACUACAUUACUCUCUCUUCUCUCUAGUUUUUUUCGUAAGUAUCAUAGCUUAGCUAGUCGAAAAGUUCAAGUAGGAAUGAUAAUUUUUCCUGACAGGAUGUGGGAUCCCAUCUCAUUUGGGACGGGAUUGGGACACAUUUUUAUCCCACAAAAAAAUAUAGGGACGGGAGUAGAAAUUUUUUUAUCCCACUUGUAUAUAUGGGACAGGACUGAGAUUAACAAAUUCAGUCUCGUCCCGUCCCGUCUCAUUACCAACUAGGGAUGGAAAUUUUUCCAAUUGGGAUGGGCUCUCGCAGAAUCCCAUUUAUUUUGGGAUGCAAUUGAGACAUAUUUUUAUCCCAAAAAAAUAUAUCGAGAGUGAGACUUUUUUUUAUCCCACUUGCAUAUUCGGGACGAGACUGAGAUUAGUAAAUCUCACCCUAUCCCAUCCCAUUGCCAACCCUAAGUUCAAGGCUUACUUUGCAAUUAUCUCAUAAAAGUUGUUUUAAGUACCACAGGAGUUUGUUGUGCAAAAUACUCAUCCCGUGACAUUAGCUAAAUAAAAUUAUUUGAAAGCCACUUACCCAAACUAUUAAACAAAUAUUAUUCUUUUAAUAUGUAAUCUUUUAAUAUAAAACUUUUGUCUUAAUUUUCUAUCUCCUACAAUAAAUUUUAUGAUUUUAAAAAUUGAAAAAAUUAGUAACUUUUAGAUAGAGCAUUCCUUACUGUGAAAAGAAAUAUGAAUGGUAAUAUAAAACUUACUUAUUAUAGUAUAAUGCUUUUAGUUUUUUGAAAUAUAGGUUCUUAUUUUUUUCAAGAUAAAGUUCAAAGAAAACAAGUUAAAUGUUGUGGAAAAUCUUACGCACAUACAAUAAAUUAUGACAGCUAAAUGCAAACCUGGCUGAAGUAUUAGUUGUUUUAUUACAGAGACAAAAGGACAAUAUCACUAUCCAAGUCAAAAGCAACUCAAUGUGAGUCUUAGGGCACUCGCAGUGAAUCCCAAGAUAAACUAAUUUCACUAGCAAGUUGGAUACCAAAGAGUAAGGCUUCAGCCUCAAUUAUAUUAACAUUAGCUGAGUAAACAUUAAAUACCACAAUCAAUCUCAGAAAUCAUAAUUAAACUAUCAUGAUUAAAAAUAAAGUUUUUUUUUUAGAUAUCCGUUUGUAGUAUCUCUUUAGAUGACAAGUAGGAGAUAAAGUAAAUAAAUAUUGGUUGCGUAAAUAAAAAUAAAUAAAUUUUUUAACUGAAAAAAAAAUUCCUAAAAACUAAAUAGUUCAAACUUUUUUUAACAUGAAAUAAAUAUUUGAUGCGUAAAUAAAAAAAAUUUAACUGAAAAAAAUUCCCAAGAACUAAAUAGAUCAAACUUUUUGUUUAACAUCAUGGGUUUUGUAUAUUCAAUUGAACCGAACAACUAAAUUAAAUCGAAAUUACCAUGUUCGGUUCAAAUGAAUAGACGAAAACCGAACAGUUUAUAUUUUUAUGAACUGAUGGUGCGUUUACUUCAUGAAAUGAAAAUAUGGUGGAAUGAGAAUGUGUUAAAAUGAAAAUGAGGAAUGAGAAUGAGAUUCUAAUGUUUAUUUAGUAAAAAUAAAGGGAAAUGAGAAUGUGCUGGAAUGUCAUUGAUGUGUUUAUUUGACAAAAUAAAUGACAAAAGUAUCAAUUCGGAUCCUGCUAAUGAUAGUUUGCCAUAUCCUUUGUCAUUGAACUUUCUUACAAAUGCUGUGGUUUGUUGUAGUAUAAUUAGUUCAAUCAGAAACUUCCUUGAUGUUAAUAUAGAUAUGAGUGUGCUGUGAAUAUUGAGGACUUCAUUAGACUAAGUGAUGUGAUGAUGGAGCAUUCACUUGGUCCCAAUGGAGGUUAGUCAGCCCAUUGUUGUUUACUCUUUCUUGCUUUAUCACGCAAUGAUAUUCCUUUGCUUCACAACAAAUUUCAUGAAAUUAACUUCAAUCGAGUGGCUAUGUUCAUACGCUAUUGAGAUUUUAUGGACAAUGAUUUGGUAGACUUUAUAUGCCGUCUUCUUUCUUUUUGCAGUGAUAUGUUUGUAUGCAAUGCACUUGUACUUGUUCUAUGGUUUCUAAAGUAGGCGUUUUUAUGAUAAACUAGGUCUUGGGUAUUGUAUGGACUAUCUAGAGAAGAAUAUUGACUGGUUGCAGUCGAAAUUGGAACCACUUUUGAAAGGUAAGAAGUGGCCAUUUUCCUUCAUUCUAAUGCCAAUAAUGCUGUCAUGAGACUCAUAAAAAUUGUUAAAACGUUAAUGUUUUUGGUAUUUUGCAGAUCAUUAUCUUCUGUUUGAUUUUCCUGGCCAAGUUGAAUUAUUUUUUCUUCAUUCCAAUGCCAAGAAUGUUAUAAUGAGACUCAUAAAGAAGUUAAAUCUCAGGGUAUUGUUACAUCUUACGUCUAUGAAGGGACUCAAAGAGUUGAGAUGAAUUCAUCAUUAUUAUUUUGAUGCCAGAAUUGUGCAAUUCUCAGUUGCUUCCUUUCACAUGCAGUUGACUGCAGUGCAUCUAGUUGAUGCGCAUCUUUGCAGUGACCCCGGGAAGUAUGUUAGUGCUUUGCUUCUCUCGUUGUCGACGAUGCUACAUCUGGAAUUUCCCCCAUGUCAAUGUCUUGUCUAAGAUCGGCCUGAUUGAGAAUUAUGGAAAGCUAGGUGUGGUUUUAAGUGUAGCUCUCCUACUUGUUUGUUUAGAUUGAGAUAUCAGAUAUUGUCACAAGCUCCUAUCUGCUACAUUUCCUCACCAAUCAAUUACUUUGGGUAUGUUGCAGCUUUUAAUCUCGAGUACUAUACGGAUGUGCAAGAUUUGUCAUUUUUACAGCAUGCUCUGGGUCAGGACCCUCGUUCUGCUAAGUAUAGGUUUGAAUUCUAGCUGAAUCAAUGAUGCAAAUUAUGUCCAUUGCUAUUUCUGACUGUCGUUUCUAUCAUUUUCAAUUGUUACCUCCCCUUGCCAUCUACUGCCAUACUGCAAUGCCCACACAAAUGUUAUGAAAUUUGUCAAUGGAAAUGACAUUCUAUUUGUCCAGAGACAGCUCUUAGAUGCAAGUGAACAAUUUUUGGCUUUGGCCGUAGUACAGCCUUAGAUUUCAACUUGCCAUAUCUUGUCUCGGAAGUCAAAAGAAAGCAUAUAUGUUAGCCAAAUUUUAUUUGAAUUUCUUGUGUAACAAUGAAUGGGGAAAAAAAACAGUUCCUCUUUUGUUUUGAUCAGACUCAAUGAAUAAGUGGUUAAAAUGUGCCUGUACUAGAAAUAUAGAUGUGUGGUUUCAUAAAAUUUUCUUGAUCUUAAGAAAGAGUUAUCUUGAAAAGAAGAUAACAUGGGGAAUUGAACAACUAUACAGUCAUAUUGAUGUCUGUCAACUUGGGUCAUAUGGUGUCGUUUGGAUGGAGAUGUUAGGUCCCAGAUGGUAAACUUGUUAUCGAAUUCCAGUCUACUUCAUUCAUGCUUUGAUGACAUAUGUGGUGCAGCUUCUUAUCUAAGACCUGCAUAUGUUACAGUCAACAUUCUGUUCUGUAUUUGGCUGCCAUUCUUUUCAAUGAAUUCAAACCACUUUCUGAAUACUUGGAAAUUCAUCCAGUGUUGUCAUUGAGAUGCCAAUAUGAAAAGAAGCCAUAAUUGCCCUUGAUAGUAUGCUUAUUGAUUGCCUCUUGCCUCACUCAACCUCAGGAAUCUGCUUGUAUGGUGUUCUUCUAAUUUCAAUUGGAGAUAAAUAAUAUCUGUUGUUCAAAUAUAUUUUAUUUACAAGCUGUUAAUAAAUCUGCUUGCAGAAAGCUUACAAAGGAGCUGUGUGAUGUAAUAGAAGUCUACAGUCUGGUCAAUUUUUCAACCUUAGAUAUUCAGGUCACCAGUUUCUCUUGAAUUCUUUCUUGAGUUUCUUUGAAUUAUUUGUGAAUAAGAUCUUAGUUGACUGCUUCUCUUCAGGAUAAGGAAAGUGUGGCAAAACUUGUGAAGCUGAUAGGUAAAAGCAAUGGGUACAUCUUUGCUGGCAUGGAUGCCAGUGCAGUUGAAUUCAGCAAGAUUGCCGUUCGCGAUGUUGAUUGGGAUUAUUUCGGAUAUCCUUCUUUUCACCUAUUUUCAAUCUUGUUAUUCUCAUAUUCAUAAAACUUUUUGGUUAUUUAAUUAUGGUUCAUCAUAUGCAUCUGCAUCUUCUAACUUGUUCGUUUGAGAAACUAAUUUUGCCGUUAGGUAGGCUUCGAGCUUGAUGAGUUGAUUCAUGCUUUUUCAUAAAUGUACCAAAAUCAUGGAAACUUCUUUUUCCCAGAUAUUGUAUCCACACUUUUCCCAUAUAAUUGGGUCAGACAAGUUUUGCUUAACAAAGAUAUCUACAGUAGCCGAAGUGCAGGAGAAGUACAUUAAGGAUGAUGACGAUGUUAACUAAAAUGAGACGUGAAGAUAUGUGGUGUGCAAACCGUAAGCCUGCCUCUUAAUUUUGUGCAUGUUUACUUGCUUGUGAUUCACGUUUGUUAAUCUAUUUUGCUCUCUUGCAGGAGUUAUAAAGUUUUCAAUCAAUCAAACAUUUAACUCAAGUCCUUAGCUCUUCACGGCUUGAAUGGGUCAGAUAGGACAAGCGCCGAAGAGGUGGUUUUAAUCAAACCCCUCCUAAUUAUGAUGUAUGGUCCGAAUCUCGGACUUUUUGUACAAUAUCAAGCGAUUUUUUUUUGGUUGAAUCGGCUAGUGUACGCAAAUGUCGAUUAUUGAUUUUUCUCCAGUAUUGUUUGUAAUUACAAGAAACGAAGUAAUGAAAUUUAUCACUGCGUUCAUAGUUAUGCUUAAGCUCAAAGAUUACCGUCAAGAUCAUUUUGGGCCCUCAAAGAAACAUGAUGUUGACACAUGUAAAAUUAUGAAGCUUGUGAUUAAAAUACUUUUCACAUAUAUAUGUUAAGUUCUAUUAAUAAUUAAAUAUAUGAAUAAAUAUGGUCAAUGAGGAGAGGAUAAAAUAAAAUGGUUUCAUUUUUUGAAUUACCCAUCCGCUUCAAACUUCUAAGAAGUAGAUAUACAAUCAGUGGAAUACUGAAUUGAGUACGAGCUGCGGAUAACUUAUAAAAUUGGGAUACAAGCUUCAAGGAAAGUGUAUUGCUAUUCAAAUGUAGAUUUCAAAUUAAGAAGAUAUGCCAACAAAUUAUUCUAAAUGAUGAAAUGAGCUAUCUUGAUCAAAAGGUCAAGAACCUACCUUACUUCUCUUAGAGAUAACUUGCAUCAACCGUUGUGGUAUUGAUACUUGUCUUCAGCUAGUAAAAGUGAAAGUUUCACAAUUGAAAUAAAGCUAAGGGAAGAUGCUAUGCUCCAUUUAUUAUUAUUAUUAUUAUUGACGUGGUCGAGAAGUAAAGCCGUGCAUAUGAUGAAGUAUAAAUAAGAAUGCAAUAGCCCGGAAUUCAUUUACACAAACACUUCAAUAUCCUUUCGAUCACUUUUGCAAACAUCAAUUUGUCUCCUCUUGUAUUCACCAUGGUUGAUGCCAUCGUUUCCCCUCUCGUGGAGCAGCUGACUUCCUUCGCUGCUAAAGAGAUAAUACAACAGGUGAUCGAAGUUACACCCCCCAUAGUAUAAAUACUUCUAAUGAUUUUAAUUGGUUUUGUUUUUAUCGAAAACAUUAACUUUGCUUUAUUUUACGCAUUUAGGCAUUUUAAAUUUUGAAAUUUGAAUUGAAUUUAAUUAAAAUGUGAUUUAGUUAGUAACCACUUUUUUUUUUCAUUUAUAUUCUCAAUAACUACCCAUAUUUUGGUAACUUACUGUAACCCCCGUAUCUAAGAAAUUAUCAAAACCCACAAUUUUAACUCCACAUAAAUAUUCCAUGUUGAGCUAAGUUCGAUGUUGAGGUAAGUUUUUUGCAUAACAUUCAAAUUUGUCAAAUAGUCAUUAAUUUAAUGUUUAGUAAAAACUCAUCUCUGAAAAAUUUCAUAAUUUUCUUACAUUAUUUGAGUCUGGUAAGUGACUUCAUAUAAUUUCUUUUCAAUUUAAAUUUUAAUUUGGUUUCUGAUAUAGUCUCUUUACUGAAUUUAUAUCUUUUAUGAUUCUUGGAUUUUGGGCUCCAACUUUUUAGGAUUUGAUAGUCACAUUUUAUGGCAUGCUUAGAUUGAUGUUCAUGAUUUUUAGUACUCGUUAAGUGACUGAGAAUUUGACAAAAGUUUGAAAGGAAAUCCGUUUCACGAUUCUUAUGUGGAAGGUUCGUAAAAUCAUGAAAUUUGGAUAGGAUUCAUUAGCAAUAUGUACAAGACUGUCCAUAAAGUUUCAUAAUUUUUCAUUCGGUCGGGGGUGGUACAGGUGAAACUUGUGGUUGGUGUUGAAGAAGAAGUGAAAAGCCUUACCAGCCACCUUCAAGCCAUUCAAGCUGUGCUCAAUGAUGCAGAGGAAAAGCAAGUGAAGGACAAAGCUGUUAGACAUUGGCUGGGUAGGCUCAAGUAUGCAUCCUACGACAUUGAAGAUGUGUUGGAUGAGUGGAUCACAGCUAGACACAAAUUGCAAAUUGAGGGUGGCGUUGAUGACAAUGCUCUUGCUGCUCCUCAAAAGAAAAAGAAGGUAUGUUUCUGCUUUCCUGCCUCUUGUUUUGGAUUCAAACAAGAAGAAUUUGGUUUCAGACAAGUCUUUCUACGUUAUGACAUUGCCAACAAGAUCAAAGAAAUGAAUGAAGAGCUACAUGCUAUUGCUACUCAAAAAGACAUGUUUAAUCUUGUUAAGAGUGGCAAUAAAAGUGGUGAAAGACCAAGGCGUGUACAGAGUACCUCCUUGAUUGAUGAGGAAGAGAUUUGUGGUAGAGUUGGUGAGAAGAAUGAACUCAUAAGCAAGCUGUUGCGUGAGAGUAGCGAGCAACAAAAAGGCCUCCAUAUCAUCUCAAUUGUUGGUAUGGGAGGCAUAGGGAAAACUACUCUUGCACAACAAGCUUGUAAUGAUGACGAGGUGAAGAGAAAGUUUGACAAAAUUAUGUGGGUGUGUGUAUCAGAAACUUUUGAGGAGUUUAGGGUUGCCAAAGCAAUGGUUGAAGCUUUGGAUGGUCGUGAAUCUCAUUUAGGUGAAUUCCAAUCUCUUCUUAAACAUAUUGAUGAAUCCAUUGCAGGGAGGAGCUUUCUUCUUGUCUUGGAUGACGUAUGGGAUGGAAAUUACGUGAGAUGGGAACCAUUCUAUCGUUGUCUAAAGAAUGGUCUCCAUGGAAGUAAAAUUAUAGUUACCACACGUAGUGGGUCCGUUGCAUCCAUGAUGGGAUCCAUAGAUAUUAUUCCCAUUAAGGAAUUAGCUGAAGAGGAAUGUUGGUUGUUGUUUAACAAGAUAGCAUUUUUUGGUAGGCCUAUCGAGGAACGUGAAAAAUUCGAACGAAUUGGGCGAAGAAUUGCAGGCAAGUGCAAAGGUUUACCUCUUGCUGCAAAGAUAUUAGGGAGUCUUAUGCGCUCUAAACAAACUGAAGAAGAGUGGAAAAUAAUUUUAACUAGUGAUUUAUGGAAAGUAGAAGAGAUUGAGAAAGAUGUUUUGUCCUCUUUAUUGUUGAGUUACAAUGAUUUGCCAUCUAGAGUAAAAAGAUGUUUUUCAUAUUGUGCUGUCUUUCCAAAAGACUACAAUAUAAAAAAAGACAAACUAAUUACAUUGUGGAUGGCUCAAGGUUAUCUUAGUGCAGAAGAAGAUGAGGAGAUGGAGACUAUAGGUGAAGAGUAUUUUAGCAUCUUAGCUUCUCGCUCUUUCUUUCAAGAGUUUGAGAAAAGUUAUGAUAAUCGUAUUAUAGAGUGCAAGAUGCAUGAUAUGGUACAUGAUUUUGCCCGAUUUGUAAGUCAAAAUGAAUGUUUUUCGAUGGAAAUUAAUGGUAGUGAGGAACCAAACACCAUAAACUCUCUUGAUGAGAAGGUUCGUCAUUUAAUGUUAAUCUUUAGUAAAGGGGCUUCAUUACCUGUUUCCACUCUUAGAGUUAAAAGAAUGCGUACCCUCUUAAUUAACGAUAGUAGAUCUGAUCAUUCAUUAUUAAAUGGUGAGAUCCUAGAAGAAUUAUUUAGGGAAUUGACAAGUUUAAGGGCAUUAGAUUUUGGCGGAUCGUACACACAUUUUUCUUUGACUCUGGAGAUUCCAAGAAACAUAGAAAAGCUGGUACAUUUAAGAUACCUUAAUUUGUCUUGUCAGAAAAUAGUGGAGCUACCGGAGACAUUGUGCGAGUUAUAUAAUCUACAAAAGUUAGAUAUUAGUGAUUGUUUUAAUCUUAAAGAAUUACCUGAAGGGAUUGGGAAGUUAAUAAACAUGAAGCAUUUACGAAAUAGAAGUACUAGUUCUUUAAGGUACAUGCCAGUAGGGAUUGGGAGAUUAACGGGUCUUAGGACCUUGGGUGAGUUCCACGUGAGUGCAGGAGGAGGUGUUGAUGGUGGGAAAGCAUGUAGGCUUGAAUCUCUUAAAAACUUGGAACACCUUCAAGUAUGUGGUAUACGUAGACUGGGUGAUGUAUCAGAUGUGGGCGAGGCUAAGCGAUUAGAACUUGACAAAAAGAAAUACCUCAUCAGUUUGACCCUUGAGUUUGAAAAGAAGGAGGAAGGAGGAGGAAGGAGGAAGAACGAGGACGAUCAACUUCUUCUUGAAGCCCUACAACCACUUCUCAAUUUAAAGGAAUUAGAGAUACAGUACUACCGAGGCAACACUGUUUUCCCCAGCUGGAUGACGUCAUUAACCAACUUAAAGAGUUUAGAUCUCUCUUUGUGCCUAAAUUGCGAGCAGCUGCCUCCUUUGGGAAAAUUGCCGUCCCUUGAAAAACUCAGCAUAAUGUUUAUGCCUGUGAAAAGAGUGGGUGAUGAAUUUUUGGGGAUAGAAAGUGGUCAUCGUGACUCAUCUUCAUCUUCAUCGGUUAUUAUUGCCUUCCCCAAAUUGAAAUCACUUUCAAUUGAGUCUCUGGACGAAUUGGAGGAGUGGGAUUAUGGGAUUACAAGAACGGGAAACACCGUCAUCAACAUCAUGCCACGUCUUUCUUCAUUGGAAAUUAAUUACUGCCCCAAAUUAAAGGCACUGCCCGACCACAUUCAUCAAACGACAACAUUGAAGGAAUUGCGCAUUUGGGGGUGUGACCUUCUGGAAGAACGUUACCGCAAGGGAGAAGGAGAAGACUGGCCUAAGAUAUCACACAUUCCCAACCUCCAUAUUGGGCUUUGACAAGUAAUUUCUUCUCUUACUCUGAUUUGCUUUGUUGUUGUUUUUAAUCUAAUUAAGAAGCGUAAAUAGCAUUUUGAAUCAAACUCUAUAUCAGAAAUCUGCAAUACUUACUUUCUAAUAUUCUGAUUUUCAUAUCCUAUGAAUAUACGAUUUUUAAUUUGUGAGAUGGGUAACGUUACUGUAAAAGAUUAUUAAUGCAAUAUGAGUAAUUCUUUUGCAGGACAAGUGACCUACAUUUAGUUUGGCUUUGGAGUUGAAUAAUAACCUUUCGGGAACUGGUGUGGACUGGCAAAGGAUGAUGAGAUAGUUUUUUGAGUGAGUAAAUUUUGGGAGCUUGAGUGUAUUGGGAUUUGCAAUUACAAUCAUCCUCUGCUUCAGGUGAUUUCUUCUCUUGCUCUGUCAUUGUUUGUUCUCUAAUUCAAAAGCAUAAAAUAUUUCAAUCAAUUCUUAUACCACGAAUAUGCAAAAGUUUCUAAUAUUUUAUUUCCAUCUGUUACAAGAUCAAACUGAAGCAGAACUCAAACAAAAGUAUGCUACUUCUUGCGGAAAUCUUGCCUUUGUUCAGAUUAUGAAACCAUUUCCAUGCAGCAAAUUCAUCCAAAAGUUUGAAUAAGUUUCAUGGUCGGACACUGUUGGCUUCUUUUUCUUCUGGGGUGCAUUUAGGUGCUAUCAAGUGACAGCUGUAAGUAUGAUUGCACUAAGCUGCUGCUGGGAAAUUUGAGGUUUUGAUGGCUGCCCAUGUUAUUUUCAAGAAACUAUUGAUGUAAGAAGCUGUGGUUCUUUUCAUCAGCUUGAACCUGAAACUGUCGCUAUGGAUAACUCAGGUUUUUGUUAUCAACUAUAUCAUCUUUUUCACUAUUUUGAAACUCUUAAGAUUAAACGUUAGUAAAGUUGUUUCAGCUAUUCAAAUGAAAAACUCAUUGAUUUGAGACUUCCUUCAUUAUUGUUUCUAAUUACAAUGCUAACGAUCCAGAUAAGAUAAUAUUUAAUCGGCGAAGGUGUCCCUUGGAAGUACAUCCUUCUUUUUCUUUUAUUAUAUAAAUUCUUGCAAUGAGCUUAGUGAAGCUGUUGUGCUAAUCAUGCCACUGCAUAAUUUGGCCCCUAAUGUGGGUACUCUGUUACAUUGUUCUGCAAAUUCUCCAGAAGUUAAAAUCAAUAAAUUUUCUAUUAGCUCUAGUGCUUUGACCUAAAUGCUAUUCUAUAUUCUGAUUACAAUGUUUUAACCUUUAAAUUAACUACCCCUAGAUGUUGGAUUUUCUAGAACUUCAAAUUAUAUAUAACCUUUAAAUUAUAUAUUUCUGUGUCUCUAUUUAUAGAUGACAUUUAAGCAUCCAUAAACCGUCAGACAGAGGAAGGGGGUUCAGUGCAAAGAUUCUGUUGACCUAGGGUUGACUGCAUAUGUCACUUGUUCGCAAUCUAAUAUUUAUUUUAUAUUUUGAAAAAUUUAAUGGGUAAUCCUAAUUGUUUGUUUUGGCAGGUAUGUGUUGUUAUCUCCUUCUAUCUUACAGUCGUACCUAAAUAGCAUAGUUUCAUCUGUGUUACCAUGUGAUGUACAUAAUUUCACAUUUGCCUCAGAUUAAGCUUAAUUUCCCACAGAAUAGAGCUGUCGCGACUGGACUUAGUUUGAUGUCCAAAGAGGUAAAUUAUUGGCAUGCCUAGAUAAUUUGGCCAUUUCCUAAUUCAUAAGUCUACAUUAAUUUUGAUUUUGAGUUGACUGAUUUCUUUUCAAGGUCUGCUUCCUUAACGGAGUGACCAAUGUUUUUCAACUAAAUUUAUCAUAUGAUGCAGGAAGCAGGGCAGGAUAUGAAAUGAGAAGCUCAUUGGUGGAAGUAUUGCCAGUAGCAGAACCCAAUGAAAAUGAAACUAUUUCAAGGCAGCAGUUGGCAGUUGCAAGUGAAUGGAGGCCCUUGACAAAAUUCUCAAGCAGUUGCAAUGCAAUUACGAUCAUCCUCAGCCUCAGGUAAUUUCUUCUCCUGCUUUGUUUUUAUUUGUUAUCUAAUUAGGAAGCAUAAAGUAUCUUGAAUCAUUUUCUGUAUCUGGAAUAUAUGCAAGAGUUUCUAAAAUUUUGAUAUGAGUGUAAUGAUGGUAAUUUCUGUUUUCUGUCUGUCAUCAAAUGUUAGAAAACUUUCAUUGAGACCCUUGAACCGAGUCAUUUUUGACAAGUGAAGUGCCGAAGAGUGAAGAGUAAGAAUGGUGCUAGAUUGGGGAAUAAAGCAAAAGGAGGUAAAUUAUUGGCAGCUUCUUCAGCCUUAUUUUCUUUGGACCAGUGCCUAAUUCACAAGUCUCCAUAAUUCGGCUUUUGACCAGUUGAUAGAUAAAAUUUUAAUUUCAUUGGUGCUAAUGUACCCGUGAAGCAGGCAGAGAAGGACUGUGGAAAAGAGAAGGUUUUUAGUGAAAGCUUAAACGCAGGUAAUUCUAUAAAUUAUAUGUUUUUGCUGAUUUAUCUAAAUCAGGAAAUUUUAUUUCCAUCUGUUACAAUAAAACAGAAACAGAACACAAAGAAAAAUAGUCUACCUCUUGUGGCAAUCUUGCCUUCAUUCAGACUAUGAAACCAUUUCCUUUCACCAAUUUCUUCCAAAAGUUUGAACACGUUUCAUGGUUGGACAUAGUUAGCUUCUUUUUCUUUUGGUGCAUUUAGGUGCUAUCAAGUGACAGCCAUAAGUAUGAUUGCAUUAUUGGGAAAUUUUAGGUUUUGAUGGCUCCCCAUGUUAUUGCCAAGAAAUUUUAAGUCCUCAUGUCAGAAGCUGCGUUUCUUUUCAUCAGCCUGAACCCGAACUGAGGUUUUUGUCAUCAACUAUAUCAUCUUUUUCACUGUUUUGAAACUCUUAAGAUUAAACUUCAGUAAAGUUGUUUCAGUUAUCCAUGUAAUCAGGCUAAGGAUAUUUAGCAGCUUAUUUAGGCAACUGCCAGAAUUCAGUUUGUUUGCUCGAAACUUGUAUGGUGACAAGGAUACUGGCAAGGAUAGUGAGAUAGAUUUUUGUGUGAGUGAAUUUUGAAAGCUUGGGUGUUCUGGGAUUUGCAAUUGCAAUCAUCCUCUGCUUUAGGUGAUUUCUUCUCCUGUUCUGUCUUUAUUUUCUCUCUAAUUGAAAGCAUAAAGUAUUUCAAUCAAAUUCUGUACCAGGAAUACGAAAAACUUACUAAUAUUUUAUUUCCAUCUGUUUGCAUUGAUAACUUGGCCGCAUAUGUACUAGUUAAAGAACAAACAGAAGCAGAGUUCAGGAAAAAGUUUCUUCGGCCACCAUAUUUGAAAAUGAAACCAUUUCCAGGAAGCAGUUGGCAGCAAAUUCAUACAAAGUACAGACAAUGAUGAGCAAAAAGGUGAUUCGCAAUUUCAUUUUUUAAAAAUGAAAUUAUUUGUUAAGUUGGAGCUGAUAUUGUUAGAAGGCCAUUGAGCUAACCUAUGACACUACUUGCCUAGAUUGCAGGAGGUCAAGACUCAAAAGAUGCACUGAAUUUUAAAAGGCAUGCAAUAAUUCUUAUGGCCAUUUGUCAAUGGUGGAAUGCUUUUAGCUUCUUUUCCUUUCGUGCAUUUUGGGGUUCUAUCAAGCGACAGCCGUAUGCAUGGAUGGAUAUAGCCGCUGCGUUGAUUUCUAAUGCGUUGUAUGAUGUUAUAGCAACUAUCCAUCUGGUCAAUGUUUCAAAAGAAUAAAACACAGGGAAAAAGAGAAAGCAAGUGGCCAAUCAAGUAUUCAUGUCCCAAAGAAAAGAAUGAUUCGACAAUAGCAUUAAGGGUUAAUUGGACACAAGAGAAGUGUUUUAACCACUUCAAGGAAUGUAAAUGUAAUUUUCUAUUCUGAAGAAAAAGUAAAUAUAUGCACUGUCAAUUAAUCUUUGGUCAACCAGCAACAUUCAUAAUUUCGUGUAAGUUUCAUUUCUGUUUGUUGGAAAUAGCAGUGUAUUUCUUAGAGUUUGUAAAAAAUGGAAAGAUUUUAAAAUAUAAAUUUCACAUCUGUUUAUUACUGUUGUUUGAUCUAUUUUCUUAUGUAGAAUUUUCGGAAUCUGUAGGACAUUAAUUUAUAAUUUUGAGAUUUUGUAGCCAUAAAUGUUUUUGUUCUUUUUUUCUUUUUUUUGUUGGCAUUUUAUUUUGCUCCUUUAUCUAUAUGCAUGUUGACUAAAGCUAAUCUAGAAUCAAUAGAGAGGGAUAUUUAUCUAUUUUGUUUAACAUAAGAGUGCUGUAUAAUUUUUCACUAAAUACACCUACAACAAACUAUUAAUAAUAAAGUGAUAGAAGAAUGCCUAAUUUUUCGUACUUUUUAAUUUCUUUCAGCCCUAAAAUAUAGGUAUUAAUGUCAUAAUAAGCCCAUGUGGAUCUCAGUGCCGCAAGUUCGAUAAAUGGCUAUCAAGGAUUACUUAUUAAGUCAAAAGUAUUCAAAGGACAAAAUGGUAAAACUAUAAGGGUGGAGUAAGAUGGCUACCUUGGGUUACAUAGUAAGUCGACUACAUUCAAAGGAUAAAAUAUUAGAACCUGAACGGCGGAGUAGUCGUCGUUAGAACCUGAACGGCGGAGUAAUCGUCGUUAGAAUCUGAAUGAUAUGUCUAAGACGUUGCAUGCAUCAAGAAAAUUGCAGAUGAUUAAACCUUGCCAUCCAUGCGUUGUAUGAGGUUAUAGCAACUAUCUAUCUGGUCACCGUUUUAAAAGAAUAAGACAAAGGGAAAAAGAGAAAGAAAAGAAUGAUUCGACAAUGGCAUUAAAGUUCAACGUACCCCAAGAUCUUGUAAUAAUGCCAUUAAUCAUUCUCUAGCUAGGCUAGCCUUAGAGAAAAGUGAAACUGUUGCACAGGUAGAAUCACACCCCUCAGAGAUAAUGUAUUUAUUCAGCUCUUCGAAUGAAUGAAGUUUAUUUUCUCGUCAAAAAAAAAAACUGCUCGCUCCGCUGGUUUCAUACAAUGUCAACUAGAAACAUCAUACUUUCGUGUAAGUUCAUUUCAGAAUAUUUCUUAGAGUUUGUAUAAAAUGAAAAGAUUUUAAAAUAUAAAUUUAAUAUUUGUUUAUUACCGUUGUUUGGUCUAAUUUCCUCGGGAGAAUUUUCAGAAUUUAUAGGACAUUAGUUUAUAAUUUUGAAAUUUUGUAACCUAAAUGAUUUUUUUUUCGGUUACCAUUUUGUUUUCCUGCUUUAUCUACGUGUAUGUUGACUAAAACUAAUCUAUUUUGUUAAACCUUUACCACUCUAGACAUUGCACUAAAUAUGAGUUCGUGAUGCUUGCAUUUUAUUGAUGCUGAUGAUUCGUUGAAUGUUUUAUGUUUUUGAUUUUUAAGUAUUCCGGAUCGAAGUUUGUGUCUACGCGGAAAUUGUAAAGGCAGCAUAUAAAGUACUCGUCGUUCUUUAGAUUUUAUUGAGUACACUUUUGUCACAUUUAGCGUAUGCUAUACACUACUGAUUUGCGCAUUGACAUAUAUCUUUUUUUUUUAUGAGAGGGGGCUCGUCAAAACGAGCUAAACAGGAACAAACCGGGGGUUAGAAAUCCCAAACAAGUCUUGCGAAAUGAUAGAAUAAACACCCAUAGGAGGGUUAGAGAACACAUGGAGGCCAAGAGGAGCUGAAUGAGCCAUAUUAGCCAUGAAAUCCGCAGCUGAGUUUGCUUCGCGAUAAAUAUGGGUGAUAGCAGUCUGCCAAUUUCUACUUAGUAAUUCCCGGACAGCUGAUAAUAAAGCAGUGAACGCAUUAGGAACAACCACCUGCUUAGAAAUCAUUUGUGUAAUACAAAUACUAUCCACUUCCACCAACAACCGUUUUAUGCCUACAUCCCAAGCAAGAAUUAGGCCCUGAUACAGCCCCCAAAGCUCAGCCAUAAGCACUGACCUGUCCCCAAUUUUCAUACAAAAGCCGGAUACCCAAUGACCAACUGAGUCUCGAAUAACACCUCCCGCUCCUGCUUCCCAAGUAUUUUUACAGGAGCCAUCUGUAUUUAAUUUACACCAUGGCCAAGGCGACGGCAGCCAAUGAAUAUAAAUCUCCUGUCUCCUCGGCUGCUGGCUUAGGCAAGAAUUAUUUACUCUGCAAAUUUCUUUAGCUCUCGCCAUAACAUCCAUAUAGAUUGUUAGACUAUCCACCAGCUUUCCCUCAAAGAAAAAAUGGUUCCUCCAGAACCAUAGCCUCCAAACUACCACACCAAAGAUACAAUCCCAGGGGAGGGGAGACCCAAUCUUCCAUUUAUUUUGCAGGUUCCCAGCAAUCCAUUCUCGUAAGUUCGAAUUGAAGAAAGUGUUAUGACUGGCCAUCGGAACAAGCUUCCGCCAAACCUGCUUGAUACAGCUGCAGUCUCUCAAUGCAUGGAGGAUAUCUUCAACCGCACCCCCACACCUAUCACAAUCCUCAGGAACAUUAAUAUGGCGCCUAACAAGUUCAUCACGAGUCUUGAGUUUCCCAUGCAUAAGCUGCCAAAGAAAAAGGCGGAUGGAUUGAGGCCCCUUCCAACUCCAUGGAAGCUUCCAAUUUCUGUCAUGAACAGCAGCUUGAUGAUAGCAAAGUGAUUCAUAAGCUGACCGAACCGAAAACAUGCCGCUUGGAUCAAAGCCCCAGUAAAUAAUAUCAGCCCCAAGAUGAGGAGCCGGAGGCAAGACUGAAGCAAUCUGCAUGAGAAUACCAUGCGGCAGAAGAUGCUCAAAGCUCGACCAAUUCCAUCCCCCAUGCCCAUUCGUAAAGUCACUCACAGUGGCAUUGAUAAGCUCGUGAGGAAUCGGCAAGAUGGCAAGGCUGAUCAGAGGAUAUUUCGUAGCCCAACAAUCAACCCAGAAUCGAGUUCUAACACCAUCACGAACUGACCAGCGAGCUCCCUGCACUGUUGCCAACCACGUGCUACGAAUAGCCCUCCAAAUCUGAGAACCCGGUUUGUCUGAAAGAGACAUUGGUAGGUUGCGAGACUCCAAACCAUAUUUGGAGCAGAAGACUUGCACCCACAGUUUAUCCGAAUUGGAAACAACCUCCCAGCUCAAUUUCAUCAACAUCGCCUGAUUCAUUUCGUCCAUUUUUUUGAAUCCCAGGCCUCCAUGUUUUUUCGGCUUGCAAAUUUUGUCCCACCCCACCAUACUCAUCUUGUGACUCUUUGAAUUCCCAUCCCAAAUAAAUCUUCGACAAGCUUUGUCUAUUUUAUGUCUCACUGGAGAAGGAAGUAAGGUCGUUUGCAUGGCAUAAACAGGCAUUGCUUGCAGGACUGAUUGAGCCAGAGUGACGCGUCCAGCAAAAGAUAGAUGAGCCGCGUUCCAACCAGUUAACCGCUUAUCCACUUUAUCAAGGAUGGAUUGAUACGUGUAUUUAUUAACCCGCGAAUGGAUUAAGGGCAUUCCAAGAUAAUCACCCAAAUUAUUUGUGGCCGAAACUCCCAAAGUCGAGCCUAUGAUAUUGGCAUCCCGAGAAGCGACAUUUUUUGAGAAGAAAACUUUAGUUUUCAUUUUGUUGACUUUUGCUUCCGAACUCCUACAAUAAUUAUCCAGAACAGCAUCUACGACAUAAGCUUGAUCAAUUGAAGCUUCCGCAAAUAAAAGCAAAUCAUCUGCAAAAAAGAGAUGCGUUAAAGGAGUUCCAUAUUUGGCCAACCGGAUAAGCCUCCAUCUCCUCUCCAUCACCGCUUGGGUUAUACCAUGGCUUAACCGUUCAAUGCACAGAACAAAAAGAUAAGGCGAGAGGGGAUCGCCCUGACGGAUACCCCUUCCCGGAGUGAAAGCUUAUGUCGCCUCGCCAUUCCACAAAAUACGCAUACUAGCUGAAGUUACGCAUUCCAUGAUUAGUCUAGAUAAGUGAAUUGGAAUACCAGUCUGGUUAAGCGUAUCAAAAAUGAAAUCCCAACUGAGCCGGUCAUAAGCCUUCUCAAGGUCGACCUUAAUGGCCAUAAAUCCUUUCCUGCCAGUUUUUCUGCGCAUAGAGUGAACUACUUCCUGAGCCACUACAAUAUUAUCUACUAUAUGCCUCCCAGGAACAAAGCUCGUCUGAUUGGGGCUUAUUAGAUUGGGCAGCAGUGUUUGCAAUCGAGUGGCUAUAAUUUUAGUCACCGUCUUGUAGGCCACUGUGUAUAGGCUUAUGGGCCUAAACAUCUUUAAGCUAGUGGGGUGCUCCUCUUUAGGAAUCAAAACCAAGAGGGUAGUAUUUAUCUCUUGCGGCACCUUCCCCGUUGUAAAAAUAUCAUGAAUAAACCUGCAAAACGACGGACCAACCACAUGCCAUUGGGAUUGAUAAAAUAUAGCGUGCAAACCAUCCGUACCUGGGGCUUUCAGCGGCUUCAUGCUAAACACAACGUUCCGAAUUUCCUCCCUCAAAAUUGGGGCUGCAGCCCCAUCUACGUCAUGAGAAUCCAAGGCUGGGAAAAAGUUUGGAGCAUGGUAAUUCCGAUAAGUUGCAUUAUCACUUGUAAAUAGGUCAGAAAAAUACCCCACUACAUGCCUCCUUAUAUCCUCCUCAUCAUAUAGCCAAUUCCCCGAACAGUCUCGGAUGGCCUCAAUUCUAUUCCGCCGCCUUCGAGCAAUGGUUUUUUGGUGGAAAAAAUUCGUAUUUCUGUCCCCAUGCAGAAGCCAAUCCUUUCGAGAUUUCUGAAGCCAAAGAAUUUCCUCCGAUUCAUCACCAUUUCGAGCUCAUUUUGCAUGCGGGCUUAUAAGCGCAACAAACUGUUAGAGCUAUAAUUCUCUAGAGUAGCUUGAAUUCCAUUAAUCCGAGCCAUAAGCCGGCGUUUUCUCUGAAAGAUAUUCCCAAACACAUCUCGAUUCCAAGCUUGAACCUCCUGGACAAAAUGAGAGGCUGCUGCACUAUAAUGGAUUUGCGGAUUCCACACCCGCUUAAUAAAGUUAUGAAAAUGCUCGUGAGUUAACCAAGCAGCCAAAAAGCGGAAAGGCCUGUUCCUCCUGUGACCGGCCACAGCUCUCUCAAACCGAACCAGCACCGGCCUGUGAUCCGAGGCAACCUUCGGGAGGUGGAGGACAGAAUUAUUCGGAUACUUAUGUAGCCAAUCACUAUUGCACAGAGCUCUAUCAAGCCGUUUAAAGAGCAAUCCACGUGACCAAGUAAACCUUGGACCUUUAAACUUUAAAUCAAAAAUUUGGUGCCCAUCAAACCAUUUCCGAAACAGAUUACACACUCCUGGGUUCCUGGCCUCACCCCCCUGCUUUUCAGAGGCAUAUAAGAUAGAAUUGAAAUCCCCACCUAUCAGCCAAGGGCCUCGAAUUGAAGGCGCAAGGUUCUCCAUAUGGCUCCACAACUGUCUCCUUAGCAUUGGAUUUGGGCUGGCAUACACAGCCGUUACCCAAGACACAAAGGUCUUAUUCAUACAAAAUUUAAAGUGAAUGAACUGCCUAUGAUUAAUUAAGACUUCCACCUCUAUGGAAUUUCGCCAAAGAAGCCAAAUUCCUCCAGAAAAACCCACAGCUUCCACCCGGUGCGAAUACUCAAAUCCACUUUUCUUUAUAAAGUCAUCGGCUUUAGCACCACUAGUGCGAGGUUCCAUUAACACCACCAUCGAUGGAUUGUAGUUUUUAAUAAUUGUUUUAAACGAGCGCCUAAAUACCCCCGAGGCUGCCCCUUGUACAUUCCAGAACAUGAUACUAGCUGACAUAAUAAAAAUAACAGGAGAGAAACAAACGUCUACUGCUGCUGUCCAAGGACUUCCUCCAUCCACGCCAAUGGCGUUUCUUGAACCAUCUCAACUUCAUUCUCAACCAUCCCAUCGCCAUCAACACCAUUUAUAGGUACAACUGGAUGGUUAUGAGCACUGUCACCUUCAUUCACCCGAUGGAUGGUUUGAUCAUCUGGAGGGUCUGCUACUUGUUGUGGAUCCGGACCUUGCCUCUCUAUGUGUUCCGCGGUCACGUCCCUUUCAUCACCAUUAGGAAGGGUUUGGGAGGAGCAAACAAACACUGUGUGUUUAGAGGGGUCCAGGGUGGUUGCGAAUGGUGCCACGAGUUGAUUGCUAGAAGCUUUCUGAGGGAAAAUAUGGGGUUCAAAGCUUCGGUUUGCAUGAGGUAGGAUGGAUAUUUCCUUCUCUCUGGUGCUGAAGACACUAGGCUGGAGAGGGUUACAGGUAGGAGUUACUGGGACGUUUGGUUUCCUGCUCUGAUUCCUUGCUGCCACGGCCUUAUUUUGCGGCUUACGACGAGCCAUAGUCUUUGCUGAGGUAUCUGCUCUGGCUGUGAAAGUAUGGUUUGAUGCGGGCAUGAAAGGUUGCCGUGAGGUGGAAGGGAAGUCUGGGCAAGCCUCAUGCACAUGGUUUCCACCUUCAUCCGAGACUUUGGAUAAUAUGUGAAACCGUGAGGUACCAGCUCCAGUAAACUCCCUAUUACGGUUUGAGUCUCCAGUGUUCUCCUUACCAAUAUUCGGCUUCCUUCCUCUCCUAGUGGCAAUCAUCCAGGGUCCGAAUAGUUCCACAUUAUUAUCACCAUUACUACCUACAGCCUGCUGGCCAGGAGCCUCAUUUUCCGGCACUGCCUGUUGGGGUUGACCAGCAUCUUCAGGGCUUGUCGAACUCUUAGCAUCCUUACAGUUGCUGCUACUAUGCCCGUAAGAUUCCACACUUAUAACAAAUUACUGGCAAUCCCUCGUAUUCCACCUUCUGGAUCUUCCCAUCCAAUUCAAACUGAGAUACCAGCGGCCUUGUUAACGAGAUACUUACUGCAAGACGUGCAAAUCUUCCACGAGAUGAGGAGGCUGUAUUCGAAUCGAUUUUAAUCACGUUACCCACUAACUGACCCAGCUUCUGUAGAACUUUUCGAUUAUAAAGAUGAACCGCAAGGCCUGGUAAACAGAUCCAUACCGUGACUUGAUCAAGAUCCGCAUUUGUGAAAUCAAAAGAGGGUGUCCAUGGCUGCACAGUUAAAUAUUGACCCAUUAUAAGCCACGGUCCCUUAGUUAAAACAUCCAUAGCAUCCCCUACCGAUCUGAAACGAACCAGAUAAUAAUUGUUUUCCAAGUCAAUCACGGAAAAACCCAUGGCUGAUUUCCACAUGACAUUUAAUCUUGCACACAUAGCUCUAUAGCCAAUUGUGCGGCCAAGCAACUUCACAACCACCGAGUUCUUCCAAGGCUCACUUAACUUAGCAUGAACCCUAGCCGAAAAAGUGAUGGAUGGCAUGGGUCCCUCGUUAGUUUCAAUAAUGUCUCCUUCCUCAAAAUCCCAGUCCUCUAGUCCACCUCCAAUUCCUUGCUCCAUCGCUUGUGUUGCAUUCACUAGGGUUUCUUUGUACGAAAACUGUACAGUGGUAUCCCCAGCAUGUUCUUCAUCACGAAAUCUUGCUUUUUUAAUCGUUCUAGCCUCCCUAAACGGCGGGGGAAAAAUCCCUCCGGAGUUAGGGUUUCCUUCACGUCCGAGGUUUUCGGAGCCUUCCAUAUGGUGUUGAUCUUUUUAAGUCACUCGUUUCAAUAUUUCAUUUAUUUCCUUUUCAAGCUAACAAUUAAUGUAUAUGAAUGUGCGGAUGCAUUGACAUAUAUCUUAUUUUAUCAUUUUGAAUGAAUUGCACGGCGAGGCUUAUCAACUUUGGAUGAAUCCUCCAAUUGUCGCAGUCCAAGACUGGCUGCAGUGAGUGAAAAUUUACCCAUAUAUAUGCUGGCUAUUUUUAUUGGCGACGAAUUCGUUGUAGUUGGUCCAUCUUGCUAUUCUCGGACAAUAUUAGAGAAAAUAAUCAUAUUAUUUCGCGUGAUGUGACCUUCCAUAACGUAUCAAUUGAAUUACUGUAAAAUUAUUGUGUAAGUUUAGGCCCAAUGGCACUUUAGUUCAUCACAUGAUAGCCUGGAUUUAAAAGGAAAACUAUAUUGCAUUGCUUCAAAAAAAAAAUUUAAUGUUUUUAAUAUGAAUAUUUUUAACUAUAUUCAGUUAAAAUAAUAUAUUCUUAAUAUUAAUAUUCAUAGAUGAAAUUCUUUUGCGGAUUUAAGAAUAAAAUAUCAAAUAGUUUUAUUUUUCUUUUGUUGUGUAACUUGGACCGAAAAAGAAAAUGAGCUUAACAUGACCCUCCUUCCGGCACUAUGCAUGUUUUUCUUUUAUUUUUCUUGUAUUGAUGACAGUGCUCUUGGUGCUUCUCAUCUGCUUCUUGCUUUGGUUUCAAACAAGUCUUUCUCCGUCGAGACAUUUAUUGUAAUUUGAUUUGGAGACAUCUGUCGUUCAAAUAUAUUUCAUAUGCAAGCUGUUGAUAAUUCUGCUUGAGAAAGCCUUCAAAGCAGCUGUGUGAUGUAAUAGAAGACUAUAUAUGCAAGCGGGUACCGAGCUCGAAUUCUUUCUUGAGUUUCUUUGAAUUAUUUGUGAAUGAGUUCUUAAUCGGCUGCUGCUCUUCAGGAAAAGGAAAGUGUUGCAAACUGGUGAAGCUGAUCGAUAAAAGCAAUGUACCAUCUUUGCUGCCAUGGAUCGAUGCCAGUGAGUUUUUUAAUUUGUCAACCUUUUUAAUAAUGCAUAUGUGUUUCUUCAACUUGAAGCGGCAUUUAAGACGAAAGAAGUGAUCUUUAAAGCAUUCUAUAGCAUUAUCCUUUCCUAUUAUAUAUAUCCAAUUGCUCCAAAUUAUUUGUAAAUUACUGAACACGAAUGCUGAUGAAUAAACUGAUGGCUCUAUGUAUGUAUGCACAUGCAUGGAGAAAUUUUAAGUCAGACAUUCCCAUAUAUAACUCGUGCUACCAAAUCAUUAAAUAAUCUUGAAAUCAAAGUAAUAAUUAAAUACAAAUAAAUUGCUCGAAUUGUACAUAUAUCUGAAUCAUGUAGUGAAGAAAAUACAACAACAACAACCAAUGGCUCAAAUUCCCCAUCAACUUCUAAUCUCAACACUUUUGAGUGUCAGAAGCAUUACUCUGCUACCAGUUAACAAACAUAUAAUUAGUAAUUUGCCAUUCACUUCCCUUUUAGGCCUAACACAUUUUCUAUAAAGGAGCCACAGAGUGAACUCAGCAGGAAACACUCAAUUUCAACCUACGUAGGACCAGGAAUUUCAACCAAAAAAAAAGUGUGCAAUUGCUUAUCCUAUCCUAUUGCUACUAGAAAGAAAGUGAACAAUUAAUUUCAGUGAAUAAAUUAAAAAAAAUUACUUCUGCAGAUACUCAAGCUAAGAACACAUUAACCCAUUAAAGACUCCAAAUUGCAUCAAACAAAUUGUUGUUAAACAAGUAAAACAAAGAAAGAGAGUUAAGGAAGCUGACCUAGUAGUAGGGGAGCUGAAGAAAGACUGCCAGUGAAUGUAAGAGAAAAUAAAAUGCAAUAAAUGGUGAAGUGCAGCUUUUCAUGUCAACUUGAAAUUGUUUCUUCUGUUUUUUUUUUUUUUAAUCUUUUGGAUUUUUAAAACAAAGAAAAUGAGGAGCAACCAGGGAGAUAAAAAGGGCGCCAAGGCAACUGUGUGUUGGGUUUAGAGCCCAAAAAAAAAGGAGGAUAAGACAUCGUGUUCUUGUGGAGACCAGACCUAUUACGUAACGUCCCCUUCAAUACCACUUGUUCCGUAUCUGGUUUUUUCUUCGUCUUUUACAUAUUUAUCCUGUGAUUUUACAAUAACUAAAUAAUCCCCGCAUAGUUUGCAAUUUUAUUCAUUUGAGCCCUACAGAUUUCAGUAAUAGGUAGAGUUGGCAAAACGGGUCAUCGGGUCGUGUUCGUGUCAUGUCAAAUUUAAGUCGACCCAAACCCGACCCAUUUAAUAAUCGUGUCAAAAUAUUGAGACCUAAAUCCGACACGGAAAAAUAAUCGGGUUACCCAAUAACUCGUUUAAUAUCAAUAUAUUGAACAAAAGUUACAUCAAAUAUUUACACACUAUCAUACAUACAUACAUAAUUUAUCGAUAUUAUAAAAUAUAUAUAUCUACUAAUAUAUUACACAUUUACACUAUUGAGGUUUUAAUUAUAUAUAUAUAUAUAUAUAUACCUACGAUGAUUGUUUAAGCCGCGGUAAACGCUUCUAGAACGCCCUCUGGCAGGAAGGAAGGUACUCAAAGAAAGUGGAGAUGAGGGAAACUCCGCUGGAGUGAGGGGAUUUAUCGGAAUCUCGUUCAGAGUGAGGAGUCAAUGAGGGUUUGCUUGUACUUGUGGUUCUAUUGAUAGGUGUUUGCAAUGGGCUUUCGUCUCAGGUAGUUCAGUCUCCGGGGUUACGCUUAGUUUCAUAUAAAAUAAAUGAAGAAGACAGCUGGACUUCAGAGUGGGAUCCUCCUAUGUUGUCGGCUGUUUGUUUGUCCGCAGCUAUUACAGCUUGUGCUCGAAUAUAUAUGUAUCCAUAUAUUUCCAGAUAUUAUAUAUCAAUAUAUAUAUAUAUUAUUUAUCAAUAUUAUAAAAUCUACAUAUCUAUCAAUUUUUUCACAUUUACACUAUUGAAGCUCUAAAUGUAUUUAAAAUUUUAUAAAUAAAAUAUUAUGUUUAUAUUCACCCUUUUAAAGAAUAAAAAAGAAAAUCAUUACUAAUAUUUGAGUUUUAAUGAUAAGAAUAUGUAAAUUAUUUUAAAAUAGAAAAUAUAAUCGGGUCAUUGAUCGGGUAAAUGGGUCAAGAAUUUUAACUCUAACCCGACACGGAAAAAAAUCGUGUUGACCCGGACCCGACCCAUUUAAUAAUCGUGUUAAAUUUGACGACCCAUAUUCAUUUAUUUAUGUCGUGUUCGUGUCGAGUAAUCGGGUCGUGUCAAAUUUUGCCAGCUCUAGUAAUAGGAAUUAUUAAGGGACAAGAGCGCAAAACAAAAACUCUGUCCACUACUGAUGAUAUAACAACGAACCUUUGUUUUUUUCUUCUUUUUUUUUUACAAAAUAUCAUUAGAGAAAUGAAAAUAUUAACUAACAUCACCCUACUGAUGAUAUAACAACGAACCUUUGUAGUUUCUGCCUGUUAAUAUGAAUUGAUCAGGAGUGUUUCCUCACUUAAAAAUUACGAAUUUACAAAUAUGUAUGUAAGUAUGUAUGUAUGUACGUACGUACGUGAGUAUGUAUGUACAUAUAUGCAUACACCUAUGUAACAUUUACUUAUCCAUCCUUUUGAGUUUAAAACUUAAUACACAUUUUCAUGAAAUUUUUAUUUUAUUAAGUAUACAACUACAGUAAUGUAUAUAUUUUUUAUAUAAGACAUGCCGUCAUAUUAUUCAUAAGUAAAACAAUGUGUUGUAAAUAGUUUAAUUAUUAAAUAUCAUACAAUAUCUUUCAACAACCGGCAAUAGACCUUUACCCAUUUUUCUUUUUCGACCAUUAGAUUCAUUCAGUUUACAUCCAACGGCAGUUUAGGAUGGAGACAAAAAGUGUGGUACGUUACCACAGUGGUAACAUUGGAUUGGGAUUGUAUGUCGUGUUUAAUUUGAAUUGGUUGAUUCCUCUAAUGAAUUAUUUUGAUAAAUUUAGUAGCAGUAUUUGGCGGCAAAAGUAUCAUUAAUUUUUGGAAAUAUGAUUAUGUUAUUAAUUAUUUUAGCAUUCUAAAAAGUCAAUGGUUAUGUUGGAAAUACUCUAAGGUAGAAUAGAGUACAAAUCACAGUCACACAUACAAAAUGAUAAAUAAUAAAAAAUAUAUUAUAUUUUUGAUCAUAUGAUUAUGAAGACGUAUUUUACCUUAAAGAAGUUCUAAUAAGCGAAUUCUUCUAAAACAAUAUAAAAUUUCUUUUUUAUCAUACUCAACCGCUUCAAACUUCUAAGAAGUAGAUAUACAAUGAGUGGAAUACUGAAUUGAGUGCGAGCUGCGGAUAAUAUAUAAAAUUGGGAUACAAGCUUCAAGGAAAGUGUAUUGCUAUUCAAAUGUAGAUUUCAAAUUAAGAAGAUAUGCCAGCAAAUUGUAUAAAAAUGUAUAAAUUGAUCAGUAACAUUAAUUCCAAAUGAUGAAAUGAGUUAUCUUGAUCAAAAGGUCAAGAACCUACCUUACUUCUCUUAGAGAUAACUUGCAUCAACCGUUGUGGUAUUGAUACUUGUCUUCAGCUAGUAAAAGACUAAAAGUGAAAGUUUCACAAUUGAAAUAAAGCUAAGGGAAGAUGCUAUGCUCCAUUUAUUAUUAUUAUUAUUGAUGUGGUCGAGAAGUAAAGCCAUGCAUAUGAUGAAGUAUAAAUAAGAAUGCAAUAGCCCGGAAUUCAUUUACACAAACACUUCAAUAUCCUUUUGAUCACUUUUGCAAACAUCAGUUUGUCUCUUGUAUUCACCAUGGUUGAUGCCAUCGUUUCCUCUCUUGUGGAGCAGCUGACUUCCUUCGCUGCUAAAGAGAUAAUACAACAGGUGAUCGAAGUUACACCCCCCAUAUUAUAAAUACUUCUAAUGAUUUUAAUUGGUUUUGUUUUUAUCGGAAACAUUAACUUUGCUUUAUUUUAUUUAUUUAGGCAUUUUAAAUUUUAAAAUUUGAAUUGAAUUCAAUUAAAAUGUGAUGUAGCUAGUAACCACUUUUUUUAUUUCAUUUAUAUUCUCAAUAACUACCCAUAUUUUGGUAACUUACUGUAACCCCCGUAUCUAAGAAAUGAUUAAAACCCACAAUUUUAACUCCACAUAAAUAUUCCAUGUUGAGCUAAGUUUUUGCAUAACAUUCAAGUUUGUUAAAUAGUCAUUAAUUUAAUGUUUAGUAAAAACUUAUCUCUGAAAAUUUUCAUAAUUUUCUUACAUUCUUUGAGUUUGGUGAGUGACUUCAUAUAAUUUCUUUUCAAUUUAAAUUUUAAUUUGGUUUCUGAUAUAGUCUCUUUACUGAAUUUAUAUCUUUUAUGAUUCUUGGAUUUUGGGCUCCAACUUUUUAGGAUUUGAUAGUCACAUUUUAUGGCAUGCUUAGAUUGAUUUUCAUGAUUUGAGUACUCGUUAAGUGACUGAGAAUUUGACAAAAGUUUGAAAGGAAAUCCGUUUCACGAUUCUUAUGUGGAAGGUUCGUAAAAUCAUGAAAUUUGGAUAGGAUUCGCUAGCAAUAUGUACAAGACUCUUCAUGAAGUUUCAUAAUUUUUCGUUCGGUCUGGGGUGGUACAGGUGAAACUUGUGGUUGGUGUUAAAGAAGAAGUGAAAAGCCUUAUCAGCCACCUUCAAGCCAUUCAAGCUGUGCUCGAUGAUGCAGAGGAAAAGCAAGUGAAGGACAAAGCUGUUAGACAUUGGCUGGGCAGGCUCAAGUAUGCAUCCUACGACAUUGAAGAUGUGUUGGAUGAGUGGAUCACAGCUAGACACAAAUUGCAAAUUGAGGGUGGCGUUGAUGACAAUGCUCUUGCUGCUCCUCAAAAGAAAAAGAAGGUAUGUUUCUGCUUUCCUGCCUCUUGUUUUGGAUUCAAACAAGAAGAAUUUGGUUUCAGACAAGUCUUUCUACGUUAUGACAUUGCCAACAAGAUCAAAGAAAUGAAUAAAGAGCUACAUGAUAUUGCCACUCAAAAAGACAUGUUUAAUCUUGUUAAGAGUGGCAAUAAAAGUGGUGAAAGACCAAGGCGUGUACAGAGUACCUCCUUGAUUGAUGAGGAAGAGAUUUGUGGUAGAGUUGGUGAGAAGAAUGAACUCAUAAGCAAGCUGUUGCGUGAGAGUAGCGAGCAACAAAAAGGCCUCCAUAUGAUCUCAAUUGUUGGUAUGGGAGGCAUAGGGAAAACUACUCUUGCACAACUAGCUUGUAAUGAUGACGUGGUGAAGAGAAAGUUCGACAAAAUUCUGUGGGUGUGUGUAUCAGAAACUUUUGAGGAGUUUAGGGUUGCCAAAGCAAUCGUUGAAGCUUUGGAUGGUCGUGAAUCUCAUUUAGGUGAAUUCCAAUCUCUUCUUAAACAUAUUGAUGAAUCCAUUGCAGGGAAGAGCUUUCUUCUUGUCUUAGAUGACGUGUGGGAUGGAAAUUACUUGAAAUGGGAACCAUUCUAUCGUUGUCUAAAGAAUGGUCUCCAUGGAAGUAAAAUUUUAGUUACCACACGUAGUGGGUCCGUUGCAUCCACGAUGGGAUCCAUAGAUAUUAUUCCCAUUGAGAAAUUAGCUGAAGAGGAAUGUUGGUUGUUGUUUAACAAGAUAGCAUUUUUUGGUAGGCCUAUCGAGGAACGUGAAAAAUUCGAACGAAUUGGGCGAAGAAUUGCUGGCAAGUGCAAAGGUUUACCUCUUGCAACAAAGACAAUAGGUAGUCUCAUGCGUUCUAAACAAACUGAAGAAGAGUGGAAAAGAAUUUUAAAUAGUGAUUUAUGGAAAGUAGAAGAGAUUGAGAAAGAUGUUUUGUCCUCUUUAUUGUUGAGUUACAAUGAUUUGCCAUCUAGAGUAAAAAGAUGUUUUUCAUAUUGUGCUCUCUUUCCAAAAGACUACGAUAUAGAAAAAGACAAACUAAUCACAUUGUGGAUGGCUCAAGGUUAUCUUAGUGCAGAAGAAGAUGAGGAGAUGGAGACUAUAGGUGAAGAGUAUUUUAGCAUCUUAGCUUCUCGCUCUUUCUUUCAAGAGUUUAAGAAAAGUUAUGAUAAUCGGAUUAUAGAGUGUAAGAUGCAUGAUAUGGUACAUGAUUUUGCCCGAUUUGUAAGUCAAAAUGAAUGUUUUUCGAUGGCAAUUAAUGGUAGUGAAGAACCAAACGCCACAAACUCUGUUGAUGAGAAGGUCCGUCAUUUAAUGUUAAUCUUUAGUAUAGAGGCUUCAUUACCUGUUUCCACUCCUAGAGUUAAAAGAAUGCGUACCCUCUUAAUUAACGAUAGUAGAUCUGAUCAAUCAUUAUUAAAUGGUGAGAUCCUAGAAGAAUUGUUUAGGGAAUUGACAAGUUUAAGGGCAUUAGAUUUUGACAAAUUGUACCACUCAAUUUGGUCUUCGACUCUGGAGAUUCCGAGAAACAUAGAAAAGCUGGUACAUUUAAGAUACCUUAAUUUGUCUUCUCAGAAAAUAGUGGAGCUACCGGAGACAUUGUGCGAGUUAUAUAAUCUAGAAAAGUUAGAUAUUAGUUUUUGUUUUGAUCUUAGAGAAUUACCUGAAGGGAUUGGGAAGUUAAUAAACAUGAAGCAUUUACUAAAUUAUGAUACUGAUUCUUUAAGGUACAUGCCAGUAGGGAUUGGGAGAUUAACGGGUCUUAGGACCUUGGAUGAGUUCCACGUGAGUGCAGGAGGAGCUGUUGAUGGUAGGAAAGCAUGUAGGCUUGAAUCUCUUAAAAACUUGGAACACCUUCAAGUAUGUGGUAUACGUAGACUGGGUGAUGUAUCAGAUGUGGGCGAGGCUAAGCGAUUAGAACUUGACAAAAAGAAAUACCUCUUCAGUUUGACCCUUGAGUUUGAUAAGAAGGAGGAAGAAGAAGGAGAAAGAAGGAAGAACGAGGACGAUCAACUUCUUCUUGAAGCCCUGCGACCACCUCUGGAUUUAAAGGAAUUAGAGAUACGGUUCUACCGAGGCAACACUGUUUUCCCCAGCUGGAUGACGUCAUUAACCAACUUAAAGAGUUUAAAACUCUCUUUCUGCGAAAAUUGCGAGCAGCUGCCUCCUUUGGGAAAAUUGCCGUCCCUUGAACAGCUCUUCAUAUCGUACAUGUCGAGUGUGAAAAGAGUGGGUGAUGAAUUUUUGGGGAUAGAAAGUGAUCAUCAUGGCUCAUCUUCAUCUUCAUCGGUUAUUAUUGCCUUCCCCAAAUUGAAAUCACUUUCAAUUGAGUUUCUGUGCGAAUUGGAGGAGUGGGAUUAUGGGAUUACAAGAACGGGAAACACCGUCAUCAACAUCAUGCCACGUCUUUCUUCCUUGACAAUUGCUCUUUGCCCCAAAUUAAAGGCACUGCCCGACCACAUUCAUCAAACGACAACAUUGAAGGAAUUGCACAUUUGGGAUUGCAGGCUUCUGGAAGAACGUUAUUGCAAGGGGGAAGGAGAAGACUGGCCUAAGAUAUCACACAUUCCCAACCUCCAUAUUGGGCAUUGACAAGUAAUUUCUUCUCUUACUCUGAUUUGCUUUGUUGUUGUUUUUAAUCUAAUUAAGAAGCGUAAAUAGCAUUUUGAAUCAAACUCUAUAUCAGAAAUCUGCAAUACUUACUUUCUAAUAUUCUGAUUUUCAUAUCCUAUGAAUAUACGAUUUUUAAUUUGUGAGAUGGGUAACGUUACUGUAAAAGAUUAUUAAUGCAAUAUGAGUAAUUCUUUUGCAGGACAAGUGACCUACAUUUAGUUUGGCUUUGGAGUUGAAUAAUAACCUUUCGGGAACUGGUGUGGACUGGCAAAGGAUGAUGAGAUAGUUUUUUGAGUGAGUAAAUUUUGGGAGCUUGAGUGUAUUGGGAUUUGCAAUUACAAUCAUCGUCUGCCUCAGGUGAUUUCUUCUCCUGCUCUGUCAUUGUUUGUUCUCUAAUUCAAAAGCAUAAAAUAUUUCAAUCAAUUUUUAUGCCAGGAAUAUGCAAAAGUUUCUAAUAUUUUAUUUCCAUCUGUCACAAGAUCAAACUGAAGCAGAACUCAAACAAAAGUAUGCUACUUCUUGCGGAAAUCUUGCCUUCGUUCAAAUUAUGAAACCAUUUCCAUGCAGCAAAUUCAUCCAAAAGUUUGAAUAAGUUUCAUGGUUGGACACUGUUGGCUUCUUUUUCUUCUGGGGUGCAUUUAGGUGCUAUCAAGUGACAGCUGUAAGUAUGAUUGCACUAAGCUGCUGCUGGGAAAUUUGAGGUUUUGAUGGCUGCCCAUGUUAUUUUCAAGAAACUAUUGAUGUAAGAAGCCGUGGUUCUUUUCAUCAGCUUGAACCUGAAACUGUCGCUAUGGAUAACUCAGGUUUUUGUUAUCAACUAUAUCAUCUUUUUCACUAUUUUGAAACUCUUAAGAUUAAACGUUAGUAAAGUUGUUUCAGCUAUUCAAAUGAAAAACUCAUUGAUUUGAGACUUCCUUCAUUAUUGUUUCUAAUUACAAUGCUAACGAUCCAGAUAAAAUAAUAUUUAAUCGGCGAAGGUGUCCCUUGGAAGUACAUCCUUCUUUUUCUUUUAUUAUAUAAAUUCUUGCAAUGAGCUUAGUCAAGAUGUUGUGCUAAUCAUGCCACUGCAUAUAAAUUCUCCAGAAGUUAAAAUCAAUAAAUUUUCUAUUAGCUCUAGUGCUUUGACCUAAAUGCUAUUCUAUAUUCUGAUUACAAUGUUUUAACCUUUAAAUUAACUACCCCUAGGUGUUGGAUUUUCUAGAACUUCAAAAUGAUUAAUGGAGAAAGAUCCCAUUAUCGUUAUUGCUAUAAGAAAUUGAUUUAUGCAUCCAAAGAUACAUUAUAUAUUUCUGUGUCUCUAUUUAUAGAUGACAUUUAAGCAUCCAUAAACCGUCAGACAGAGGAAGGGGGUUCAGUGCAAAGAUUCUGUUGACCUAGGGUUGACUGCAUAAUGUCACUUGUUCGCAAUCUAUUAUUUAUUUUAUAUUUUGAAGAAUUUAAUGGGUAAUCCUAAUUGUUUGUUUUGGCAGGUAUGUGUUGUUUUCUCCUUCUAUCUAACAGUCGUACCUAAAUAGCAUAGUUUCAUCUGUGUUACCAUGUGAUGUACAUAAUUUCACAUUUGCCUCAGAUUAAGCUUAAUUUCCCACAGAAUAGAGCUGUCGCGACUGGACUUAGGUUGAUGUCCAAAGAGGUAAAUUAUUGGCAUGCCUAGAUAAUUUGGCCAUUUCCUAAUUCAUAAGUCUACAUUAAUUUUGAUUUUGAGUUGACUGAUUUCUUUUCAAGGUCUGCUUCCUUAACGGAGUGACCAAUGUUUUUCAACUAAAUUUAUCAUAUGAUGCAGGAAGCAGGGCAGGAUAUGAAAUGAGAAGCUCAUUGGUGGAAGUAUUGCCAGUAACAGAACCCAAAGAAAAUGAAACUAUUUCAAGGCAGCAGUUGGCAGUUGCAAGUGAAUGGAGGCCCUGACAAAAUUCUCAAGCGGUUGCAAUGCAAUUACGAUCAUCCUCAGCCUCAGGUAAUUUCUUCUCCUGCUCUGUUUUUAUUUGUUAUCUAAUUAAAAAGCAUAAAGUAUCUUGAAUCACUUUCUCUAUCUGGAAUAUAUGCAGCAGUUUCUAAAAUCUUCAUAUGAGUGUAAUGAUGGUAAUUUCUGUUUUUUGUCUGUCAUUGAAUGUUAGACAACUUUCAGUGAGACUCUUGAACCGAGACAUUUUUGACAACUGAAGGACAAUUGCUGAAGAGUCGGAAUGGUGCUAGAUUGGGGAAUAAAGACAAAGGAGGUAAAUUAUUUGCAGUUUAUUCAGCAUUAUUUGCUUUGGACCAGCGCCUGAUUCACAAGUCUCCAUAAUUUGGCUUUUGACCAGUUAAUAAAUUUUUAAUUCCAUUGGUGCUAAAUGUACACGUGAAGCAGGCAGAGCAGGACUGUGGAAAUGAGAAGGUUUUUAGUGAAAGCUUAAACUCAGGUAAUUCUAAAAAGUACAUGUUUUUGCUGAUUUAUCUAAAUCAGGAAAUUUUAUUUCCAUCUGUUACAAGAUAAAACAGAAACAGAACACAAAGAAAAAUAUUCUACUUCUUGUGGCAAUCUUGCCUUCAUUCAGACAAUGAAACCAUUUCCUUUCACCAAUUUCUUCCAAAAGUUUGAAUAAGUUUCAUGGGUGGACCUAGUUAGCUUCUUUUUCUUUUGGUGCAUUUAGGUCCUAUCAAGUGACAGCCAUAAGUAUGAUUGCAUUAUUGGGAAAUUUUAGGUUUGGAUGGCUCCCCAUGUUAUUGCCAAGAAAGUCCUCAUGUCAGAAGCUGCGGUUCUUUUCAUCAGCCUGAACCCGAACCUGUCGUUAUGGAUAACUCAGGUUUUUGUCAUCAACUAUAUCAUCUUUUUUACUGUUUUGAAACUCUUAAGAUUAAACUUCAGUAAAGUUGUUUCAGUUAUCCAUGUAAUCAGGCUAAGGAUAUUUAGCAGCUUAUUUAGGCAACUGCCAGAAUUCAGUUUGUUAGCUCGAAACUUGUAUGGUGACAAGGAUACUGGCAAGGAUAGUGAGAUAGUUUUUUGUGUGAGUGAAAUUUGAAAGCUUGGGUGUUCUGGGAUUUGCAAUUGCAAUCAUCCUCUGAGUCAGGUGAUUUCUUCACCUGCUCUGUCUUGAUUUUCUCUCUAAUUGAAAGCAUAAAGUAUUUCAAUCAAAUUCUGUACCAGGAAUACGUAAAAGUUACUAAUAUUUUAUUUCCAUCUGUUUGCAUUGAUAACUCGGCGGCAUAUGUUCUAGUUAAAGAACAAACAGAAACAGAGUUCAGGAAAAAGUUUCUUCGGCCACCAUAUUUGAAAAUGAAACCAUUUCCAGGAAGCAGUUGGCAGCAAAUUCAUAUGGAGUGUAGACAAUGAUGAGCAAAAAGGUGAUUCGCAAUUUCUUUUUUUUUUUAAGUGAAAUUAUUUGUUAGAUUGAAGCUGAUAUUGUAAGAAGGCCAUUGAGCUAACCUAUGUCGCCACUUGCCUAGAUUGCAGGGGGUCAAGACUCAAAAGAAGCACUGAAAUUUAAAAAGCAUGCAAUAGUUCUUUUGCCAUGUGUCAAUUAAUGCAAGUUUGAAUAAGUUUAUUGGCUGAACGAUGUUAGCUUCUUUUCCUUUCGUGCACUUUGGUAUGCUAUCAAGUGACAGCCGUAUGUAUGGCUUGCAUAUAGCUGCUGCUGGGAAAAUUGACGAUUUCAUGGCUGGCCGUGUUAUUGUCUUAAAUUAGUUGUGAUAAGCUGUUGCUUGGAGAUUCUGUUGCCAAGAAUUUGCUCACAUCAGAAGCUGUGGAAUCUGAACCCUUCGAUUCUGUUGCCAAGAAUUUGCUCACAUCAGAAGCUGUGGAAUCUGAACCCUUCGUUAUGUAUCAUCUUUUUCAUUGUUUUAAAACAGUAAACUCUCAGGACACUGAGCAGGCAAAUGUUAUAACUCGGUUUGUUAGCCAAAAACUUGUUGAAGAUUCUUGACAAAGCUGCGUCGAGUGAAUUGUCGGAGCUCUGAGGGUGAGAGAAAUUAGAGGGUGUAUAGGGAUUUGGAUUUGUUAGGAAGUUAUCAUUUUUAUUUGUCCGAUUCAAAACUUGAUAUUCCAAUUAUAUUCAUAAGCUUCUACAGUUAUCUUCAAAAAGACAUUCCAAUUAUAUUCAUAAGCUUCUACAGUUAUCUUCAAAAAGACAAAUGGAAGGCUUUGAACGGCUUGGGUCUGAGUAUUGUAGUUUGAUUUAUUUUGAUGAAAGAACCUUUUGACAUUAAGAUUCUUUCAUGAGUUAAACAUUCUUUUUAAAACCAACUUAUUAAAAAAAAAGUAACGAACAUAUAUUAUUUUGUUAGUGCUUUUUAAAUCAAAUAUAAAAAAGAGAACUGUAAUUCUUAGCAACCAAUUUUUCAUUGAGUACACCUACAACAAAUUAUUAAAAAAUAAAGCGAUAGAAAAUGCCUGAUUUUUCGUACUUUCUAAUUACUUUUGGUCCUAAAAUAUGGCGAUUUGUGUAAUAAUAAGCCCAUGUAUAUCUUUAUGCCAUUAGUUUGAUAAAUAACUAUCAAGGAUAACUUAUUAAGCUAAAAAUAUUUGAAGGAUAAAAUGGGAAAACUAAAAGGGUGGAGUAAUAAAGUUAUUUAAGAUUACAUAGUAAGUUAACUAUAUUCGAGGGAUAAAAUAUUAAAACUUGAAUAGUUAUAUUAAAAAUAUCUCGGCUAUUAUACUAUUAAACCAUAUGCCGUAAUAAUGUUUUUUUUCAAACUUUAAAAAAUUCAGGAUUUUAAAUUAAAACAUGGAUUUCUUUAAGAUGCUAUAUGUGUUUUUACAGUAUUGAUAGUGGGAUUAGUGUGUACCCUUAUAUGAAAGAGUUUUAAUCUGAAUCAUUCAUUUAAUAUAAUAGAUAAUUAAAUAAUUAAUUAAAAUAUAGCAGGUAACUUAUAGGUUGCAGGUAAAAAAUUAAUUUUUUAAUUUUAAAUUAAAAUUAAUUUGGAACAAAACCAUCCACACCCCUAAGGUUUACUUAAAUGAUCAUAUAAAUCCCUUUAGUUUCUACAUAGUUAUACAGACCCUCUUAAUUUCAUAAAUUAUUAUUAUACUUUUAAUUAAAACAACCUAAAUGAAUAUAAAUAUAGUAAUAGGAUAGAAAUAAUAAAUAAAUAUCAGAUGAAACAAAUAAAAUAUUACAAUAAAUACAAUUAAUUAAAUAACAUGUAUGAUGAAAAUUUUAUUCAUAUUAAGUUAUUAUUAGUCUAUCCCGAUGGAUUUACUCAAAUCAAUUAAUCCAAAAUUUAAUUUUAAGAUUGAUAUUAAUAUGGACAUAAUUAAAUAAGAUGUUGUAAUAUAUACUACUUUGAAUGUUAAGUAUAAUUAUCUAAUAUUAUUAGUAUGUGAAAUAGAUUUUAAUAUUAUUAAAGAAUAUGACAAUAUAUAAUUUUGAAUUAAAUUUUUUAGUAUUCAUGAUAUUUUAUAAAUUUUAUGUGAUUUUAUAUAUUAUAUUUUUUAAUUUUAAUGUAUUAUAUAUGAUCAUUUAAGCAAAUUUUGGAGGUGCGGUGGUCUUUUCCCUAUUAAUUUUGUAGCAUAUUUAAAGUGUUAUAUCAUACAUGAUACAUCACACUUUUGUUAAAGUGUUAUGUUAUUAAAAAUUAAACUUUGCAUUUAUAAUAUACUACCAUUUUAAUGUAAAGGUAAUAGAAAAUAUGAAGAUAUUUUUAAGUAGUCAAUUGUAGCUUUCUUUUACAAAAUAGCAGUAUAGAAAUACAAUUGGUAAAAUGUAAUAAAAAUGGUAUGGAAAAAAGUUAGUAGAGGCAAUUAUUCUUGUAGUUGCUAAAACAUAUGAAGUGACACACACACACACACACAUAUCAAGUACUUGUAUGUUCCCCUAACUUUUAUUAAUGGGAAGGAAAUUAAAUUCGUAAUUUUCCCGGUGAAUUAUGAAUUGAUAAAUGAAAUAUAAAUAUUAGUAAAAAUUAAUUUGUCGACUAAAGAAGUAAACCAUAUUUUAUGGGCAUUUAAUACAUUAAUUUAAGGUCAAAUGAGAUAAUAUCACAUGAUAUUUGAUACAAGAGUCCAAUUUUCAACAUUUGCAUAUAGUUUCUAAGCUAGUAAUCUAAUAAAAUAUACCAAAUGAGAAAUUGAAGGCUAUUAUUUAUAUUUCACCAUUGGACAAACACCAUACAUUAGAAUAAAAAAAUCUCACAGUAGAGACGGCAUCUGUUUGCAUGUUUUGAAAAUAGAUUUUGAAAUUAGUUUAAUUACAUGAUAAUUAAAUUAUAUUAUAAAAUUAAGAAUAUGAUUUAAGUACUAUUUUAGCAAUUUUGAGUCUCACAUUGAGUAUUCAAGUUAAUUAAAUGUUGAAACUCUUUUCUAUUUGGCUUGAAAUCACUACUAAAUAAAAUUACAAAAAGUCAAUAAUGAAUGAUGUAGGACACAUAUGUAAAAUAAAUUUUAAAGUGUAAUUAAACAUUCCUAUCAAUAUUAGUUUUGCAUACAUAUUCAUAUAUUUUACCGAAACCAUAUAUAAUUAAAUUUUGUGUAAUUAAGUAAAAUAUAUUAUUCAAGUGAAUUUAUGAGAAUAUUUAAAAUUGUAGGGGUCGUCACUGAAAUUUGCCAAACUUGAGCCAACCGUGCAUGAUCCAAACAGUUUAUUUUAAUAAUUCUCAAUAUGUUAGUCUGUUUGACUGUUGGCAAAAUAAAUUCCUAUCAGCAAUGCAACACAAUUCAAAAUCAUAUCUGCAUACAACGAACAAUAUCUCAUGAAAGAUCAAAUUAUACAUUUUUUACACCAAACCAUAAAUAUCUAAAUUGUCCCUCUUCAACUCACCAAGCUCAUACCUAACAACAGCAAGAUUAAAUGUCAUUUGAUCCAUCUUUUUUAUUAAGCUUUAUCAAUUCUUCUCAUGGUUGCAAUUUUGAAAGCUCGCUUCGCUAUUUCCAUUUGCUUUUAUGCUUUGUUUGAGCUCCAUCUUUUCUCUCCAUCUACAUUUUACACUGUAAAAAAAAUUUUAAAAAAAUUACAAAGCUUCUUAUGCUAGAAUAUGAGCAACAAUAUAAAUAAUAAACAAUAAAGUUAUGAUAGCACAGCAUGCUCAUUAAAGUGCUUCUUUUUUUUUUUUUUCAACAAGAAAUUACUACUGAAUUAAAGAUUUGGCUUUGCAUUAAGGUUUGCCUUCAAUAACUCAACUCCCCACUUGGGUUUUGUCGUUUUCUUAAAAUCUCUGCUCAAUCAAUUUAAAGAUCCUUUUUUUUUUCUUUCCAAAGAUCUAAAAGCAAUGUCUUUUAUUGGUACCCAACAAAAAUGCAAGGUCUGUGAGAAGACAGUUUGUCCAGUUGAGCAGUUAUCUACUGAUGGGGUUGUUUAUCACAAGUCUUGCUUCAAGUGCUCUCACUGCACUGCAAAGGCACACUCAAGCUAAGCAAUUACUCAUCCCUGGAAGGUGUUCUUUACUGUAAGCCUCACUUUGAGCAGCUUUUGAAGGAGUCGAGUAACUUCAACAAGAAUUUCCAAUUACCUGCAAAGUCAGCUGAGAAGUUAACUCCUGAGCUGAAAAGGUCGCCUAGCAAAGUUGACAGCAUGUUCUCUGGGCCCAAUAAAAAUGUGCUUCUUGCAGUAAAACAGUGUGUCCGUGGGAGAAGGUAGCAGCGGAAAACCAAGCCUCUCACAAGACAUGUUUCAAGUGCUCACAUGGUGGUAAUUCCAUUAGCCCGUCAAAUUACGCAGCCCUAGAAGGCAUCUUGUAUUGCAAACAUAAUUUCUCCCAAUUGUUCAAGGAAAAAGGCAGCUACAACCACCUUCUAUCAAAUCUGCUUCCAUGAAGCGUGCUGCAGUCUCUGUUCAAGAAGCUUGAACAUGUUAUGUUAUCUUCCAUAAAUCUUAUUUGGCGUGGGUUUUCUCUGGCUUGAGGGUGUGCUUUCUAUUUUGAUCCCUCUUGUUGUUUUUGCGGGGAACUACCAAACCUUCGGUUCCCUCUGCUUCUUUGGAUCAUCUUUGUUGGGACAAAUUUCAUGUAAUUAGAGAUACUGAUUUAUGGGAGGCAUAAUCCCAUGGUUGUAAAUUGACCAUUUUCUGGCAAUGUUCUUUUUAAAAAGAGAUGAGCAGUUGUUUAACAAAAAAAAUAGCUGGCCUUCAUCAUGGUAUGUUACCAAACUGCUAUGUAUAGCUGCUAACUAUGAGCAUCCGAAAAUAUGGUGCAUCGUGAUUCAUGUCGUGCAAUAUGGCUACCAACGCAUCCUAAAUGGAGUAUUACUCAGUUAGUCAGCAAAAUAAGACAACAGUAAGAUAUUAAAAAAAUAAAAACUACAUUAAUAAGUGGGCAAGAUCAUGCCAGUUUAACUUUUCGCGCGUCGCUGCUGGAGAUAAUCAAAUCGGGGCAGAGAAAAGGAGAAUGGAAUCAGAGGCUAAGAUUAAUAAGUGGGCUUCUGCUUGCUUUGCCCCUCUUUCUUAAACGAUUGGUAGACUGCUGCUUCCACCGAUUAACCGGGUCUUCAACCACUGCUUUUAUUGCCUGCCAUCUUGUUGUUUGUCGAAGGGAUGAAUUCGAGUCGAAAAGAGAAAGCGCGCUGAAAAAGACAAAUCACUAGUGGUUAACUACUGACUCAGCCAAGUGUUGGCUUCACUUGAUUCACCGAUUGAGGUUAUUUUGUCUUCUAUCUAAUGCAGCGAAGAAGCUUUACUGCUUAACAUGCUGCAAUGCAACUUUAUCUUUUGAAGUUCACACUUCAGGGCUGCGCACUUUAUGUAAUCCUAUGAGUAAAAAGAAUUUAUUUUCAAAUGUGAAAAAAGAAAAUGUAAGGUAGUAACUAAAUAUAUUAUAGCAUCAAAGUAAGAUUUGAUAUGAAUUUAGUACAACAAAGAACAUUAAAUCUGUGAUUCCUUGUCUAAUGUCACCAUCGAGCAACAAAUUUAAAAGCCUACCUAUCAAAUACACGAGGCAAUAAACGGAGAAAAAGUUGAAUUACAAGAACAAGUUUACAAUUCUUGUCAAUGGUUAAUGAUUCGUGAAUUGAGAUAGCAUUCAAGAAUCCAAUUUCAAUACAACAACGUAAAAGAUAAACAGAUGAUGAAUUUUAUGAGAUAAAGAAGGAGAUUGUGUUUUAUCGUAUCUCUAUUUUCUUUCCAUUUAAAUUUAAAAUAAGCUUUUCAACCGGUUAUAAUAUUUUUUGAAAUAAUUAAAUAUUUUUAUUAUUAAAAAUAAUGUGUACCGUUGAUUACAUCUAACGCUACAUAUUUCUUACACUAUUAAUACCGUAAAAAAAAUCAUAGAGGGACCCUUAAAACAUUUUCAUUUGAAAUUAUUUGGUGAAGUGAAAAAGUUAAGAAAGAAAUAGUUGUCCCUUUGGUCAUUUCACAAAAAUGAAAGCCCCAUAUAACAUGGACUUGAAUGGAAGCCCAAUUGUUGUGUUUGAUUUCAAGCUUUAUCGGACCUUUGGACCUGGAUACUUUACUGCGGCCUCUAAGCGCUACAAAUUUUUUUUUUGGGAUAAAAGGCGCUUCAAUGAAAAAGCACUUUAAAACUUUGGAUUUUGCCAAAACUUCAAAGCGGUUGGUCCAGUUACGGUGUUAUGCUAACGGGUUUAAAGGUUCCGAUCCAAUGAGUUAGGGUGGAAUAUGAAUAUAUAAAUCCUAGUCAUGUAAGGACUAGGAUUUGUUUGUUCAUAUCAAGAAAAAAAAUCUGAAAAUUUGAUGAUCAGAAGAUAAAAACACUUAAACACGUUUAUUACAGAGAAACAAACGACAACAUGAUGCUAGUAGUAAUUUUAUUUUUCUUUUAUUGUGUAACGUGGACCAAAAAAAAGGAAAUGAAUUUAAUAAAACCGUCAUUCCGCAAUAAUAAUGUACCAGCCUGGUUUUUAUAAUCCAUACCAUCCUGAUAUAAUUAAACACCAUUAAUAAUGUACCAGCCUUUAAAUAGUAAUUAAUUUAUUUAUCUAAUUCACCAAAUGUCAUUUCCGGUACAUAUCUCCUGGUAUCAAGAAGAGGCAGAACCCAAAGAAACGUUUCUUGUAUCUUCAUAUUUGUGCGAAUUCAUCCUUUCAUUGAGAAUAACCAUUUCCAGGCGGCAGUUGGCAAUCAAUUCAUGCGCAAGUCGAUGCUAUUCAUAGAUAUUAAAGACAAUGAUGAACCAAAGGUGAUAAAUCAUAAAUGCAUAAUUACCAAACCUCCAUCCUUCUCUCAUUAUGAUUUGAUUUUAAAUGAAUUAUUGCUUGGUAACAUUAUUUCCAACCAUUGCAAGAUUAUUAUUAUUUUUUUUUGGGGAGAAAUUUCAAUUGAAAGUGAAACCUUUAGACAUUUACCUAAUGAAGUUAGUUAAUGGGGAGGGUUGGAAAAAUUCCCAAGCCGUUGCACAGCAAUUACGAUCAUCCUCGGCCUCAGGUAAUUUCUUCUCCUGCAUUUUUGUUAUUUGCUAUCAAGUGACAUUCGUAAGUAUGAUUGUAUUAAGCUGCUGCUGGGAAAUAUAAGGUUUUGAUGGCUGCCCAUGCUAUUGUCAGAAGCUGCGGUUCUUUUCAUCAGCCUGAACCUGGACCUGUCGCCAUGGAUAACUGAGGUUUUUUUUUUUUUAAAUCAACUACGUCAUCUUUUCCACUGUUUUGAAACUCUUAAGAUUAAACUUUAGUAAAGUUGUUUUAGUUAUCCAUGUAAUCAGGCUGAGGAUACUUAGCUGCCUAUUUAGGCAAAUGUCAGACUUUAGUUUGUUCGCUGGGAACUGGUGUGGUGACAGCGUCCUGGCAAAGGAUGAUGAGAUAGUUUUUUGAUUGAGUAAAUUUUGGGGGCUUGAGUAUAUUGGGAUUUGCAAUUACAAUUAUCCUCUGCCUCAGGUGAUUUCUUCUCCUGCCCUGUCGUUGUUUGUUCUCUAAUUCAAAAUUAUAAAAUAUUUCAUCAAAUUUUAUGCCGGGAAUAUGCAAAAGUUUCUAAUAUUUUAUUUCCAUCUGUUUGUCUUGAUAACUUUGCAGCAUAUGUACUAGUUAAAGAACAAAUCGAAACAGAGUUCAGUUAAAAGUUUCUUCUGCCGUCAUAUUUGAAAAAUGAACCCAUUUCCAGGAAGCAAUGGGCAGCAAAUUCAUAUAAAGCGUAGACAAUGAUGAGCAAACAGGUGAUUCACAUUAAUGAAAUUAAUUGUUUGGUUGGAGCGGACAUUGUUAGAAGGCUAUUGAGCUAACCUAUGUCACUACUUGCCUAGAUUACAGGGGGUCAAAACUCAAAAGCGGCAUUGAAUUUUAAAAGGCAUCCAAUAAUUCUUGUGGCCAUAUAUCAAUUCAUGUAUGUUUGAAUGUAAUUAUUGGUGAAGGGGUUUCACUUCCCGUCUCUAAAUAAAAAUACUGAUUCUUUAAGGUACCUGCCACUAGGGAUUGCGAGAUUAAUGAGUCUUUGGACAUUGGAAGAGCUCCUUGUGAGUGGAGGAGGAGGUGUUGAUGGUAGCAAAGCAUGUGGGCAGUGGGCUUGAAUCUCUAAAAAACUUGGAACUCCUCCAAGCGUAAGUAUACGUAUACUGGGAAAUUUGUUAGAUGUGGAUGAGGCUAAGAGAUUAGAGCUUGACAAAAUGAAAUACCUCUUUCAUUGAGACUUAAAUUUGAUGGGGAAGAAGAAAAAGAAGAGGGAAGGAGGAAGAAUGAGGAUAAUCAACUUGUUCUUGAAGCCUUGCAACCACCUCUGAAUUUGAAGGAAUUAGAGAUUUGGUCAUACAGAGGCAACAUUGUUUCCCCCCGGAUGAUGCAAAAAUUGAAGGAAUUUACCAAUCUAAGGAGUUUGACACUCUUUAAAACUGCAAAAAUUGAGAGCAGUUGCCUCCUUUGGGAAAAUUGUGAUCCUUUGAAAAUCUCAGCAUAUUGUACAUGGAGAGUGUGAAAACAGUGGGUAAUGAAUUUCUGGGAAUAGAAAGUCAUCUUCAUGACUCAUCUCCAUCUUUAUCAGUUAUUAUUGCCUUCCCCAAAUUGAAAUCACUUUCAGUUGAGGGAUUGAUGGAAUUGGAGGAGUGGGAUUAUGGGAUUAAAAGAACAGGAAACACCUUCACCAACAUUAUGCCACGUCUUUCUUCCUUGGAAAUUAGUGUGGGGUUAUGGGAUCGCACAACCACGUUGAAGGUAUUGCAGAUUGUGGCAUGUGGUACUCUAAGAAGACGUUGCAGACAGGGGAGAGCAGAAGACUGGCCUAAGUUCUCUCACAUUCUAGACAUCAUGAUUGUGUGAAAAGAGGCCCUUGACAAAAUUCUCUAGGCGGCUACAUGGAGUACAAUCAUAAAAUGCUAAUGUGGCCACCCUGGUUCUUAAUUAAGGUUGUGAAAUAUUAUUGUAAAAGAUGAUUAAUUCAAUUUGAGUCAUUCGUUUGCUUUGAUAAUGAUAGUAAUUUUAUAUUUUGACAAUUUGCAAGGUGAGAAUGGUGCUGAUUGGUGAUACAGGAUACGGUUCAAACACCAUUGAAUAAAGCUACGGACAUGGUGGCUCAACUUAGCUAUUGCUGUCAAAAUUGGUAAGUUGGCUUGUCAAUGUAUUGAUGCUUUUGUUUUCUCUCAACCCUAAUUACCUUACCUUCAUUUAGUUUGGCUUUGGAGUUGAGUAAUAACUUUCAAGGUUCUCAAACAGAGCAGGACAACCGAAAAAAAAAGCUUAAUUUGCUACUGAUCACGUGUUACCAAUUAUUAAGGUAAUUCUCGUUUACUUGCUUCUACACUAUAGAGUACGUGUUCUGGCUGGUUUAUCUAAUUCAUCAAAUGUUAUUUCCUUAUUGUUCCAUUGAUAUAUUUGUUAGAAAGUGAAACCAUUUCCAGGCAGCAGUUGGCAGUGAAUUCAUGCAAAUGUUGAUGCCAUUCAUAGAUAUUGAAGACAAUGAUGAGCCAAAGGUGAUAAAUCAUUAAUGCAUAGUUACCAAAACCUCCAUCCUUCUCUCAUUGUAAUUUGAUUUGAAAUGAAUAAUUUCUAGGUAAUUGAAGCCAAUAUUGUUAGAAACGGUGUUGAGCUACCCAAGCUAAGAAGUUGGCUGCCAAAAAAUGCAGGGGAUCAAAAGAAGCAUUGCAUUUGAAAAGGAAUGAGAUUCUGGUUGCUACAUGUCAAUUCGUAGAAGUUUCAAUAAAUUUAAUGGUUCAAGAUUUUAGUUUCUGUUUAAAUUUGUGCUACUGCAGUGCUGCAGUGCUGCUACUGGGAAAUUUAAAUCCCAUAUUAGACUUUCCUCACAUAAGAAGCUGUGGAUCUUCGGACAUCAGGUUUUUUCACAGUUCUGAAACUCUCAGGAUUAAACUCUAUUAAAGUUGUUGUAGUUGUCUACGUUCUCAGGUCAAGGAUUCUAAGCUGCCGAUUAAGGCAAAAUGUCAGAAUUCCCCUAUUAUUUUUUUUUUCAUGUAAAAUUAUGUUGUUGUCUUCGCCCAUGAAUCUUAGCUAAAUUCUGAACCAAUUGUUUGCUAUUAUAAAUUUCAUUGUUAAAUAUUAAUUGUGAUGUUGGUGUUGAGUUUCUUUUAAAGUCAGAGAAGCCUGACGAUUGAGUUCCAUGGGAUUCUGAGAAGCAGUAAUAUUUUGAACAAGUGAAGGUUCUUCGUUUUUACAGUAUGUGCAGAUGUCUAAGAGGCAGGAUUUUUAUUUCUGUAAUGCUAAAUUUCGCAAAACAAUAAAAAUAAAUAAAUGCAUGACAGUGACUUCAAGAAUUUAGAUUAUUGAAUUUGGUCAUUUUAAAAUUGUUGGAAUGUUGAACUUAAGUAAUUUUUAUAAACCAGAGCUCAGAAAUGUAGAAUAUAAAUAUUGGAGAUUUGGACUUCAAUCAUUAGACUUGAAGCUAAAGAGGUAAGCCAUUAAUUAUAUCAAAGGAUUUGGAAAAUGGAGGGAUUGGAAAAAGGAAACAUUUUCAUAAACUUCAAGAGGAACGUCACAGAAAGGGGUAAAGAGAAGAGUAGCCUAAGAUAUUAAAGACAAUGUUGAGCCAAAGGAAACAUAAAUCCCAACCAUUGCAUGUGAACAUGAUCACAAUAAGGUCAAAAACCAUUUUUUUGAGAAUUUUCAAUUGAAAGUGAAACCUUUUGACAUUUACCUAGUAAAGUUAGUUAAACGAGAGAAAUAAAGGGGAAAAGAAAAGUUGACUCAAGUCAAUACAGAAUAAUUAGUUCAAUCUGGAGUAACUAAAACAGAGCCACUAUAUUUUCAAAAAUAUCUGCAUUCAUCACCUUCUCCUCCAGCUAGUGAGCUACACACGAAUCCUUUCCUUUUAGCAUUUUUGCAGCAUCAAUUUCUCCCCUCGUUUGUCAUCAAUUUCUCCCUUCGUUUCACCAAUACCAUGGCUGAUGCAAUCGUUUCCCCUCUCUUGGAGCAGCUGAUUAUCUUUGCUGCUGAAGAGUUGAAACAACAGGGGAAGCUGGUGAGUGUUGGAUGAGUGGAUCACAGCAUGCGCCAAAUCGCAAAAUAGAUCAAUGCUCUUGGUGCUCCUUAUCUGAAGAAGAAGGUGCAAAUUGGGAGCUGCAUUUCACUGUCAUAACAUUUAUUGUAAUUUCAUUUGGAGAUAUGUAAUAUCUGUUGUCCAGAUACAUAUCAUACACCAGUUGCUAUGUAAUUUCGUUUAGGUUCAUUUUUGUUUCUUAAGAGUUUGUAAAAAGAAUGGAAAGAUUUUAAAAUAUAAAUUUCAUAUCUGUUUAUUACUGUUGUUUGGUCUAAUUUCUUAUGUAGAAUUUUCAGAAUCUGUAGGACAUUAGUUUAUAAUUUUGAGAUUUUGCAGCCAUAAAAAAAAUUUUUUUUUUUUGCCAUUUUAUUUUGCUCCUUUAUCUAUGUGCAUGUUGACUGGCUGCAGUGAGUGAAAAUUUACCUAUAUAUGCUGGCUAUUCUUGGACAAUAUUAGAGAAAAUAAUCAUAUUAUUUCGCGUGAUGUGAACUUCCAUAACUUAUCAAUUGAAUUGCUGUAAAAUAUUAAAUAGUUUUAUUUUUCUUUUAUCGUGUAACUUGGACCAAAAAAGGAAAUGAGUUUAACACGACCCUCAAUAUAACCUCCAUUUCAGCACAAUACAUGUUAAUUGUUCCCCAAGGACUUCUCCUGUUUCCCAUUCCCACCUCCAUGCUCUCGAGAGGAAUUUAGCACCCAUCAAUUUUUAUUUUUGAAAACUCGUAAUGGUCUGAUAAAAUUAAACAACAUCAAUAAUGUUACCAGUCUUUAAAUAGUAAUUAAUUUAUUUAAUUUGCCACCUAAAAGAAUCCUGCUGGAAAUAGAGGUUAAAAAUUUUAUUAGAUCUGCUUACCUUUGUUCAUUCAGCAAAAACACUUACAAUUCACAGCUAGAGAAUCUAUCCAUUGACAAUUGUGGAUUAAAAUUAUAACACCUGAAUUCAAACAUAUCCUUAUGAAGUUAUGAAUUUGUUCAUACUUCAAAUGAUUUUUUUUUCCAAGCUAAUAAAGCAACCACUUUGAUCAAACGACGACGUUGAAGGAAUUACGUAUUUUCAAUGUCCUUUUCCAGACAGAUGUUGGAGAGAGGGAAAGGAGAAGACUGGCCUAAUUAAGAUAUCUCACAAAGAUUAUUGAGUUAAAAUGUUAUUGUAAAAGAUGUUUAAUACAAUAAUAGUAAUUCUUUUGCAUUGUUAUAAUGAGGCUGGUGGGUUUCCUCAGAGGAUGGAUAUGGCUCGCUAGCAUGCAUUUGGGAAGAUGCUAAUUAUCGGCCAUAAAAAGUCAGGGGGUUGUGGCUCUUCCGUCGCCCAGAAAUUCCUAAACUCAUAUAUCAAACUUCAGAUGAACUUGGGCAUUAUGUAAAUAUGUAUUUUUGAGAAUUAAACUAGUGCGUUCGAAAAAUUUUGAGCCAUUGUAAUCAUUUUAUUUUGCUAAGAGAAAAUUUUACUUUGUUUCGCUUUGCCUUUUGUUUUUUCUGUGAUAAUAUGAUUCAUACGAAUGUGAUUACACACUAUCAUGCAUCUAUUUUCAUUUGCUUGUCAUGAAUGGUCAACAUGCUCGAAAUAUUUACUUAGGUUGGAAAUAUUUGAAUCCACUAAAAUACUAUACAAACCCAUUUUAAAAUUAAAAAAAUGAUUAUCAUAAUACUCGUGAAGAUAACACGAUAUCAUACAUAAAAUAAAAUAUUUCGCAAAAAAGAUAAGAUACAAAUCUUGAGUAAAUAGGUACAAAAAAUAUUUUAGUGGGUUAAGUAGCACUAAUGCCCCCUUAUCAAAAAAUAAAUAAAAAUAACUAGUCUGAUUGGGUAUACCGUUUAUAUAUAUGUACAUAUUCUUGAUAAUGUGUAAUGUACAUUAUAGACAAAGAUUUUGAAAGCAAUAUUUUUUAAAAAGUCGAGAGAAUAGGAAAAGUCUAAAUCAAUUUUCUAAUCUCUACCUCCUUUAUGAUUUAAACUUUAGUGUUUAGUGUCGCGAGCCACUCAAAUUUUCUAAUCAAAGAGACUAAAUUGCACGAAAUUGUGCUAGCUUAUUUGAUUCUAGAAAUUUCUACUACACUGUAACACACUCUCACGUAGGGAUGGCAAUGGGGAGGGGAGGGGAGGGGACCAAUCUCCCCAUAUCCAUCCCCGAUAUUUUACAUAUGUCCCCGUCCCCGUCAGAAUUGCUUGAGAGAAUCCCCAUCCCCUCCUCGAAUAAUAACAGGGGAUCCCCGAGGGUCCCCGGUCCCCGAAUAACUAAUAAUCUAAUACAUUUUUUUAUUUUCGAUUUUAAAUUAAUCAUAUUAAAAUAAACUCAUACCGCUAUUGUAAGCUCGUAACCAAUUUUGACAGCACAUUAAGGCCUCCAAUGUGCUUGGAUGAAGUCUGUUAUGGUAUGGGCUCACAACUCUACCACUAGUGUUAAAAGCUGAUUCAGAAGCAACUGUUGUAAUUGGAAUUGCCAAAAUAUCUCUAGCAAUUCGAGCUAAUGUAGGAUACCUAUUAGCAUUUGUCUUCCACCAACUCAAAAUAUUAAAAUCUUCCAUCCGAGGUAUAACUUUCUCAUCCAAAUAUGAAUCUAAUUCAUCUGCAACAACUGCACAAUCUCCAUUGUUUACAUAAUCAUCAAAACCUAUCAUCCAUUUGGUUGCUUUCUUAUAAGAAUCCCCUGUAGAUCUAGUAGAAGAACUACUACCAGUAUAAUCAAAGCAAUAAACAGUUGGUGAAAACUUCAAUUAAUACUCUUCAACUAAUUCCCGGCAAAGGAUGACCACUUUCCCAACAUACAACUAUUUUGAUAUUUAUUAUUUUUAACAAUAUUUAUAAUUUUGUUAUUUAUUUAUUAGUAAUUUUAAAAAUAAAAAUAAAAUUAAAAAUUAAAAUGGGGAAAUGGGUAGGGGAUGGGGAUUCCACCUCAUCCCCGUCCCCUCCCCGAAUAAAAAAUUGGGUAAAAAAUUUUCCCCGUCCCCUCCCCGAAAAAAAAAUUGGGUAUAAAAUUAUCCCCGUACCCUCCCCGAAUGGGGAAAAUCCCCGAGGGUAUCCGUCCCCGUGGGGAUUUUUGCCAUCCCUACUCUCACGCUUGUACAUACCUCGAAAUUCUCUAGAAUUUACUAGAGUAGUGUUGCAUGUAGCUUGUACAUAGGUUUUUCUGGAACACUCCAGGCAUUACUAAGCAUGAGAGCCUUGAGAACUCUCUAGCCAUAAAACAUUCUAGGGUAAGCCUACCCUAAAAAUAGGGCAUGAUGCUUGCCACUUGAGCAUACAACAAGUAAGAACAAAUCAAGCAUACUUGUGAGCUCUCAAACUCUCUUAUACACACUUUUAUGAAUAAUAUAUUCUCUCUUUGGCUAUAUUGCUCUCUCUUCUCUCUAGUUUUUUUCGCAAGCAUCAAACCUUAGUUAGUCGAAAAAUUCAAGGCUUACUUUAUAGCUAUCUCGUAAAAGUUGUUUAAGUACCAUAGAGAUUUGCUGUGCAAAAUACUCAUCACAUGACAUUAGCUAAAUAAAAUUGUUUGAAAGCCACUUACCCAAACUAUUAAACGAAUAUUGACUUUUGUCUUAAUUUUCUAUCUCCUACGAUAAAUUUUAUAGUUAAAAAUUGAAAAAAAUUAAUAACUAUUAGAUAGAGCAUUCUUUAUUGUUAAAAGAAAUCUAUAUAGAUAGAUAGAUGGUAAUAUAAAAACUUACUUAUUGUAGUAUAAUGUUUUUAGUUUUUUGAAACACAGAUUCUCACUUUUUAAAGAUAAAAUUCAAAGAAAACAAGUUAAAUGUUGUAGAAAAUCUUCCAGCCAUACAAGAAAUUGUGAUGGCUAAAUGCAAACCUAACUAAAGUAUUAGUUGUUUUAUUACAAUCUCCAAAAAGAUGAGCAAUUCCAAAAUCUUUUUUUGUGACAAUAAACACUACACGUCAGUAAUUAUCCAGGUCAAAAGCAAGCUACUCUAUUAAAAAAAAAAAAAACUUGCAGUGAAUUCGAAGAUAAACCAAUUUUACUAGCAAGUUGGAUACAAAAGAGUAGGGCUUCGGCCUCAAUUACUCAGUGUACCAACAACUCAAUCUCGGUGAGUUAAAAUCAACUUCCAUCAGUCUUUUAUUUGUUGAUAGAUCGAUUAAGGUACCAAAAAGAAUAAUUAAAGAUGUAUUAGUUCAAGUUAAUAAAUUCAUAUAUCUUGUGGAUUUUAUUAUUUUGGAAACUGAACCAAUUGCUAAUGAAUGCAAACAAAUUCCUGUUACAUUGGGUCGUCCAUUUUUAACUACUGCUAAUACAUUGAUUAAUUGCUGGAAUGGAGUAAUGAAUUUAUCUUUCGGCAACAUGACAUUGGAACUUGAUGUGUUCAACAUAUGUAAACAACCUCACCACCAGGAAGAUGAUGAUAAUGAGAAUUAGGAGAUUGAUUUCAUCGAGCCAAUCAUUGAGGAACACAUUCAGAAUAAGAAUUUUACAAAUUCUGUGGAAAUUUAUUCUUCUUGUUCUUUUGAAUCGAGUAAAGAAUUAAAUUAUGAUACUGCUAACAUAUAACCUACAAUUGAUUCUAUGCAGGUACAUGCUGACAAUGGCCAAUCAAACUUUAAAGAUACAGAACAACCUGAAGAACCAAACGAAGAGCAAGUACCAGAGCUCAAAUUAAAGCCCUUACUGGAAGAAUUGAAGUAUGUCUAUCUUGGAGAACAACAGAUUUAUCCUGUGGUAAUUUUUUUCCCAACUCACGCUUGAUCAAGAAGGUAAGUUGUUGUCUGUACUAAAAAGGCAUAAAACUGCAUUUGGCUGGACUUUAAAAGACAUAAAAAACAAUAAUUCUUUAAUCUGCACACACCGAAUACACUUAGAGGAAAAUACCAAAACAACCCAUCAACAUCGACAUUAUAUGUGUAAACAUUAAAUACCAAAAUCAACCCCAAAAACUAUAAAUAAAAUAUCAUGAUUAAAAUGAAGUUUUUUUUUAGAUAUUCGUUGUAGUAUCUCUUUAGAUCGCAAACAAGAGAUAAAAUAAAUAAAUAUUUGCUAUGUAAAUAAAAAUAAAUAAUUUUUUUUAACUGAAAAAUAUUCUCAAAAACUAAAUAGUUCAAACUUUUUUUAACAUCAUGUGUUUCUAGGGUUGGGCAUUCAGUUCGGUUUUUACCGAACCGAACAACUAAAUUAAAUCGAAAUUACCUGUUCGGUUCAAUUGAAUAGACAAAAACCGAAGAGUUUAUAUUUUCAUGAACUGAAUGAUUUGUGUUUCAGUUGAGUUCGGUUCGAUUCUGGACCUGAACCGAACCGAACCGAUCCGUGAAUCGUAAACUGCCCACCCUUACGUAGUAGUUUCCGUUAACCGACGUUGUAUUGCUCGUAUAAAAUUGUUCAAAUGUUCAAAUCACAGUCUCCCGCUCUCAGCUCAGUCAGAGUUUCCAGGUCCAGAGACUUCCCGCUGACUGAGAACUUUUUCGUAGCAGGUCUACAAAUAAUGGAGUAGAGCUGAUUUUAUGAUUAAUUUAUUUCCUUUUUCAAUUUCUCUUGAUUGCGAUUUAAUCUGGAAAGUUAAACGUGAAUUGUUUAGUGCGGAUUAAAUGUUCGACGAAUUUCCCACAAGAGUAUUAAGUUCAAGAGAAAAAAAGAAAACAAUUGAGCGUGAGCGUGAGCGAGAAUGGUGUUUGGGCAAGUGGUGAUUGGUCCGCCCGGCUCGGGAAAGACCACUUACUGCAAUGGCAUGUCUCAGUUUCUCAGCCUUGUUGGCAGGUAACUUCGUUUCUUGAUUUCAAGCAGCUUUAUCUUCGAUGACCAAAAAUAUUGAUUUGGGCUUUGCCAUUAAAUGAAUGUAAGAGCAGUAGGGAAUAACUGAGUUAUAGGAUUAGCUUUAAGUGAACAUUGAUGGUAAUGUGAAGGUUGUAUGUGUUCAGUGGCAAGCUGUAUGCCAAUUUGGUCUAUAUGGUUGCUUAGGUAGUAACUUAUUAAUUUUUAGGCAGGAAGGUUGCAGUCAUCAAUUUAGUUCCUGCUAAUGAUAGUUUGCCGCAUCCUUUGUCAUUGAACUUUCUUACAAAUGCUGUGGUUUGUUGUAGUAUAAUUAGUUCAAUUGGAAAUUUCCUUGAUGUUAAUAUAGAAAUGAGUGUGCUGUGAAUAUUGAGGACCUCAUUAGACUAAGUGAUGUGAUGAUGGAGUAUUCACUUGGUCCCAAUGGAGGUUAGUCAGCCUAUUGUUGUUUACUCUUUCUUGCUUUAUCACGCAAUGAUAUUCCUUUGCUUUACAACAAAUUUCAUGAAAUUAACUUCAAUCAAGUGGCAAUGUUCAUACGCUGUUGAGAUUUUAUGGACAAUGAUUUGGUAGAAUUUAUAUGCCGUCUUCUUUCUUUUUGCAGUGAUAUGCUUGUAUUCAAUGAGCUUGUACUUAUUCUAUGGUUUCUAAAGUAGGUGUUUUUAUGAUAAACUAGGUCUUGUGUAUUGUAUGGACUAUCUAGAGAAGAAUAUUGACUGGCUGCAGUCGAAAUUGGAACUACUUUUGAAAGGUAAGUAGAGGCCAUUUUCCUUCAUUCUAAUGCCAAUAAUGCUGUCAUGAGACUCAUAAAAAUUGUUAAAACGUUAAUGUUUUUGGUAUUUUGCAGAUCGUUAUCUUCUGUUUGAUUUUCCUGGCCAAGUUGAAUUAUUUUUUCUUCAUUCCAAUGCCAAGACUGUUAUAAUGAGACUCAUAAAUAAGUUAAAUCUCAGGGUAUUGUUACAUCUUACAUCUAUGAAGGGACUCAAAGAGUUGAGAUGAAUUCAUCUUUGUUAUUUUGAUGCCAGAAUUGUGCAAUUCUCAGUUUGUUCCUUUCACAUGCAGUUGACUGCAGUGCAUCUAGUUGAUGUGCAUCUUUGCAGUGACCCCAGGAAGUAUGUUAGUGCUUUGCUUCUCUCAUUGUCUACGAUGCUACAUCUGGAACUUCCCCAUGUCAAUGUCUUGUCUAAUCGAUCUGAUUGAGAAUCAUGGAAAGCUAGGUGUGGUUUUAAGUGUAGCUCUCCUGCUUGUUUGUUUAGUUUGAAAUAUCAGAUAUUGUCACAAGAUCCUAUUUGCUACAUUUCCUCACCAAUCAAUUAUUUUGGGUCUGUUGCAGCUUUUAAUCUCGAGUACUAUACAGAUGUGCAAGAUUUGUCAUAUUUACAGCAUGCUCUCGGUCAGGACCCUCGUUCUGCUAAGUACAGGUUUGAAUUCUAGCUGAAUCAAUGAUGCAAAUUAUGUCCAUUGUUAUUUCUGCUGUUGUUUCUAUCAUUUUCAAUUGUUACUUCCCCUUUCCAUCUACUACCACACUACAAUACCCACACAAAUGUUGUGAAAUUUGUCAAUGGAAAAAAAACAGUUCCUCUUUUAUUUUGAUCAGACUCAAUGAAUAAGUGGUUAAAAUGUGCCUGUCCUAGAAAUAUAGAUGUGUGGUUUCGUAAAAUUUUCUUGAUCUUAAGAAAGAGUUAUCUCGAAAAGAAGAUAACAUGGAGAAUUCAACAACUAUACAGUCAUAUUGAUGUCUGUCAACUUGGGUCAUAUGGUGUCGUUUGGAUGGAGAUGUUAGGUCCCAGAUGGUAAACUUGUUAUCGAAUUCCAGUCUACUUCAUUCAUGCUUUGAUGACAUAUACGGUGCAGCUUCUUAUCUAAGACCUGCAUAUGUUCAAUCAUCAUUCUGUUCUGUAUUUGGCUGCCAUUCUUUUCAAUGAAUUCAAACCACUUCUGAAUACUUGCAAAUUCAUCCAGUGUUGUCAUUGAGAUGCCAAUAUGAAAGGAAGCCAUAAUUGCCCUUGAUAGUAUGCUUAUUGAUUGCCUCUUGCCUCACUCAGCCUCAUGAAUCUGCUUGUAUGGUGUUCUUGUAAUUUCAUUUGGAGAUUAGUAAUAUCUGUUGUUCAAAUGUAUUUUAUAUACCAGCAGUUAAUAAUUCUGCUUGCAGAAAGCUUACAAAGGAGCUGUGUGAUGUAAUUUUUCAACCUUAGAUAUCCAGGUCAUCAGUUUCUCUUGAAUUCUUUCUUGAAUUUCUUUGAAUUAUUUGUGAAUAAGAUCUUAGUUGGCUGCUUCUCUUCAGGAUAAGGAAAGUGUGGCAAAACUCGUGAAGCUGAUAUAUAAAAGCAAUGGGUACAUCUUUGCUGGCAUGGAUGCCAGUGCAGUUGAAUUCAGCAAGAUUGCCGUUCGCGAUGUUGAUUGGGAUUAUUUCGGAUAUCCUUCUUUUCACCUAUUUUCAAUGUUGUUAUUCUCAUAUUCAUAAAAUUUUUUGGUUAUUUAAUUAUGGUUCAUCAUAUGCAUCUGCAUCUUCUAACUUGUUCGUUUGAGAAACUAAUUUUGCCGUUAGGUAGGCUUCGAGCUUGAUGAGUUGAUUCAUGCUUUUUUCAUAAAUGUACCAAAAUCAUGGAAACUUCUUUUUCCCAGAUAUUGUAUCCACACUUUUUCCAUGUAAUUGGGUCAGACAAGUUUUGCUUAACAAAGAUAUCUACAGUAGCCGAAGUGCAGGAGAAGUACAUUAAGGAUGAUGAUGAUGUUAACUAAAAUGAGACGUGAAGAUAUGUGGUGUGCGAACCGUAAGCCUGCCUCUUAAUUUUGUGCAUGUUUACUUGCUUGUGAUUCACGUUUGUUAAUCUAUUUUGCUCUCUUGCAGGAGUUAUAAAGUUUUCAAUCAAUCAAACAUUUAACUUAAGUCCUUACCUCUUGCUGCAAAGACAAUGGGAAGUCUCAUGAGCUCUAAAAAAACUGAAGAAGAGUGGAAAAUAAUUUUAAAUAGUGAUUUAUGGAAGGUAAAAGAGAUCGAGAAAGGUGUUCUAACCCCUUUGUGGUUGAGUUAUAAUGAUUUGCCGUCCAGAGGAAAAAGAUGUUUCUCGUAUUGUGCUGUCUUUCCAAAAGACUACAAUAUAAAAAAAGACAAAUUAAUUACUUUGUGGAUGGCUCAAGGUUAUCUUAGUGCAGAAGCAGCAGAACAAGAUGAGGAGUUGGAGACUAUAGGUGAAGAGUAUUUUGGCAUCUUAGCUUCUCGCUCUUUCUUUCAAGAGUUUCAGAAACGUUAUGAUAAUCGUAUUAUAGCGUGCAAGAUGCAUGAUAUGGUACAUGAUUUUGCCCAAUUUGUUAGUCAAAAUGAAUGUUUUUCGUUGGAAGUUAAUGGUAGUGAGGAACUAACCGUCACAAACUCUACAAACUCUCUUGAUGAGAAGGUCCGUCAUUUAAUGUUAAUCUUUAGUAAAGGGACUUCAUUACCUGUUUCCACUCGUAGAGUUAAAAGAAUGCGUACCCUCUUAAUUAACGAUAGUAGAUCUGAUCAUUCAUUAUUAAAUGGUGAGAUCCUAGAAGAAUUAUUUAGGGAAUUGACAAGUUUAAGGGCAUUAGAUUUUGGCAAAUCGUAUAACUCAAGUUGGUCUUCGACUGUGGAGAUUCCGAGAACCAUAGAAAAGCUGGUACAUUUAAGAUACCUUAAUUUGUUUUAUCAGGGAAUAAAGAAACUACCGGAGACAUUAUGCGAGUUGUAUAAUCUAGAAAAGUUAGAUAUUAGUUUAUGUUUUAAUCUUAAAGAAUUACCUGAAGGGAUUGGGAAGUUAAUAAACAUGAAGCAUUUACGAAAUAGAGGUACUAGUUCUUUAAGGUACAUGCCAGUAGGGAUUGGGAGAUUAACGGGUCUCAGGACCUUGGAUGAGUUCCACGUGAGUGGAGGAAAGCGUGUAGGCUUGAAUCUCUUAAAAAAUUGGAACACCUUCAAGUAUGUGGUAUACGUAGACUGGGUGAUGUAUCAGAUGUGGGCGAGGCUAAGCGAUUAGAACUUGACAAAAAGAAAUACCUCUUCAGUUUGACCCUUGAGUUUGAUAAGAAGGAGGAAGAAGAAGGAGAAAGGAGGAAGAACGAGGACGAUCAAGUUCUUCUUGAAGCCCUACAACCACCUCUCAAUUUAAAGGAAUUAGAGAUAGAGUACUACCGAGGCAACACUGUUUUCCCCAGCUGGAUGACGUCAUUAACCAACUUAAAGAGUUUAGAUCUCUCUUCCUGCGAAAAUUGGGAGCAGCUGCCUCCUUUGGGAAAAUUGCCAUCCCUUGAAGCACUCAGCCUAUGGGACAUGAAGUGUGUGGAAAGAGUGGGUGAUGAAUUUUUGGGGAUAGAAAGUGAUCAUCAUGGCUCAUCUUCAUCGGUUAUUAUUGCCUUCCCCAAAUUGAAAUCACUUUCAAUUGAGGUUCUGCGCGAAUUGGAGGAGUGGGAUUAUGGGAUUACAAGAACGGGAAACACCGUCAUCAACAUCAUGCCACGUCUUUCUUCCUUGACAAUUGCACUUUGCCCCAAAUUAAAGGCACUGCCCGACCACUUUCAUCAAACGACAACAUUGAAGGAAUUGCACAUUUGGGAUUGCAGGCUUCUGGAAGAACGUUAUUGCAAGGGGGAAGGAGAAGACUGGCCUAAGAUAUCACACAUUCCCAACCUCCAUAUUGGGCUUUGACAAGUAAUUUCUUCUCUUACUCUGAUUUGCUUUGUUGUUGUUUUUAAUCUAAUUAAGAAGCGUAAAUAGCAUUUUGAAUCAAACUCUAUAUCAGAAAUCUGCAAUACUUACUUUCUAAUAUUCUGAUUUUCAUAUCCUAUGAAUAUACGAUUUUUAAUUUGUGAGAUGGGUAACGUUACUGUAAAAGAUUAUUAAUGCAAUAUGAGUAAUUCUUUUGCAGGACAAGUGACCUACAUUUAGUUUGGCUUUGGAGUUGAAUAAUAACCUUUCGAGGUCCCGACAACCAAAAAACGAAGCUUAAUUUGCCACAGAUUGCACGUAUUGCCAUUAUUGACAAUUUUCUGCACAAGCUUAGGUUGAUGUCAAAAGAGGUAAAUUAUUGGCAUGCCUGACUAUUUUGACCAUUACACGAUUCAUAAGUUUACAUUAAUUUUGAUUUUGAGUUGAGUGAUUAGUUUUCUAGGUUUGCUUACUUUAACUGGGUGACCAAUUUCUUGUAACUAAAUGUAUGAUGUGAAGCAGAACUCAAACAAAAGUAUGCUACUUCUUGCGGAAAUCUUGCCUUUGUUCAGAUUAUGAAACCAUUUCCAUGCAGCAAAUUCAUCCAAAAGUUUGAAUAAGUUUCACGGUUGGACACUGUUGGUUUCUUUUUCUUCUGGGGUGCAUUUAGGUGCUAUCAAGUGACAGCUGUAAGUAUGAUUGCACUAAGCUGCCGCUGGGAAAUUUGAGGUUUUGAUGGCUGCCCAUGUUAUUUUCAAGAAACUAUUGAUGUAAGAAGCUGUGGUUCUUUUCAUCAGCUUGAACCUGAAACUGUCGCUAUGGAUAACUCAGGUUUUUGUUAUCAACUAUAUCAUCUUUUUCACUAUUUUGAAACUCUUAAGAUUAAACUUUAGUAAAGUUGUUUCAGCUUUUCAAAUGAAAAACUCAUUGAUUUGAGACUUCCUUCAUUAUUGUUUCUAAUUACAAUGCUAACGAUCCAGAUAAGAUAAUAUUUAAUCGGCGAAGGUGUCCCUUGGAAGUACAUCCUUCUUUUUCUUUUAUUAUACAAAUUCUUGCAAUGAGCUUAGUGAAGCUGUUGUGCUAAUCAUGCCACUGCAUAAUUUGGCCCCUAAUGUGGGUACUCUGUUACAUUGUUCUGCAAAUUCUCCAGAAGUUAAAAUCAAUAAAUUUUCUAUUAGCUCUAGUGCUUUGACCUAAAUGCUAUUCUAUAUUCUGAUUACAAUGUUUUACCUUUAAAUUAACUACCCCUAGAUGUUGGAUUUUCUAGAACUUCAAAAUGAUUAAUGGAGAAAGAUCCCAUUAUCGUUAUUGCUAUAAAAAAUUGAUUUAUGCAUCCAAAGAUACAUUAUAUAUUUCUGUGUCUCUAUUUAUAGAUGACAUUUAAGCAUCCAUAAACCGUCAGACAGAGGAAGGGGGUUCAGUGCAAAGAUUCUGUUGACCUAGGGUUGACUGCAUAAUGUCACUUGUUCGCAAUCUAUUAUUCUUUUCAAGGUCUGCUUCCUUAACGGAGCGACCAAUGUUUUUCAACUAAAUUUAUCAUAUGAUGCAGGAAGCAGGGCAGGAUAUGAAAUGUGAAGCUCAUUGGUGGAAGUAUUGCCAGUAACAGAACCCAAAGAAAAUGAAACUAUUUCAAGGCAGCAGUUGGCAGUUGCAAGUGAAUGGAGGCCCUUGACAAAAUUCUCAAGCGGUUGCAAUGCAAUUACGAUCAUCCUCAGCCUCAGGUAAUUUCUUCUCCUGCUUUGUAUUUAUUUGUUAUCUAAUUAGGAACCGUAAAGUAUCUUGAAUCAUUUUCUGUAUCUGGAAUAUAUGCAAGAGUUUCUAAAAUUUUGAUAUGAGUGUAAUGAUGGUAAUUUCUGUUUUCUGUCUGUCAUCAAAUGUUAGAAAACUUUCAUUGAGACCCUUGAACCGAGUCAUUUUUGACAAGUGAAGUGCUGAAGAGUGAAGAGUAAGAAUGGUGCUAGAUUGGGGAAUAAAGCAAAAGGAGGUAAAUUAUUGGCAGCUUCUUCAACCUUAUUUUCUUUGGACCAGUGCCUAAUUCACAAGUCUCCAUAAUUCGGCUUUUGACCAGUUGAUAGAUAAAAUUUUAAUUUCAUUGGUGCUAAUGUACCCGUGAGGCAGGCAGAGAAGGACUGUGGAAAAGAGAAGGUUUUUAGUGAAAGCUUAAACUCAGGUAAUUCUAAAAAUUAUAUGUUUUGGCUGAUUUAUCUAAAUCAGGAAAUUUUAUUUCCAUCUGUUACAAUAAAACAGAAACAGAACACAAAGAAAAAUAUUCUACUUCUUGUGGCAAUCUUGCCUUCAUUCAGACUAUGAAACCAUUUCCUUUCACCAAUUUCUUCCAAAAGUUUGAACACAUUUCAUGGUUGGACAUAGUUAGCUUCUUUUUCUUUUGGUGCAUUUAGGUGCUAUCAAGUGACAGCCGUAAGUAUGAUUGCAUUAUUGGGAAAUUUUAGGUUUUGAUGGCUCCCCAUGUUAUUGCCAAGAAAUUUUAAGUCCUCGUGUCAGAAGCUGCGUUUCUUUUCAUCAGCCUGAACCCGAACCUGUCACUAUGGAUAACUGAGGUUUUUGUCAUCAACUAUAUCAUCUUUUUCACUGUUUUGAAACUCUUAAGAUUAAACUUCAGUAAAGUUGUUUCAGUUAUCCAUGUAAUCAGGCUAAGGAUAUUUAGCAGCUUAUUUAGGCAACUGCCAGAAUUCAGUUUGUUCGCUCGAAACUUGUAUGGUGACAAGGAUACUGGCAAGGAUAGUGAGAUAGUUUUUUGUGUGAGUGAAUUUUGAAAGCUUGGGUGUUCUGGGAUUUGCAAUUGCAAUCAUCCUCUGCUUUAGGUGAUUUCUUCUCCUGUUCUGUCUUUAUUUUCUCUCUAAUUGAAAGCAUUUCAAUCAAAUUCUGUACCAGGAAUACGAAAAAUUUACCAAUAUUUUAUUUCCAUCUGUUUGCAUUGAUAACUUGGCCGCAUAUGUACUAGUUAAAGAACAAACAGAAGCAGAGUUCAGGAAAAAGUUUCUUCGGCCACCAUAUUUGAAAAUGAAACCAUUUCCAGGAAGCAGUUGGCAGCAAAUUCAUACAAAGUAUAGACAAUGAUGAACAAAAAGGUGAUUCGCAAUUUCAUUUUUUUAAAAUGAAAUUAUUUGUUAAGUUGGAGCUGAUAUUGUUAGAAGGCCAUUGAGCUAACCUCUGACACUGCUUGCCUAGAUUGCAGGAGGUCAAGACUCAAAAGAUGCACUGAAUUUUAAAAGGCAUGCAAUAAUUCUUAUGGCCAUUUGUCAAUGGUGGAAUGCUUUUAGCUUCUUUUCCUUUUGUGCAUUUUGGGGUUCUAUCAAGCGACAGCCGUAUGUAUGGAUGGAUAUAGCUGCUGCGUUGAUUUCUAAUGCAUUGUAUGAUGUUAUAGCAACUAUCCAUCUGGUCAAUGUUUCAAAAGAAUAAGACAGGGAAAAAGAGAAAGCAAGUGGCCAAUCAAGUUGCAUCAACCAAAUUGUUGUUAAACAAGUAAAACAAAGAAAGAGAGUUAAGGAAGCUGACCUUGUAGUAGGGGAGCUGAAGAAAGGCUGCCAGUGAAUGUAAGAGAAAAUAAAAUGCAAGAAAUGGUGAAGUGCAGCUUUUCAUGUCAACUUGAAAUUGAUUUUUCUGUUUGUUUUUUUUUUUUUGUAAUCUUUUGGAUUUUUCAAACAAAGAAAAUGAGGAGCAACCAGGGAGAUAAAAAGGGCGCCAAGGCAACUGUGUGUUGGGUUUAGAGCCAAAAAUAAAUAAAUAAAUAAAUAAGACAUCGUGUUCUUGUGGAGACCAGACCUAUUACGUAACGUCCCCUUCAAUACCACUUGUUCCGUAUCUGGUUUUCUCUUCGUCGUUUACAUAUUUAUCCUGUGAUUUUACAAUAACUAAAUAAUCCCCGCAUAGUUUGCAAUUUUAUUCAUUUGGGCCCUACAGAUUUCAGUAAUAGGAAUUAUUAAGGGACAAGAGCGCAAAACAGAAACUCUGUCCACUACUGAUGAUAUAAUAACGAACCUUUGUUUUUUUUUUUUAAAAAAAAAAAGAGUAACAAAAUAUCAUUAGACAAAUGAAAAUAUUAUCUAACAUCACCUAUUCACCUUACUGAUGAUAUGAAAAUAUGUAUGUAUGUAUGUAUGUAUGUACAUAUAUACAUACACCUAUGUAACAUUUACUUAUACAUUCUUUUGAGUUUAAAUCUUAAUACAACUACAUACAACCACAUCAAUGUAUAUAUUUUUUACAUAAGACAUGCCGUCCUAUUAUUCAUAAGUAAACAAUGUGCCGUAAAUAGUAUUCUGUGUUUUCUCAAAGUUGACUUUUCGUCUUUUAUUUUCAGACGCAGACGCUAUGUCAUUUUGUAAUCGUCCGAACAUAUACAGAGCAGAAUUGGUGUUAUCUGAUUUUGUGAUGCAAUAAGAUUUGCACUUCCUGUGCAUUCAAUGGAAUCAUGCCACGCUAGUAGACAAUAUGCUAGUUUGAACAAACUUGUUUGAAUGGCAAAAACGACAUGACCUGCUGUAGUAUUAAUUCUUUCCCGAACCAACGGGUGAUUUGCUACGUUGGAUCAUGAAAAUUAACCAAAAUAAAAAUUCUUAAGGAAUUAGUUAGUUAAUUGAUUGAUCGAAUUUAAUCUAAAUUUGAAAAUGAUAAGAUAAAUUUAAAUUUAUUAUUAUUAUUAUUAUUAUUAUUUUAAAGUGGGUGGGUUUAUACAAUUUGAGCGGUGGAAAUAUCACUGCUGAAUUAUUAAAUAUACAGUGUAAAAUUUUGACCUUUAAAAUAUUCCCUUUUUUUUUUUAUUUAGCACUAUAAGUUUAAAAAUUUAACAUUUUACCUCAAUAAUUAAAUACUUUUAACUUUAAUCUUCAAAUAUUUACCCUACAACAUUUGGACCUAAAUUUUUAAUCCGACUCGGCCCCUGACCCAAGUGGGAAGAAGAUCAGGCUUAUAAGUUAUAACUAUCACCAACAUAACAUCUUCUGGAAAAUAAUAAGAUUACUCACCUGCAAUUAUGUGAUCAAACUAAUGGUAAGCAAAAUAGAACAGCGUUAUUUCAGUCCCCUUUCAGUUUCUUUAUCAUUUUUCUUUUCCUAUUUAUAAGCUUAAUUCGGUUCAAAAUCGGCUAAUUCACUUUGAUUUCACUUUUCUUUCUUUCGGUUCAAAAAAAUUGAACCCAUUGGCUGUCAAUUCAAUUUUGUUGAAAACCAACUUUGCCUGAAUUUAAGUAAUAAUAGAGGAAAAAAAAAGAGUACUUAGCAGAAGAGAUUUCUCAUUUUUUUCUCAUUCAAACUUCUAAAAUAAAAGAAAAAAAAACAAGAGUAAUUGUUAAUUAUCAAAAUUUUGUUUAUACUAUUCCACCAAGAAAAUUAUACAAAAAAAAAAAUUUUAAAAAUUGGAGAAGAAAUAUGAGGUGAAAUACGUGGAUGGCUUAGACUAAUAAUGUGAACAAAUUCCUCUUGGAAGCAUGUCAUUGUUCAUCCGGACAACACGCGGCGAUGAGAUUCGAGAAUAAAAGGAUAGGAAUCAACUGUAACCUCAUAAACAAAUGGCCUUGGAGUUGUAACCAAAGCUUUUAAUUAUUGAUCAUUAAGAUCGAUAUAAAGUAUCACGAAAUGAUGUGUACGACGACAAUAUCAAUAGCGUAGUGUGAAGACCUGGCUGUAAACACAAGGCUCGGCAGAUUAAUUAAACAAGAGUAUCCGAAUUUUCUAUGAUAAUCUCUAGGAAACGAUCAGCUAUAAUGUACGAAAUUAAAAUAUUGCAUAUAUUUUUGAAUUUUUGAACUCAUGCAUUAAUUUAAAAAAUUAUAUCGUAUUAUAAUUUAUUCACAAAAGAAAGAAAAAUUCACUAAUCAAGUGAAAUCGUAUUCUUAUUGAAAUGAAUUCCAGUAAUUGGAUAAAUAUAAGUAUUUCUUCCGUUGUAAUUUUUGUUUAACAGAAAAUCUAUUUGAGAUUUUGUGAGAAGAAACUCAACAAUAAAGUUUGAUAGACUUUGUGGAUAUUAAGAGUUUGACAAGUAAUUGAAAUCUGAAGUUUACUGAAAUUUACGAGCAAACAAACUGAAAUCCGAAGUUUACUGAAGUUUACUAUCAAGAGUUUCAAAACAGUGAAAAAGAUGAUAUAGUUGAUGACAAAAACCUGAGUUAUCCAUAGCGACAAGUAACAUACUGAAGUAAGCCGUUGGGAGCUGGCCUGUUCAUGGGCUAUUUUUCUCUGAUGAUCUGCAUUUUUCUUCCUUUUAAAGUGAACCUUGACUCGUAUCAAACCUGUCAAAAGAACAGUUCAUCAACUGAGCUGAGAUUUGCUUUCCUUUUUCAAAACCCACCUGAGAUAUUGUAAUUCCCAAAUUUCUCUCUCUCAGCUACACGAGCAAGCAGCCGCUUUUUCACUUCAUCGAAGAAGGUAAGCGAUUUAUCUAUUUCGUCCGAUUGAUUUCUUGUUUCGUUUUCAGUGUUCGGGUAAAUUAUUGGCAUGCCUGACUUUUUGACCAUUACAUGAUUCAUAAAUUUCUAUUAAUUUUGAUUUUGAGUUGACUGGUUACUUUUAUAGGUUUGUUUACUUUGACUAGGUGACCAAUUUCUUGUAACUAAAUUUAUGACGUGAUGCAGGAAGCUCGGCAGGAUAUGAAAUGAGAAUCUUAUUAGUGGAAGGAUUGCCAGUAACAGAACCCAAAGAAAAUGAAACCAUUUCAAGGCAGCAGUUGGCAGUUGGGAGUGGAUGGAGGCCCCUGACAAAACUUCAGUAAACUUCAGAUUUCAGUUUGUUUGCUCGAAACUUGCAUGGUGACAAGGAUACUGGCAAGGAUAAUGAGAUAGUUUUUGUGUGAAUGAAAUUACGAUCAUCCUCAGCCUUAGUUGUUAUUUGUUACCUAAUUAAGAAGCAUAAAGUAUCCUGAAUCAUUUUCGUUGUCUGGAACAUAUGAGUGUAAUGAUUGUAAUUUCUGUUUUCUGUCUGUCAUCGAAUGUAAGACAACUUUAUUAAGAUUCUUGAACCGAGUCAUUUUUGACAAUUGAAGGACAAGUGCUGAAGAGUGGGAAUGCAAAAAGUUUUGUUGUUUCUAGCCUUGUUUUCUUUGAACCAGCGCCUGAUGAUAUAACAGAAACAAGGCUAGAAACAACAAAAACUCUGUCCACUACUGAUGAUAUAACAACGAACCUUUGUUUUUUUCUUUUUUCUUUUUUUUUUUAAAAAAAGUAACAAAAUAUCAUUAGAGAAAUGAAAAUAUUAUCUAACAUCACCCUACUGAUGAUAUGAAAAUAUGUAUGUAUGUAUGUAUGUAUAUACGUAUGUAUGUACAUAUAUACAUACACCUAUGUAACAUUUAAUUAUACAUUCUUUUGAGUUUAAAUCUUAAUACACAUUUUCAUGAAAUUUUUAUUUUAUUAAGUAUACAACUACAUACAACUACAUUAAUGUAUAUAUUUUUUACAUAAGACAUGCCGUCCUAUUAUUCAUAAGUCAACAAUGUGUUGUAAAUAGUGUUCGUGUCUCAAAGUUGACUUUUCGUCUUUUAUUUUCAGACGCAGACGAUAUGUCAUUUUAUACACAGCAGAAUUGGUGUUAUCUGAUUUUGUGAUGCAAUAAGAUUUGCACUUCCUGUGCACUCAAUGGAAUCAUUUCUUUGUAACUAAUUGGGUGCUGGAAUGGUGGUCAAAUCUCGAACGAAGACAGAUCUAUCAAACUCCAGAAUUGGUGUUAUCUGAUUAAUUGAUUGAUCGAAUUUUAUCUAAAUUUGAAAAUGAUAAGAUAAUUUUGAAUUUAUUAUUAUAAUUAUUAUUUUAAAGUGGGGUGGGUUUAUACAAUUUGAGCGGUGGAAAUAUCACUACUGAAUUAUUAAAUAUACAGUGUAAAAUUUUGACCUUUAAAAUAUUCCCUUUUUUUUUUAUUUAGCAUCUAUAAAUUUAAAAAUUUAACAUUGUACCUCAAUAAUUAAAUACAUUUAACUUUAAUCUUCAAAUAGUUACCCUACAACAUUUGGACCUAAAUUUUUAAUCCGAUUCGGCCCCUGAUCCAAGUGGGAAGAAGAUCAGGCUUAUAACUAUCACCAACGUAACAUCUUCUGGAAAAUAAUAAGAUUAUUCACCUGCAAUUAUGUGAUCAAACUAACGGUAACCAAAAUAGAACAGCGUUAUUUGAGUCCCCUUUCAGUUUCUUUAUCAUUUUUCUUUUCCUAUUUAUAAGCUUAAUUCGGUUCAAAAUUGGCUAAUUCACUUUAAUAAGUUUAUUGGUUUGAACGCUGUUAGCUUCUUUUCCUUUCGUGCAUUUUGGUAUGCAACAGUUCUUGCCUAUGACACUGCUUGCCUAGAUUGCAGAAGGUCAAGGCUCAAAAGAAGCACUGAAUUUUAAAAGGCAUGCAACAGUUCUUGUGCCAUAUGUCAAUUCAUGCAAGUUUGAAUAAGUUUUUUGGUAUGCUAUCAAGUGACAGCCGUAUGUAUGGUUUGCAUAUAGCUGCUGCUGGGAAAUGUGAGGAUUUCAUGGCUGGCCGUGUUAUUGUCUUAAAUUAGAUGUGAUAAGCUGUUGCUUGGUGAUUCUGUUGCCAAGAAUUUGCUCACAUCAGAAGCUGUGGAACCUGAACCCUUCUCUAGAUAUCAUCUUUUUCAUUGUUUUAAAACUCUCAGGAUUAAACUUGAGUAAUUUUGUUCGGUUGUCUAUAUAAUCAUGUAUUGAGUAAACUCUCAGGAUACUGAGCAGGCAAAUGCCAUAACUCGGUUUGUUCUUCAAAAACUUGUUUAAGAUUCUUGACAAAGCUGCAUGAAGUGAAUCUUGGGAGCUUUGAGGGUGAGAGAAAUUAGAGGGUGUAUAGGGAUUUGGGCUUAUUAGGAAGUUAUAUAUGUAUUUCGUCACUUAUCAUUAUCAUUUUUUUUUUCACAGAAAACCUUCUGAUGGUGCUAAAUUUUCAAACACCGGUCCGAUUCAAAACUUCAUAUUCCAAUUAUAUUCAUAAGACAAAUGGAACACUUUGAACGGCUUGUGUCCGAGCAUUGUAGUUUGAUUUAUUUUGAUGACAGUACCUUUUGACAUUGAGAUUCUUUCAUGAUUUAAACAUUCUUUUAAAAACUAAAUUAUUAAAAAAAAAGUAACUAACAUAUAUUAUUUUAUUAGUGCUUUUUAAAUCAAAUAUACAUAGGAGAACUGUAAUUCUUAGCAAUCAAUUUUCCACUAAAUACACCUGCAACAAACUAUUAAUAGCAAAGUGAUAGAAAAUACCUGAUUUUUCAUACUUUCUAAUUUCUUUUGGUCCUAAAAUAUGGGCAUUUGUGUAAUAAUUAGCCCAUGUGGAUCUCUAUGCCAUGAGUUUGAUAAGUAGCUAUCAAGGAUCACUUAUUAAGCUAAAAAUAUUUGGAGGACAAAAUUGUAAAACUAAAAGGGUGGAGCAAAUAUGGCUAUCUAGGAUUAAAUAGUAAGUCAACUAUAUUUAAAGGAUAAAAUAUUAAAACUUGAAAUGUGAUAUUAAAAAUAUCUCAACUAUUAUGUUAUUAAACCAUAUGUUGUAAUAGUUUAUUUUUUAAGCUUCAAAAUGUUCAGGAUUUUAGAUUGAAACAUUUUCAUUUGAAAUUAUUUGGUGCAGUCACAAGUUAAGAAAGAAAAAGUUGUCCCAUUGGUCAUUUCACAAAAAUGAAAGCCCUGUAUAACAUGGGCUUGAAUGGAAGCCCAAUUGUUUGUGUUUGAUUAAUUGAUUUCAAGCUUUAUCGAACCUUUGUACCUGGAUACUUUACUGCGGCCUCUAAGCGCUAUAAAUUUUUUUGGGGAUAAACGGCGCUUCAAUGAGGUCAUCUCCGAUGCUUAACACCAUUUUGGUGUAAUACCAACAUUAAAAAUAUACAUUUUUCACACUAAAUUACUAUUUCAUCUCCAACCCAUUUACACCAAAAAAAAUAUUUUUCUUUUUAUUCUUUUAAUUCUCAAGAAUUAAUUCAAUUAACACAAUAAAUACUACUAUUAACAUAGAUAAUUAAGUAAUAAGUAAUUUUAUCGAUUAACAAAAAAAUAUAGAAAAUUAUUAAAUUUGCAUUUAAUUAACUAAAUUAGUACAUUAUGAAAAUUAAACAUUACAUUAAUAUAGAAAAAUACAAUAACAAUAAUAAUAAUUUUAUAUCUAAUAUUUUGAUGAUAUUGGAGGAUCUAAUAAUGAUCUUCCAGAUUAUUAAAUAAUUGUUCUAAUUUAUACUAGUAGUAGUAGCUUUUUUAAUUUGUGUUAAUUUAAUUUUGUAAUAUGUAAUAUAGUAAUUAAUGUUACUAGCAUUUUAUUAUUAUUAUUAAUUUUUGUGUUGAAUAUUUUUUAUUUAAAAUAUUAGUAUAAUAUUCAAAAAUUAAAAAAUGAAAUAAAAAUAAUAACAAAAAUAAUAAUAAUAAUAACUUAAAAUAUUAUAUAAAAUAGGACAUAUAUGUAAAUAAGAAAAAGUAAUAAAGAUAUUUAAGAGCUUUUUUUCCUAGCACCAAAUGAAUAGUGUUACACCAUAUUUGGUGCAAUACUAUUCACAACACCAUUUUGUUGUUGGUUUUGGUGUUACAUUGGAGAAGCAUUUUACACCAAAAAUAGUGUAAAAGGUGGUUUGGUGUUAGUUUUGGUGUCACAUUGGAGAUGGCCUGGAAAAGCACUUGAAAACUUUGGAUUUUUGGUUCGUCCAGUUACGGUGUUAUGCUAACGGGGUUAAAGGUUCCGAUCCAAUGAGUUAGGAUCCGAAGGUUACUGAAGUUUACUAUCAAGAGUUUCAAAACAGUGAAAAAGAUGAUAUAGUUGAUGACAAAAACCUGAGUUAUCCAUAGCGACAAGUAACAUACUGUUUAUUACAGAGAAACAAACGACAACAUGAUACUAGUAGUAGUUAUUCUUUUCAUCCGAUAUAUUACAUGGUAAUAUCACUACUCGUUCCACUAGUUUCAUGUACACUGUCGACCAGCAACAUGAUAAUUUCGUGCCAGUUCAUUUUGGUUUGUUGGAAAAAGCAGUGUAUUUCUUAGAACUUGAAAAUAAUAAAAAUAUUUUAAAAUAUAAAUUGCAUAUUUGUUUAUUACCAUUCUUUGGUCUAUUUCUUCUGUAGACUUUUCAGAAUCUGUAGGACGUUAGUUUAUAACUUUGGGAUUUUGUAGCCCUAAUUUUUUUUUUUGGCAUUUUAUUUUGCUGCUUUAUCUAUGUGCAUGUUAACUAAAUUAAGCUAAUCUAGAAUUAAUAGAGAGGGAUAUUUAUCUAUUUUGUUUAACCUUUACCACUCUAGGCAUUGUACUACAUGUGAGCUUGUGAUGCUUGCAUUUUAUUGAUGUUGAUGAUUCGUUGAAUGUUUUAUUUUUUGAUUUUUUAAGUUUUCCAGAGUCAUGUUUGUGUCUACGAAGAAAUUGUAAAGGCUGUGCACGAAGCACUUGUCAUUCUUUAGACUUUAUUGAUUAUAUUUUUGUCAGAUUUGCGUGUAUAUUCACAUAUGUUUUAUUUUUUCAUUUUGUAGGACAUUUUUACAUGCCAUAUUAUCACGACUCUUCUGUGUCUGAAUAAGAAGAAAGCAUAAUGCGACCCUCCAACAGCUUAAUCUAUGGAAUUAUCGUGUUUUGUAAGUUCUGGUCCAAUGGCGUUUUGGCACAUCAUAUGAUAGACCACUAUAUUGCGUUGCUUUACAAAAGAUUAAUAUUUUUAAAAUUAUUAACUCAUGAUAUGAUAGUCCAGGUUUUCGAGGACCACUAUAUUGUAUGGAUUUAAAAAAAAUUAAUAUUUUUUAAUAUUAAUAUUCUAAAUUAUAUUCAGUUAAAAUAUUAAAUAUUAAAUACAUUCUUAACAUUAAUAUUCUUAGAUGAAAUUCUUUUGCUGACUUAAGAAUAAAGUAUUAAAUAAUUUUAUUUUUCUUUUAUUUUGUAACGUGGACCCAAAAAAAAAAGGAAAUGAAUUUAAUAAAACCUUCAUUCCGCCAACAUGCAUGUUAAUUGUUUCCAAAUUCCAACCUCCGUACUCUCUUGAGGAGUUUCCCAUUCAUCAAUUAUUAUUUUUUAUAAUCCAUACCAUCCUGAUAUAAUUAAACACCAUUAAUAAUGUACCAGCCUUUAAAUAGUAAUUAAUUUAUUUAUCUAAUUCACCAAAUGUUUUUUUCCGGUACAUAUCUCCAUUGGUAUCAAGAAGAAGCAGAACCCAAAGAAAUGUUUCUUGCAUCUUCAUAUUUGUGCGAAUUCAUCCUUUCAUUGAGAAUAACCAUUUCCAGGCAGCAGUUGGCAAUCAAUUCAUGCGCAUGUCGAUGCUACUCAUAGAUAUUAAAGACAAUGAUGAACCAAAGGUAAUAAAUCAUAAAUGCAUAAUUACCAAACCUCCAUCCUUCUCUCAUUAUGACUUGAUUUUAAAUGAAUUAUUGCUUGGUAACAUUAUUUCCAACCAUUGCAAGAUUUUUUUUUGGAGAAAUUUCAAUUGAAAGUAAAACCUUUAGACAUUUACCUAAUGAAGUUAGUUAAUCGGGAGGGUGGAAAAAAAAAAGUUGACGCAAGUCAAUACACAAUAAUUAAUUAAAUCCGGAGUCACUAAAACAGAGCCACGACUUUUUCAAAAAUAUCUGCAUUCAUCACUUUCUCCAGCAACUAGUCAGCUACACACGAAUCAAUUUCUCUCCUCGUUUGUCAUCCAAAAUUAUUCACCAAUACCAUGGCUGAUGCAAUCGUUUCCCCGCUCUUGGAGCAGCUGAUUUCCUUCGCUGCUGAAGAGAUAAAACAACAGGUGAUCGAAGUUACACCCCUCAUAUUACAAAUACUUCCAAUGAUUUUAAUUGGUUUUGUUUUUAUCAAAAACAUUAUAUAUUUUUGCUUUUUUUUAUUUAUCUGAUAAUUUUAUAUUUUGAAAUUUGAAUUGAAUUUAAUUAAAAGGUGAUGUAGUAACCACUUAUUUUUAUUUUAUUUCAUUUAUAUUCUCAAUAACUACUCAUAUUUUGGUAACUUACUAUAACUUCCAUAUCUAAGAAAUGAUCCAAACCCACAAUUUUAACUAUGUAUAAAUAUUCAACGUUGAGCUAAGGUUUUGCAGAACAUUCAAGUUUAUCAAAUAGUCAUUAAUUUAAUGUUUUAGUAAAACCUCAACUCAUCACUGAAUCCCAUAGCUAUUACUUAGACACUAUGAAAAAUUUCAUAGUUUUCUUACAUUCUUUCAGUUUGGUAAGUGAUUUCAUAUAAUUUCUUUUCAAGUUAAAUUUUAAUUUGGUUUCUGAUAUAGUCUCUUUGCCGAAUUGUAUCUUUUAUGAUUCUUGGAUUUUGGGCUCCAACUUUUUAGGAUUUGAUAGUCACAUUUUAUGCCAUGCUCAGAUUGAUUUUCAUGAUUUUUAGUACCCGUUAAGUGACGUACAAUUUGACAAAAGUUUGAAAGGAAAUAUGUUUCAGAAUUCUGUUUUAAUUGACCUUUUAGUGGAAUUAGGAUGCUUAUAACUUAAUGUGGAUGGUUCGUAAAAUCAUGAAAUUUGGAUAGGAUUCACUAGCAAUAUGUACAAGACUCCCCAUAAAGUUUCAUAAUUUUUCAUUCGGUCUGGGGUGGUACAGGUGAAACUUGUGGUUGGUGUUGAAAAAGAAGUGAAAAGCCUUACCAGCCAUCUUCAAGCCAUUCAAGUUGUGCUCGAUGAUGCAGAGGAAAAGCAAGUGAAGGAAAAAGCUGUUAGUCUUUGGCUGGGUAGGCUCAAGUAUGCAUCCUACGACAUUGAAGAUGUGUUGGAUGAGUGGAUAACAACAAGACGCAAAUUGCAAAUUGAGGGUGGCGUUGAUGAAAAUGCUCUUGUUGUUCCUCAUAAGAAAAAGAAGGUAUGUCUCUGCUUUCCCGGCUCUUGUUUUGGAUUCAAACAAGAAGAAUUUGGUUUCAAACAGGUCUUUCUCCGUCAUGACAUUGCCGACAAGAUCAAAGAAAUCAAUGAAGAGCUACAUGAUAUUGCCGCUCAAAAAGACAUGUUUGAUCUUGUUAAGAGUGGCAAUAAAAGUAGUGAAAGACCAAGGCGUGUACAGAGUACCUCCUUGAUUGAUGAGGAAGAGAUUUGUGGCAGAGUUGGUGAGAGGAAUGAACUCUUAAGCAAGCUGUUGUGUGAGAGUAGCGAGCAACAAAAAGGCCUUCAUAUCAUCUCAAUCGUUGGUAUGGGAGGCAUAGGGAAAACAACUCUUGCACAACUAGCUUGUAAUCAUGACGAGGUGAAGAGAAAGUUCGACAAAAUUCUGUGGGUGUGUGUAUCAGAAACUUUUGAGGAGUUUAGGGUUGCCAAAGCGAUCGUUGAAGUUUUGGAUGGUCGUGAAUCUCAUUUAGCUGAAUUCCAUUCUCUUCUUCAACAUAUUUAUGAAUCCAUUGCAGGGAAGAGCUUUCUUCUUGUCUUAGAUGACGUGUGGGAUGGAAAUUACUUGAAAUGGGAACCAUUCUACCAUUGUCUAAAGAAUGGUCUCCAUGGAAGUAAAAUUUUAGUUACCACACGUAAAGGGUCAGUCGCAUCCAUGAUGGGAUCCAUAGAUAUUAUCUCCGUUAAGGAGUUAGCUGAAGAGGAAUGUUGGUUGUUGUUUAACAAGAUAGCAUUUUUUGAUCGGUCCAUCGAGGAACGUGAAAAAUUAGAACAAAUUGGGCAAAGAAUUGCAGGCAAGUGCAAAGGUUUACCUCUUGCAGCAAAGACAAUAGGGAGUCUCAUGCGUUCUAAACAAACUGAAGAAGAGUGGAAAAGAAUUUUAAAUAGUGAUUUAUGGAAAGUAGAAGAGAUUGAGAAAGAUGUUUUGUCCUCUUUAUUGUUGAGUUAUAAUGAUUUGCCAUCUAGAGUAAAAAGAUGUUUUUCAUAUUGUGCUGUCUUUCCAAAAGACUACAAUAUAGAAAAAGACAAACUAAUCACGUUAUGGAUGGCUCAAGGUUAUCUUAGUGCAGAAGAAGAUGAAGAGAUGGAGACAGUAGGUGAAGAGUAUUUUGGCAUCUUAGCUUCUCGCUCAUUUUUUCAAGAGUUUAAGAAAAGUUAUGAUAAUCGGAUUAUAGAGUGUAAGAUGCAUGAUAUGGUACAUGAUUUUGCCCGAUUUGUAAGUCAAAAUGAAUGUUUUUCGAUGGCAAUUAAUGGUAGUGAAGAACCAAACGCCACAAACUCUCUUGAUGAGAAGGUCCGUCAUUUAAUGUUAAUCUUUAGUAUAGAGGCUUCAUUACCUGUUUCCACUUGUAGAGUUAAAAGAAUUCGUAGCCUCUUAAUUAACGAUAGUAGAUCUGAUCAUUCAUUAUUAAAUGGUGAGAUCCUAGAAGAAUUAUUUAGGGAAUUGACAAGUUUAAGGGCAUUAGAUUUUUGCAAAUCGUAUAACGCAAGCUGGUCUUCGACUCUGGAGAUUCCGAGAAACAUAGAAAAGCUGGUACAUUUAAGAUACCUUAAUUUGUCUUAUCAGGGAAUAAAGAAACUACCGGAGACAUUAUGCGAGUUGUAUAAUCUAGAAAAGUUAGAUAUUAGUUAUUGUUAUAAGCUAGAAGAAGUACCUGAAGGGAUUGGGAAGUUAAUAAACAUGAAGCAUUUACGAAAUAGAGGUACUAGUUCUUUAAGGUACAUGCCGGUAGGGAUUGGGAGAUUAACGGGUCUUAGGACCUUGGGUGAGUUCCACGUGAGUGCAGGAGGAGGUGUUGAUGGUAGGAAAGCAUGUAGGCUUGAAUCUCUUUAAAACUUGGAACACCUUCAAGUAUGUGGUAUAUGUAGACUGGGUGAUGUAUCAGAUGUGGGCGAGGCUAAGCGAUUAGAACUUGACAAAAAGAAAUACCUCUUCAGUUUGACCCUUGAGUUUGAUAAGACGGAAAGAGGAGGAGAAAGGAGGAAGAACGAGGACGAUCAACUUCUUCUUGAAGCCUUGCGACCACCCCUGGAUUUAAAGGAAUUAGAGAUACGGUACUACCGAGGCAACACUGUUUUCCCCAGCUGGAUGGCGUCAUUAACCAACUUAAAGAGUUUACAUCUCCAUAGGUGCGAAAAUUGCGAGCAGCUGCCUCCUUUGGGAAAAUUGCCGUCCCUUGAAAAUCUCUACAUAUGGCGCAUGGAGAGUGUGAAGAGAGUGGGUGAUGAAUUUUUGGGGAUAGAAAGUGAUCAUCAUGACUCAUCGUCAUCUUCAUCAGUUACUAUUGCCUUCCCCAAAUUGAAAUCACUCACAAUUUAUUCGAUGCUGGAAUUGGAGGAGUGGGAUUAUGAGAUUACAAGAACAGGAAACACCGUCAUCAACAUCAUGCCACGUCUUUCUUCCUUGACAAUUGUUGAUUGCACCAAAUUAAAGGCACUGCCCGACCACAUUCAUCAAACGACAACGUUGAAGGAAUUGAGCAUUUUUAUGUGUUGGCUUCUGAACAAACGUUACCGCAAGGGGAAAGGAGAAGACUGGCCUAAAAUAUCACACAUUCCCAACCUCCAUAUUGGGCUUUGACAAGUAAUUUCUUCUCUCACUCUGAUUUGCUUUGUUGUUGUUUUUGUUGAAAAGUUAAAAAGUUUGGUUGGAAAAGAAAAGUGAGCCACAUGCAUUGCUUUUGUUUUUCAAAGUCGGCACCAAAUUGCAAACUGUAUUUGGCAUUUGACAAUCCUGCACCAAAUGAAGAAAAAUGCAAAAGUUAGCAAAAUUUGUCAAAUUGACAGAGAUGGAGAUUGAUAAAUUGCAGAGGGAUUAGGUGGAAUAGUGCAUGCUUGAAGCCUAUAAAUUGAAGCCAUUUCUUCAUUCUAAAUAAUCCCAAAAUUGUUAAACUUAUAAGUUUCUAAGCUUUUGAGAGAAGUGAGAGAAGUGUGUCUGUGGAAUUUAUUUUUCCUGCAGAGUGUGAGAGUACUUGGUAUAUUUGGGUUUCUGGGAAGUGAGAUUCGUUACUCAAAUAUUGUAUUCUAUUAAUUGUUAAAUAAACAAUUAUUCUUUCUUACCUCCGUGGAUGUAGGUUUAAUUACCGAACCACGUAAAAUCUUGUGUCCUUUAUUUUUCAGUAAUUAUUUGGUGCGCUUGAUUCCGCAUUCCGCGCACAACAGUUUUUAAUCUAAUUAAGAAGCGAAAAUAGCAUUUUGAAUCAAACUCUAUAUCAGAAAUCUGCAAUACUUACUUUCUAAUAUUCUGAUUUUCAUAUCCUAUGAAUAUACGAUUUUUAAUUUGUGAGAUGGGUAACGUUACUGUAAAAGAUUAUUAAUGCAAUAUGAGUAAUUCUUUUGCAGGACAAGUGACCUACAUUUAGUUUGGCUUUGGAGUUGAAUAAUAACCUUUCGAGGUCCCGACAACCAAAAAACAAAGCUUAAUUUGCCACAGAUUGAACGUAUUGCCAUUAUUGACAAUUUUCUGCACAAGUGUGACUGAACUUAGGUUGAUGUCAAAAGAGGUAAAUUAUUGGCAUGCCUCACUAUUUUGACCAUUACAUGAUUCAUAAGUUUACAUUAAUUUUGAUUUUGAGUUGAGUGAUUAGUUUUCUAGGUUUGCUUACUUUAACUGGGUGACCAAUUUCUUGUAACUAAAUGUAUGAUGUGAUGCAGGAAGCAGGGCAGGAUAUGAAAAGAGAAGCUUAUUAGAGGAAGGAUUGCCAGUAACAGAAUCCAAAGAAAAAGAAACCAUUUCGAGGCAGCUGUUGGCAGUUGGCAGUGAAUGGAGCCCCUUGAAAAAAUUCCCAAGCCGUUGCACUGCAAUUACGAUCAUCCUCGGCCUCAGGUAAUUUCUUCUCCUGCAUUUUUGUUAUUUGCUAUCAAGUGACUAUUUUAAGUAUGAUUGCAUUAAGCUGCUGCUGGGAAAUUUGAGGUUUUGAUGACUGCCCAUGCUAUUGUCAGAAGCUGCGGUUCUUUUCAUCAGCCUGAACCUGGACCUGCCGCUAUGGAUAACUCAGGUUUUUUUUUUUUUUUAAUCAACUGCCAUCUUUUCCACUGUUUAGAAACUCUUAAGAUUAAACUUUAGUAAAGUUGUUUUAGUUAUCCAUGUAAUCAGGCUGAGGAUACUUAGCUGCCUAUUUAAGCAAAUGUCAGAAUUUAGUUUGUUCGCUGGGAACUGGUGUGGACUGGCAAAGGAUGAUGAGAUAGUUUUUUGAGUGAGUAAAUUUUGGGAGCUUGAGUGUAUUGGGAUUUGCAAUUACAAUCAUCGUCUGCCUCAGGUGAUUUCUUCUCCUGCUCUAUCAUUGUUUGUUCUCUAAUUCAAAAGCAUAAAAUAUUUCAAUCAAUUUUUAUGCCAGGAAUAUGCAAAAGUUUCUAAUAUUUUAUUUCCAUCUGUUACAAGAUCAAACUGAAGUAGAACUCAAACAAAAGUAUGCUACUUCUUGCGGAAAUCUUGCCUUUGUUCAGAUUAUGAAACCAUUUCCAUGCAGCAAAUUCAUCCAAAAGUUUGAAUAAGUUUCAUGGUUGGACACUGUUGGCUUCUUUUUCUUCUGGGGUGCAUUUAGGUGCUAUCAAGUGACAGCUGUAAGUAUGAUUGCACUAAGCUGCCGCUGGGAAAUUUGAGGUUUUGAUGGCUGCCCAUGUUAUUUUCAAGAAACUAUUGAUGUAAGAAGCUGUGGUUCUUUUCAUCAGCUUGAACCUGAAACUGUCGCUAUGGAUAACUCAGGUUUUUGUUAUCAACUAUAUCAUCUUUUUCACUAUUUUGAAACUCUUAAGAUUAAACUUUAGUAAAGUUGUUUCAGCUAUUCAAAUGAAAAACUCAUUGAUUUGAGACUUCCUUCAUUAUUGUUUCUAAUUACAAUGCUAACGAUCUAGAUAAAAUAAUAUUUAAUCGGCGCAGGUGUCCCUUGGAAGUACAUCCAACUUUUUCUUUUAUUAUAUAAAUUCUUGCAAUGAGCUUAGUGAAGCUGUUGUGCUAAUCAUGCCACUGCAUAAUUUGGCCCCUAAUGUGGGUACUCUGUUACAUUGUUCUGCAAAUUCUCCAGAAGUUAAAAUCAAUAAAUUUUCUAUUAGCUCUAGUGCUUUGACCUAAAUGCUAUUCUAUAUUUUGAUUACAAUGUUUUAACCUUUAAAUUAACUACCCCUAGAUGUUGGAUUUUCUAGAACUUCAAAAUGAUUAAUGGAGAAAGAUCCCAUUAUCGUUAUUGCUAUAAGAAAUUGAUUUAUGCAUCCAAAGAUACAUUAUAUAUUUCUGUGUCUCUAUUUGUAGAUGACAUUUAAGCAUCCAUAAACCGUCAGACAGAGGAAGGGUGAUGGGUGUCGAAGCCAACAAAAAUAAAUUCCUACUCUAAAUAAAUUGUGUAUAGUGAUUGAGCAGGGUCGUGUCCACAGAGAUCGGUAAUUAAUUAAAUCCUUUUGAAACGUAAAACAUAAAAUGGGGGAAUUGUUGACAAUAAUAAAAAUCAAAUUAAAAUAACAAGAAUGCAAAUUAAAGUUGUAAUUCAAAUUAGAGAAAGCUCUGGUUGAAGGAAUUAACUCAGCUUGAUUCGACUACUGAUCAUUGAUUCAAAUAUAGAUUAUUAUUACUCAUGAAUAGACCGGUUAUAGCUACUGAGACCCUCUAAUAGCCAAUCUCUCCUUAACUAGUCGAUAACCAAGGUACGACCAUUGGUUAUUUCCCUAAUCAAUAGACAACCCUAGAUACGAUCAUAGAAUUUAAUCAAUUGACAGCCUGAAAAACCAGAGAGACCCAAAUCCUAAUCAACACAUAUGAUGAUUCAUUUAAAUUAGAUUGUUUAUUCUCACAACACAACUCUCUGCUAUGUUAUUUGUCACAAACAUUAAAUUCUUCAUACGAUGAAUCCUUUAAUUGACAAUAGAUUAAGUUGAUAAUUAAAUAGUGGCCAAUUACCUAAUUAACAAACAUAAUCAUGAAAAUAAUUCAGAGAAUAAACAAAUACCCAAAAAGUAAUAAAACAAUUAAAGCACAAGAAAGAUCUCACAGUAGUGAUGAAUCAAAGCUUCAUUAACCUUCAACCAGAAAAAUAGGUUUAGCUCUUCAUAGAGAGAAGAGAAAAAUUAGAUCUAGGGUUUCUUUCUUUUUCUCCAAUCCAAAAAUCCCCCUUUUUCACAAUAGAUUCCUCCCUUAAAUACUUUCUCUCUCUUCUCUUUUAGAAUUCUAUUUAAAAUAAAAUCCUAAUAUCUGAAAUAUUAAAUUCGUAAUUACAAAAAUAACCAAAAAUACAAAACACGUUAAACUAAAAACUGCAGGUCCGCAGUUGACAGCACGCGCCCACGCCUUAUCAACAAAGUUCUUCUGACGCUCAUAAUUUCUCCAAGAGAACAAUCAUCCUUAAACAUCAUCUUAUAGCUCAAUUUUAUCAUCAAUCAAUAGAAUUGCACCUACAAAAGUAAAACACAAGUAAAUCACUAUUAUUAAGUGCAAAACAUUGAUAUUAAGGGAAGUAAAUAAUGCAAAACUAGUGCAUAAAUUGCACUCUAACAAAGGGGGUUCAGUGCAAAGAUUCUGUUGACCUAGGGUUGACUGCAUAAUGUCACUUGUUCGCAAUCUAUUAUUUAUUUUAUAUUUUGAAGAAUUUAAUGGGUAAUCCUAAUUGUUUGUUUUGGCAGGUAUGUGUUGUUAUCUCCUUCUAUCUAACAGUCGUACCUAAAUAGCAUAGUUUCAUCUGUGUUACCAUGUGAUGUACAUAAUUUCACAUUUGCCUCAGAUUAAGCUUAAUUUCCCACAAAAUAGAGCUGUCGCGACUGGACUUAGGUUGAUGUCCAAAGAGGUAAAUUAUUGGCAUGCCUAGAUAAUUUGGCCAUUUCCUAAUUCAUAAGUCUACAUUAUUUUUGAUUUUGAGUUGACUGAUUUCUUUUCAAGGUCUGCUUCCUUAACGGAGUGACCAAUGUUUUUCAACUAAAUUUAUCAUAUGAUGCAGGAAGCAGGGCAGGAUAUGAAAUGAGAUCUCAUUGGUGGAAGUAUUGCCAGUAGCAGAACCCAAUGAAAAUGAAACUAUUUCAAGGCAGCAGUUGGCAGUUGCAAGUAAAUGGAGGCCCUUGACAAAAUUCUCAAGCGGUUGCAAUGCAAUUACGAUCAUCCUCAGCCUCAGGUAAUUUCUUCUCCUGCUUUGUAUUUAUUUGUUAUCUAAUUAGGAAGCGUAAAGUAUCUUGAAUCAUUUUCUGUAUCUGGAAUAUAUGCAAGAGUUUCUAAAAUUUUGAUAUGAGUGUAAUGAUGGUAAUUUCUGUUUUCUGUCUGUCAUCAAAUGUUAGAAAACUUUCAUUGAGACCCUUGAACCGAGUCAUUUUUGACAAGUGAAGGACAAUUGCUGAAGAGUGGGAAUGGUGCUAGAUUGGGGAAUAAAGACAAAGGAGGUAAAUUAUUUGCAGUUUAUUCAGCAUUAUUUGCUUUGGACCACCGCCUGAUUCACAAGUCUCCAUAAUUUGGCUUUUGAGCAGUUGUUAAUAAAUUUUUAAUUCCAUUGGUGCUAAAUGUGCACGUGAAGCAGGCAGAGCAGGACUGUGGAAAUGAGAAGGUUUUUAGUGAAAGCUUAAACUCAGGUAAUUCUAAAAAGUACAUGUUUUUGCUGAUUUAUCUAAAUCAGGAAGUUUUAUUUCCAUCUGUUACAAGAUAAAACAGAAACAGAACACAAAGAAAAAUAUUCUACUUCUUCUGGCAAUCUUGCCUUCAUUCAGACAAUGAAACCAUUUCCUUUCACCAAUUUCUUCCAAAAGUUUGAAUAAGUUUCAUGGUUGGACAUAGUUAGCUUCUUUUUCUUUUGGUGCAUUUAGGUCCUAUCAAGUGACAGCCAUAAGUAUGAUUGCAUUAUUGGGAAAUUUUAGGUUUGGAUGGCUCCCCAUGUUAUUGCCAAGAAAGUCCUCAUGUCAGAAGCUGCGGUUCUUUUCAUCAGCCUGAACCCGAACCUGUCGUUAUGGAUAACUCAGGUUUUUGUCAUCAACUAUAUCAUCUUUUUUACUGUUUUGAAACUCUUAAGAUUAAACUUCAGUAAAGUUGUUUCAGUUAUCCAUGUAAGCAGGCUAAGGAUAUUUAGCAGCUUAUUUAGGCAACUGCCAGAAUUGAGUUUGUUUGCUCGAAACUUGUAUGGUGACAAGGAUACUGGCAAGGAUAGUGAGAUAGUUUUUUGUGUGAGUGAAAUUUGAAAGCUUGGGUGUUCUGGGAUUUGCAAUUGCAAUCAUCCUCUGAGUCAGGUGAUUUCUUCUCCUGCUCUGUCUUGAUUUUCUCUCUAAUUGAAAGCAUAAAGUAUUUCAAUCAAAUUCUGUACCAGGAAUACGUAAAAGUUACUAAUAUUUUAUUUCCAUCUGUUCGCAUUGAUAACUCGGCGGCAUAUGUGUUGUGCGCGGAAUGCGGAAUCAAGCGCGCCAAAUAAUUAUAGAAAAAUAAAGGACACAAGAAUUACGUGGUUCGGUAAUUAAACCUACAUCCACGGAGGCAAGAAAGAAUAAUUGUUUAUUUAACAACUAAUAGAGUACAAUAUUUGAGUAACGAAUCUCACUUCCCAGAAACCCAAAUAUACCAAGUACUCUCACACUCUGCAGGAAAUAUAAAUUCCCCAGACACACUUCUCUCACUUCUCUCAAAAGCUUAGAAACUUAUAAGCUUAACAAUUUUGGGAUUAUUUCAAAUGAACAAUUUCCCUUCUAUAUAUAGGAACCGUAGCUCACCUACCACUUCCAAUUUGGCUACAACUUGCCGAAUUGAUAAAUUGAAUUUAGAAUGGAAAAUCAAUUUGGUGAGCAACAAAAUCAACAAGUUUGAAAAAUCAAUUGGCUUCUAGAAAAACAUCACAUUUUUCCUCCAUACAAUUUCAACAAAAUCGUCCCACCAACCAUGUCUUUUGAAAUUUGCAUGCCAUUCUUUGACUUGUUGUGCGCGGAAUGCGGAAUCAAGCUCACCAAAAAUUACUGCAAAAAUAAAGGACACAAGAAUUUACGUGGUUCGGUAAUUAAACCUACAUCCACGGAGGCAAGAAAGAAUAAUUGUUUAUUUAACAAUUAAUAGAAUACAAUAUUUGAGUAACGAAUCUCACUUCCCAGAAACCCAAAUAUACCCAGUACUCUCACACUCUGCAGGAAAGAUAAAUUCCCCAGACACACUUCUCUCACUUCUCUCAAAAGCUUAGAAACUUAUAAGCUUAACAAUUUUGCGAUUAUUUCAAAUGAACAAUUUCCCUUCUAUAUAUAGGAACCGUAGCUCACCUACCACUUCCAAUUUGGCUACAACUUGCCGAAUUGAUAAAUUGAAUUUAGAAUGGAAAAUCAAUUUGGUGAGCAACAAAAUCAACAAGUUUGAAAAAUCAAUUGGCUUCUAGAAAAACAUCACAUUUUUCCUCCAUACAAUUUCAACAAAAUCGUCCCACCAACCAUGUCUUUUGAAAUUUGCAUGCCAUUCUUUGACUUUUCAACAAUUCUCCACCUCGGCGAAAAUUUUCCAAAUCUGAGCCGACUACCAACUAACCAUCCCCAAAGUGAUCCUUCAAUAAGGAUCCAGAAUGGCUGUGUCGAUUCGACUGCCUACGUACCCAAACUGUCUUGAUUUUCUCUCUAAUUGAAAGCAUAAAGUAUUUCAAUCAAAUUCUGUACCAGGAAUACGUAAAAGUUACUAAUAUUUUAUUUCCAUCUGUUCGCAUUGAUAACUCGGCGGCAUAUGUGUUGUGCGCGGAAUGCGGAAUCAAGCGCGCCAAAUAAUUAUAGAAAAAUAAAGGACACAAGAAUUACGUGGUUCGGGAAGCAGUUGGCAGCAAAUUCAUAUGGAGUGUAGACAAUGAUGAGCAAAAAGGUGAUUCUCAAUUUCUUUUUUUUUUAAAGUGAAAUUAUUUGUUAGAUUGAAGCUGAUAUUGUAAGAAGGCCAUUGAGCUAACCUAUGUCGCCACUUGCCUAGAUUGCAGGGGGUCAAGACUCAAAAGAAGCACUGAAAUUUAAAAAGCAUGCAAUAGUUCUUUUGCCAUGUAUCAAUUAAUGCAAGUUUGAAUAAAAUUAACAUAUAUCAAGACACAACUAGAAACAUCAUACUUUCGUGUAAGUUCAUUUCAGAAUAUUUCUUAGAGUUUGUAUAAAAUGAAAAGAUUUUAAAAUAUAAAUUUAAUAUUUGUUUAUUACCGUUGUUUGGUCUAAUUUCCUCGGGAGAAUUUUCAGAAUUUAUAGGACAUUAGUUUAUAAUUUUGAAAUUUUGUAACCUAAAUGUUUUUUUUUUUCGGUUACCAUUUUGUUUUCCUGCUUUAUCUACGUGUAUGUUGACUAAAACUAAUCUAUUUUGUUAAACCUUUACCACUUUAGACAUUGCACUAAAUAUGAGUUCGUGAUGCUUGCAUUUUAUUGAUGCUGAUGAUUCGUUGAAUGUUUUAUGUUUUUGAUUUUUAAGUAUUCCGGAUCGAAGUUUGUGUCUACGCGGAAAUUGUAAAGGCAGCAUAUAAAGUACUCGUCGUUCUUUAGAUUUUAUUGAGUACACUUUUUUCACAUUUAGCGUAUGCUAUACACUACUGAUUUGCGCAUUGACAUAUAACUUAUUUUAUCAUUUUGAAUGAAUUGCACGGCGAGGCUUAUCAACUUUGGAUGAAUCCUCCAAUUGUCACAGUCCAAGACUGGCUGCAGUGAGUGAAAAUUUACCCAUAUAUAUGCUGGCUAUUUUUAUUGGCGACGAAUUCGUUGUAGUUGGUCCAUCUUGCUAUUCUCGGACAAUAUUAGAGAAAAUAAUCAUAUUAUUUCGCGUGAUGUGACCUUCCAUAACUUAUCAAUUGAAUUACUGUAAAAUUAUUGUGUAAGUUUAGGCCCAAUGGCACUUUAGUUCAUCACAUGAUAGCCUGGAUUUAAAUGGAAAACUAUAUUGCAUUGCUUCAAAAAAAUAAAUUAAUGUUUUUAAUAUGAAUAUUUUUAACUAUAUUCAGUUAAAAUAAUAUAUUCUUAAUAUUAAUAUUCAUAGAUGAAAUUCUUUUGCGGAUUUAAGAAUAAAAUAUCAAAUAGUUUUAUUUUUCUUUUGUUGUGUAACUUGGACCGAAAAAGAAAAUGAGCUUAACAUGACCCUCCUUCCGGCACUAUGCAUGUUUUUCUUGUAUUGAUGACAGUGCUCUUGGUGCUUCUCAUCUGCUUCUUGCUUUGGUUUCAAACAAGUCUUUCUCCGUCAAGACAUUUAUUGUAAUUUCAUUUGGAGACAUCUGUCGUUCAAAUAUAUUUCAUAUUCAAGCUGUUGAUAAUUCUGCUUGAGAAAGCCUACAAAGCAGCUGUGUGAUGUAAUGGAAGACUAUAUAUGCAAGCGGUCAUCAGUUUCUCUUGAAUUCUUUCUUGAGUUUCUUUGAAUUAUUUGUGAAUGAGUUCUUAAUCGGCUGCUGCUCUUCAGGAAAAGGAAAGUUUUGCAAACUGGUGAAGCUGAUCGAUAAAAGCAAUGUACCAUCUUUGCUGGCAUGGAUCGAUGCCAGUGAGUAGCUCAUUGGUGGAAGUAUUGCCAGUAACAGAACCCAAAGCAAAUGAAACUAUUUCAAGGCAGCAGUUGGCGCUUGCAAGUGAAUGGAGGCCAUUGACAAAAUUCUCAAGUGGUUGCGAUGCAAUUACGAUCAUCCUCAGCCUCAUGUAAAUUCUUCUCCUGCUUUGUUUUUAUUUGUUAUCUAAUUAAGAAGCACAAAGUAUCUUCAAUCAUUUUCUGUAUCUGGAAUAUAUGCAACAGUUUCUAAAAUUUUGAAACGAGUGUAAGGAUGGUAAUUUCUGUUUUCUGCCUGUCAUCCAAUGUUAGACAACUUUCAUUGAGACUCUUGAACAGAGUCAUCUUUGCUGGCAUGGAUCGAUGCCAGUGAGUUUUUUUAUUUGUCAACCUUUUUAAUAAUGCAUAUGUGUUUCUUCAACUUGAAGCGGCAUAUAAGACGAAAGAAGUGAUCUUUAUCCAAUUGCUCCAAAUUAUUUGCAAAUUACUGAACACGAAUGCUGAUGAAUAAACUGAUGGCUCUAUGUAUGUAUGCACAUGCAUGGAGAAAUUUUAAGUCAGACAUUGACUCGUGGUACCAAAUCAUUAAAUAAUCUUGAAAUCAAAGUAAUAAUUAAAUACAAAUAAAUUGCUCGAAUUGUACAUAUAUCUGAAUCAUGUAGUGAAGAAAAUACAACAACAACAGCCAAUGGCUCAAAUUCCCUAUCAACUUCUAGUCUCAACACUUUUGAGUGUCAGAAGCAUUACUCUGCUACUAGUUAACAAACAUAUAAUUAGUAAUUUGCCAUUCACUUCCCUUUUAGGCCUAACACAUUUUCUAUAAAAGAGCCACAGAGUGAACUCAGCAGGAAACACUCAAUUUCAACCUACGUAGGACCAGGAAUUUCAACCAAAAAAAAAGUGUGCAAUUGCUUAUCCUAUCCUAUUGCUACUAGAAAGAAAGUGAACAAUUAAUUUCAGUGAAUAAAUUAAAAAAAAAAUUACUUCUGCAGAUACUCAAGCUAAGAACACAUUAACCCAUUAAAGACUCCAAAUUGCAUCAAACAAAUUGUUGUUAAACAAGUAAAACAAAGAAAGAGAGUUAAGGAAGCUGACCAAGUAGUAGGGGAGCUGAAGAAAGACUGCCAGUGAAUGUAAGAGAAAAUAAAAUGCAAGAAAUGGUGAAGUGCAGCUUUUCAUGUCAACUUGAAAUUGAGUUUUCUGUUUUUUUUUUUUUUUUUAAUCUUUUGGAUUUUUCAAACAAAGAAAAUGAGGAGCAACCAGGGAGAUAAAAAGGGCGCCAAGGCAACUGUGUGUUGGGUUUAGAGCCAAAAAAAAAAAGAAUAAGACAUCGUGUUCUUGUGGAGACCAGACCUAUUACGUAACGUCCCCUUCAAUACCACUAGUUCCGUAUCUGGUUUUUUCUUCGUCUUUUACAUAGUUUGCAAUUUUAUUCAUUUGAGCCCUACAGAUGAUAUAAGGGACAAGAGCGCAAAACAGAAACUCUGUCCACUACUGAUGAUAUAACAACGAACCGGGGUUUUUAAUUAAAUACCCUUUAAUAGUUUCAAAAUUAUUUAAAUACCUCCUCCCUUUUUAGUUUUCAUGGAUACCCUAACAAAAUUAUUUAAAAAUGGUUCAAUUUUAUUCUACUCUCAGGAAUUAAGUGUUGGAUAGACUAGAAAAUUCUGAGUACAAAGCAUCGCUUGUUUUCGUUGGUUUUUUUUUUGCAUUCCAGUAGAAAGGUUGUGUACAAUUGAAUCUGAUAACUAUGGCAGGAGGUAAGUUUUCUAACUUGCGCAUGAUGAAUAUAGUCUUUUAUUUCUUCCAUUGUAAUUUUUGUUUAAUAGAAAAUCUAUUUGAGAUUUUGUGAGAAGAAACUCAACAAUAAAGUUUGAUAGACUUUGUGGAUAUUAAGAGUUUGACAAGUAAUUGAAAUCUGAAGUUUACUGAAGUUUACGAGCAAACAAACUGAAAUCCGAAGUUUACUGAAGUUUACUAUCAAGAGUUUCAAAACAGUGAAAAAGAUGAUAUGGUUGAUGACAAAAACCUGAGUUAUCCAUAGCGACAAGUAACAUACUGAAGUAAGCCGUGGGGAGCUGGCCUGUUCAUGGGCUAUUUUUCUCUGAUGAUCUGCAUUUUUCUUCCUUUUAAGUGAACCUUGACUCGUAUCAAACCUGUCAAAAGAACAGUUCAUCAACUGAGCUGAGAUUUGCUUUCCUUUUUCAAAACCCACCUGAGAUAUUGUAAUUCCCAAAUUUCUCUCUCUCAGCUACACGAGCAAGCAGCCGCUUUUUCACUUCAUCGACGAAGGUAAGCGAUAAUAUCUAUUUCGUCCGAUUGAUUUCUUGUUUCCUUUUCAGUGUUCGGGUAAAUUAUUGGCAUGCCUGACUUUUUGACCAUUACAUGAUUCAUAAAUUUAUAUUAAUUUUGAUUUUGAGUUGACCGGUUACUUUUAUUGGUUUGCUUACUUUGACUAGGUGACCGAUUUCUUGUAACUAAAUUUAUGACGUGAUGCAGGAAGCUGGGCAGGAUAUGAAAUGAGAAUCUUAUUAGUGGAAGGAUUGCCAGUAACAGAACCCAAAGAAAAUGAAACCAUUUCAAGGCAGCAGUUGGCAGUUGGGAGUGAAUGGAGGCCCCUGACAAAACUUCAGUAAACUUCAGAUUUCAGUUUGUUUGCUCGAAACUUGCAUGGUGACAAGGAUACUGGCAAGGAUAAUGAGAUAGUUUUUGUGUGAAUGAAAUUACGAUCAUCCUCAGACUCAGGUAAUUUCUUCUCCUGCUUAGUUGUUAUUUGUUACCUAAUUAAGAAGCAUAAAGUAUCUUGAAUCAUUUUCGUUGUCUGGAAUAUAUGCAACAGUUUUUAAAAUUUUGAUAUCAGUGUAAUGAUUGUAAUUUCUGUUUUCUGUCUGUCAUCGAAUGUAAGACAACUUUAUUAAGAUUCUUGAACCGAGUCAUUUUUGACAAUUGAAGAACAAGUGCUGAAGAGUGGGAAUGCAAAAAGUUUUGUUGUUUUUAGCCUUGUUUUCUUUGAACCAGCGCCUGAUUCACAAGAGUUCAUUAAUUUGGCUUUUGAUCAGCUGAUUGAUAAAUGUUCAAUUUCUUUGGUGAUAAAUGUAUAUGUGAAGCAGGCAGCAGGGCAUGACUGUGGAAAAGAGAAGAUUUUAGUGAAAGCUGAGACUCAGAUAAUUCUACGCGUUUUGGCUGAUUUAUAUAAUUCGUGAAAUUUUAUUUCCAUCUGUUACAAGAUCAAACUGCAAUUAGCAAUUUAACAUUCCCUUAAAACCACUAGCUACAUUUCAUCUUUGCACAAUUACACUUAAAAUUCCACUAAAAGAAACUCUUGAGUUGCUCGCAAGCUAUAUGUCAUUAUCCAUUGAAUUCUUACCACAUACAUCUCACCUUUCAAUCAAUCACAUAAUAAUCAAUAUACAUAUUGUAAGAAUUCAACAAAUGGAGAACAUAAUAUACUAUAAAAGCAUCCAAAAUUUUUCCAUCUCAAAUUAUUACUAAACUUCUUGAACAAGUUGAAGAUUGGGGGGAAAAAGUGCAAGAAGGAAAAGCAUUAUUCUACUAGUUUCUAGGUUUCUCAUUUGAACAGAAAGAUUAAAUAAGAUAUUUGUGUAUGGCUGUAGUACUACACGGUAUCUGCUAGAAAGCAAAAUACCUUCUGCUGAUUGCACAUUGGAAUGGGAAUAAGUUGGUAAAUAUAUAAGUUACAUAAAUUAUUUUGGAUAAUUCUGCUGGUGAAUUAAUUAUCUUAAAAUCACCCUUUUAUUUUUUAAAAAAUCUUAAGUUAUUUUUCAUAUAUCUUAGGAAGACAAACAAACUUUCAUCAACUCUCCUUUUUUAGCUUUUCCCUUCAAUAAUGUUAGAAAUUCUAACAUUUGAGUCCUGCUUGAGCUUAAUACUAUUUAUCACUCAUUUAUUAGAUGAUGAAUUUUUUAAAUUAUAAAGUUAUUUGACUACCAUUCAAUGAAUGAAUGUCACAUCAUUUAAAACUCAAAGAAAAGUAUUCUACUUCUUGCGGCAAUCAUGCCUUCAUUCAGACUAUGAACCAUUUCCUUUCACCAAAUUCUUCAUAAACAUUGAAUAAGUUUCAUGGUUGGACAUAGUUAGCUUCUGUUUCUUUUGGUGCAUUUAGGUGCUAUCAAGUGACGGCCGUAAGUAUGAUUGCAUUAUUGGGAAUUUUACGAUUUGAUGGUUCCCCACGUUAUUGCCAAGAAAGUUCUCAUGUCGGAAGCAGCGGUUCUUUUCAUCAGCCUGAACCCGAACCUGUCGCUAUGGAUAACUCAGGUUUUUGUCAUCAACUAUAUCAUCUUUUUCACUGUUUUGAAACUCUUAAUAUUAAACUUACAGUAAACUUCAGAUUUCAGUUUGUUUGCUCGAAACUUGUAUGGUGACAAGGAUACUGGCAAGGAUAAUAAGGUAGUUUUUUGUGUGAGUGGAUUUUGAGAGCUUGUGUGUAUAGGGAUUUGCAAUUACAAUCAUCCUCUGCCUCAGGUGAUUUCUUCUCCUGCUCUGUCUUUAUUUGCUCUCUAAUUGAAAAGCAUAAAGUAUUUCAAUCAAAUUCUGUACCAGGAAUAUGUAAAAGUUCCUAAUAUUUUAUUUUCAUUUGUUUGCAUUGAUAACUUGACGGCAUAUGUACUAGUUAAAGAACAAACAGAAUCAGAGCUCAAGAAAAAGUUUUUUCUGCCAUCAUAUUUGAAAAUGAAGUCAUUUGCAGGAAGCGGUUGGCAGCAAAUUCAUACAAAGUGUAGACAAUGAUGAGCAAAAAAGGUGAUUCACAGUUUGAUUUUUUUUUAAUAAUGAAAAUAAUUUGGUAGGUUGAAGCUGAUAUUGUAAGAGGGCCAUUGAGCUAACCUAUGUCGCUACUUGCCAAGAUUGCAGGGCGUUAAGACUCAAAAGAAGCACUGAAUUUUAAAAGGCAUGCAAUAGUUCUUGUGCCAUAUGUCAAUUCAUGCAAGUUGGAAUAAGUUUAUUGGUUUGAACGCUGUUAGCUCCUUUUCCUUUCGUGCAUUUUGGUAUGCUAUCAAGUGACAGCCGUAUGUAUGGUUUGCAUAUAGCUGCUGCUGGGAAAUGUGAGGAUUUCAUGGCUGGCCGUGUUAUUGUUUUAAAUUAGAUGUGAUAAGCUGUUGCUUGGAGAUUCUGUUGCCAAGACUUUGCUCACAUCAGAAGCUGUGGAACCUCAACCCUUCUCUAGAUAUCAUCUUUUUCAUUGUUUUAAAACUCUCAGGAUUAAACUUGAGUAAAUUUGUUCGGUUGUCUAUAUAAUCAUGUAUUGAGUAAACUCUCAGGAUACCGAGCAGGCAAAUGCCAUAACUCGGUUUGUUCUUCAAAAACUUGUUUAAGAUUCUUGACAAAGCUGCAUGAAGUGAAUCUUGGGAGCUUUGAGGGUGAGAGAAAUUAGAGGGUGUAUAGGGAUUUGGGUUUAUUAGUAAGUUAUAUAUGUAUUUCGUCACUUAUCAUUAUCAUUUUUAUUUUCACAGAAAACCUUCUGAUGGUGCUAAAUUUUCAAACACCGGUCCGAUUCAAAACUUCAUAUUCCAAUUAUAUUCAUAAGACAAAUGGAACACUUUGAACGGCUAGUGUCCGAGCAUUGUAGUUUGAUUUAUUUUGAUGAAAGUACCUUUUGACAUUGAGAUUCUUUCAUGAUUUAAACAUUCUUUUUUAAACCAAAUUAUUAAAAAAAGUAACUAACAUAUAUUAUUUUAUUAGUGCUUUUUAAAUCAAAUAUACAUAGGAGAACUGUAAUUCUUAGCAAUCAAUUUUUCACUAAAUACACCUGCAAUAAACUAUUAAUAACAAAGUGAUAGAAAAUACCUGAUUUUUCAUACUUUCUAAUUUCUUGUGGUCCUAAAAUAUGGGCAUUUGUGUAAUAAUUAGCCCAUGUGGAUCUCUAUGCCAUGAGUUUGAUAAAUAGCUAUCAAGGAUCACUUAUUAAGCUGAAAAUAUUUGGAGGACAAAAUUGUAAAACUAAAAGGGUAGAGCAAAUAUGGCUAUCUAGGAUUAAAUAGUAAGUCAACUAUAUUUAAAGGAUAAAAUGUUAAAACUUGAACUGUGAUAUUAAAAAUAUCUCAACUAUUACAUUAUUAAACCAUAUGUUCUAAUAGUUUUUUUUUAAGCUUCAAAAUGUUCAGGAUUUUAGAUUGAAACAUUUUCAUUUGAAAUUAUUUGGUGCAGUCACAAGUUAAGAAAGAAAAAGUUGUCCCAUUGGUCAUUUCACAAAAAUGAAAGCCCUGUAUAACAUGGACUUGAAUGGAAGCCCAAUUGUUUGUGUUUGAUUAAUUGAUUUCAAGCUUUAUCGGAUCUUUGGACCUGGAUACUUUACCGCGGCCUCUAAGCGCUAUAAUUUUUUUUUUUUUGGGAUAAACGGCGCUUCAAUGAGGGCAUUUCCAAUACUUAACACUAUUUUGGUGUAACACCAACACUAAAAAUGUACAUUUUUCACACUAAAUUACUAUUUAAUCUCCAACCCAUUUGAUCUACCAUGAUUGUGACUCCCACUGGGGCCACGUUCUGUUGAUCACCCUCUCGUCACCGAUAGCGCCUCCGCUUGUGGCGAACUUGCUUGUCUAUUUUCCCUAUUUUUCCGCUUACUCUCCUCAUUUAAUACGGAGGCUGCAACAUCAUCGAAAACUAGACUGUCCACUGAAUUGUAGUUUGUCAGGUUGACGAUGAGUUGUUCAUACGAAUCUUAUAGACUUUGAAGUAGAAGCUCUGCAUGUACAUUAUCCUCUAUAUUAUGACCCAACGUUGUGAGUUGUGAAAAUAGAGUCUUCAAGGUGUUGAUGUGGUCGGUCACCAUUGUAGAUUCCACCAUUCGAAGAGUAUAAAGUCUCCUCUUCAAAAAGAUUUUGUUGUGUAGUGACUUGGCCUCGUACAAUUUUGUAAGAGUAUCUCAUAUUUCCUUUGCUGUAUUUUUCUCUGCCACACUGGAUAAUACUCCAUCCGCAAGUGCCAAGUGUAGAUCAGAAAUAGCGUUGCCAUCUAUCUCAUUCCACUUGUCAUCAGUUAUCUCCAUGGGCCUUUCUCCAAUUGCUGCCAAACAAUUAUUUUUCCUCAAUACAACUUUCAUCUUCAUUUUCCACAAUGAAAAAUUAUUUCCGUUAAACUUCUCAAUUUCAUAUUUUGCUGCCAUUUUUUUGAUAAAUACCGCACACAAGUUAGUGUAUCACCUUGAAUAGUUGUCGGUAUGUGUGAGAAUGCACACCAGGAAAGUUCCCAGGAAAGACUGGAGGGGUCACACUGGUCCACUUAAAACUCAGACUCCUUAAGCACUUAUCGCGUUUGUAACAGAACUUUCCUAGACAUGUACAAAACCACACAGUUGCUUUUACUUACACCACUAUUUCCUACUUUGCAGUGCAAAAGUUCUUGGAUCGCUCCCAUCGUUUCUCGUGAACAGUACCAUAUACGUGAACAGUGCCACAUACAUGAAUAGUACCGUAUACGUGAACAGUACCGUAUACGUGAAUACUACCCUUUACGUGAACAGUACUUGACUCCAAAAAAUUCAACCAAUAGCUUUGAUACCACUGUUAGGAAAUUGGUAGGUGAAGCAGACACGCAGCUAAAAUAAAAUUGGAAGAAAAUAAAGAACAAGUACAAAGUGGACACCAAGAAAUUACGUGGUUCGGCUUUUAGCCUACGUUCACGGGCGAAGAUAGAAGGAAAAUAUUAUACUAGUGAUAUGAAGAUUACAAGUAUUGUAAUAUUUUGGCUCACUAUCCAAAACCCCAAUACACUCAAUCUCUCACUCAAUAAACUCUCAGGAGCUUUAUUAUUUUAAGCUCUUAAAAUCUCUCAAGCUUUCUCCUUAUUAUUCUCUCACAAAUUGUAUGCUAAAAUUAGGGUGGGAAGCCCUCUUUAUAUAUCCAAGAUUUUGGCUCUUUUUUUUUUAUAUAACAAGUCAACACGGCACCAUUAAGAAUGGCGAGCCAUGUUGAAUGGCAUGGCACCGCCCAUCUAGAUGGCCGGUGCCAACCAUGACUUUAACAUUCUAUCACUUGGAGAUUUGAUUGAGAAUCAAUCAAUCUCCACAUCAUCCUUUCUACUUCGCCAUAAUCAUGUUGCCUACGUUUUUACUAGGCCACAAGAGGAUCUACUCCAGUUAAACUUAUCAAUAUUGAUUGGCUUAGUCAAAACAUCUGCUAGGUUCUCCUUCGUAUGGAUUUUUGCAAAUUGACACUUCCAUCUUCCACUACUUCUCGAACGAAGUGAUACUGAACUCCUAUGUGCUUUGUCUUGGAAUGAAAGGCUGGAUUCCUUGCAAUGUGCAAGGCACUCUGACUGUCACAAAACACAGGAAUUUUCUGUUGUUUGUGCCCGAGCUCCUCCAAUAAUCUUUGUAUCCAAAUAGCUUCCUUGCAAGCUUGUAUAGCUGCCAUGUAUUCUGCUUCUGUUGUAGAUAAAGCCAGAACGGUCUGCAGUUUCCAAACCCAACUUACAACUCCUCAUGCAAAUGUAAACACAUAACUAGUAGUGGAUUUCCUUUUAUCAAGGUCUCCUGCAAAAUCUGAAUCCACAUAGCCCCUGACAGUAAACUCUGAUCCUCAAUAACAUAAUACAACAUCUGAGGUUCCUCUUAUGUAUCUCAGAAUCCUCUUCACAGCUAUCCAAUGCUGUCCACCAGGAUUCACCAUGUAUCGACUGAUUGCUCCCACUGCUUGUGCAAUGUCUGAUCUUGUACAUAUCAUAGCGAACAUCAAACUUCCCACUGCUGAUGCAUACGGUACUUGAGACAUCUCCUUCCUCUCUGCUUCAUUGCUAGGACACAUACUUGAGGAUAAUUUGAAAUUAACAGGAAGUGGGGUAGAAAUUGACUUACAAUCUUGCAUGUUGAAGCGCCACAAGAUUUUCUUCAAGUAGUUAUUCUCAGAAAGCCAAAUCUUUCUGUUAUUUCUGUCUCAGUGAAUUUGCAUCCCUAGAAUCUUGUUUGCUGGUCCCAAGUCCUUCAUUUCAAACUCCCUAGCCAACAGUGCCUUCACUUCUUGGAUUCGAUCUUUGUCGGGGCCUGCUACCAACAUGUCAUCCACAUAUAACAACAAAAUAAUGAAAUCAUUAUCUUCAAACCUUUUGUAAUAUGCACAAUGGUCUGAACUGAGUCUGUUAUAUCCAAGACUCAUGAUGAAGGAAUCAAAUCUCUUAUACCAACACCUCGGCGCCUGUUUGACACCGUAUAGAGAUUUGUUCAACCUACAAACCAAGUUUUCCUUUUCUGUUUCUGCAAAACCUUCUGGUUUGAGCAUAUAAAUUUUCUCUUCAAGUUCUCCAUGAAGAAAUACAGUUUUCACAUCUAACUGCUCUAGAUGUAGGUCAAAUAUAGCACACAUUGCCAAGACUACUCUGACUGUUGUGAGUCGAACCACCGGAGAAAAUAUCUCGUUGAAGUCAAUACCUUCUUUCUGAGCAUAUCCUUUCACCACCAAUCUUGCACGAUACCGCUCCACUUGAUCAUUGCCAUCACGUUUGAUCUUGUAGACCCAUUUGUUUCCAAUGACUUUUCUUCCAUGUGGUAGUGGUACAAGUUCCCAUGUCUUAUUUUUAUGUAGAGCUUCAAUUUCUUCCUGCAUUGCUGUCAUCCACAAAGCAACAUUUGAACUUUCUAAAGCUUCAUGGAAAGUUGAUGGCUCUCCAUCCUCUGUUAGAAGACAGUAUGCAACAUGGAUCUCUGUGACAUACUCCGAGUGCCACGCUGGCGAUCGUCUCUCACCAAUUGACCAAAGAACUUCUGGAGUCUCAGACUCGACUGGUUCUUGUUCCUCGUGCUCUGGUGCUGCUUUAGAAGAAUCUGAAUCUUCUAGAUUAUUUCCACAUAUACCGGCACAGUUUCUGACUUUUCUUUUACAGUGUCAUCAUCUCCAUCUUUCCUUUACAGUUGAUCUUCUACAAAAAUAACAUCUCUGUUGAUGACGAUCUUGUGGGCAGUGGGGUCCCACAAACGAUACCCCUUUACUCCAUUAGCAUAUCCCAAGAAGAUACAUCUUCUAGAUUUUGGAUCCAGCUUUGUUCUUUCUUACGGAUUGUACAUCACAUACACAGGACAUCCAAAUGCAUGUAAGUAGGAAUAAUCAGCUGGCUUUCCAGUCCACAUCUCCACGUUGUCUUCAGCCCAAUAGCUGUAGAUGACGACUGAUUUACUAUAUAACAAGCAGUUUUGGCUGCUUCUUCCCAAAAUGAAUUGGGUAGACCAGCAGUCCUCAACAUAGCUCUUAUUCUUUUGUAAGAGUUUUGUUCAUCUACUCCGCCACUCCAUUUUGUUGAGGAGUGUAUGCUACCGUGAACUGUCUAUGAAUACCUUCUUACUUACAGAAAGCAAGAAACUCACCGUCUGUAUACUCUCCACCAUUAUCUGUCCUCAAGCACUUGACCCUUUUACCAGAUUCAAGUUCCACCCGCGCUUUGUAUUCUUUAAAUACUGGAAAUAUAAUUGACUUUUUCAUAAUUGGAUACACCCAACAUCUCCUGGAAUAAUCAUCAAUGAAAGUCACCAUAUACUUUGCACCUCCCAUGGAUAUAUCCAGUGAUUCCCAAACAUCAGAAUGAAUCAAGUCUAAAAUGCAUUUACUUCUAGCAAUAGAUUUACUGAAUUUUAAUCUAUGCUGCUUACUUGUAACACAAUGCUCGCAAAAUGGUAAACUUACCGAUUUAAGCCCCGGAAGUAAUUUUCACUCAGAGAGAAUCUUCAAACAUUCUGACAUGUGACCAAAUUUGAGAUGCCACAUCAUCGUUGACUCUUCUCCAUUUGAUACGAGACACGCAUUAGCCUCCUAUAGUGUUUCUCCUUUAAGCAUGAAUAGAUUAGCACCGAUCUUUUCUGCCUUCAUCAAUACAAGCGCUCUUUUAACAAUUUUCGUAAUUUCAUUCUCCAUAUGAGUUUUAUACCCAUGACUAUCCAUUUGUCCCAAAGACAAUAGAUUUUUAUUCAGGUCAUUGACAUGUCGUACCUCCCCAAUUGUGCGAAUUGUACCAUCAAAAUUUUUAUUUUGAUAGUGUCAAUACCAGCGAUCUCCAAGGUAUGAUCAUUACCCAUAUAUAUAGAUCCUCCUGAGAUAUGUUCAUAUGUGUGGAACCAUUCUCUCCGAGAGGUCAUGUGCCAGGUAGCUCCUGAGUCUAUAAUCCAGACAUCAGAUAGUCGUUUUCUACCUUCUAAAACAGUUGUUGCCUCGCUUUAGAGAAUUUCACCAUUAUCUGAAGUACUUGCUACACACCCUUGAGCAUUUGAUGACUCAGGUUAUUUGCCCUCUCUUCUCUUCUGGUUACUCCAACACUUUUUCUUGACGUGCCCUUUCUUGCCACAGUUGUAGCAUUUAACAUUCUUCUUACUUCUGGAUUUUGAUCUACCAUGAUUAUGACUUCUACUGGGGUCACGUUCUGUUGAUCUCCCUCUCGUCACCAAUAGCGUCUCCGCUUGCUGCGAACUUGCUUGUCUGCUUUCAUUAUUUUUCCGCUUACUCUCCUCAUUUAAUACGGAGGUUGCAACAUCGUCGAAAACUAGACCGUCCGCUGGAUUGUUGUUUGUUAGGUUGAUGAUGAGUUGAUCAUACGAAUCUGGUAGACUUUGAAGUAGAAGCUCUGCAUGUACAUUAUCCUCUAUAUUAUGAUCCAACGUUGUGAGUUGCGAAAAUAGAGUCUUCAAGGUGUUGAUGUGGUCGGUCACCAUUGUAGAUUCCACCAUUCGAAGAGUAUAAAGUCUCUUCUUCAAGAAGAUUUUGUUGUGUAGUGACUUGGCCUCGUACAAUUUUGUAAGAGUAUCUCAUAUUUCCUUCGCUGUAUUUUUUUCUGCCAUACUGGAUAAUACUCCAUCCGCAAGUGCCAAGUGUAGAUAAAAAAUAGCGUUGCCAUCUAUCUCAUUCCAUUUGUCAUCAGUUAUCUCCAUGGGCUUUUCUCCAAUUGCUGCAAAACAAUUAUUUUUCCUCAAUACAGCUUUCAUCUUCAUUUUCCACAACAAAAAAUUAUUUCCGUUAAACUUUUCAAUUCCAUACUUUGCCGUCAUUUUGUUCAUAAAUACCGCACACAAGUUAGUGUACCACCUUGAAUAGUUGUCAGUAUGUGUGAGAAUGCACACUAGGAAAGUUCUCAGGAAAGACUGGAGGGGUCACACUGGUCCCACUUAAAACCCAAACUCCUUAAGCUCUUAUCGCCUUUGUGACAGAACUUUCCUAGACAUGUACAGAAUCACACAGUUGCUUUACUCACACCACUAUUCCCUGCUUUGCACCGCAAAAUUCUUGGAUCGCUUCCACCGUUUCUCGUGAACAGUAUCGUAUACGUGAACAAUGUCGUACAUGUGAAUAGUAUCAUACAUGUGAAUAGUAUCGUAUACGUGAACAGUACCGUAUACAUGAAUACUACCCUUUACGUUAAGAAAUUGGUGGGUGAAGCAGACACGCAGCUAAAAUAAAAUUGGAAGAAAAUAAAGAACAAGCACAAAGUGGACACCAAGAAAUUACGUGGUUCGACUUUUAACCUACGUCCACGGGCGAAGACGGAAGAAAAAUAUGAUACUAGUGAUAUGAAUAUUACAAGUAUUGUAAUAUUUUAAUUUACUACCCAGAACCCCAAUACACUCAAUCUCUCACUCACUAGACUCUCAGGAGCUUUAUUAUUUUAAGCUCUUAAAAUCUCUCAAGCUCUCCUUAUUAUUCUCUCACAAAUUGGAUGCUAAAAUGAGGUGGGAAGCCCUCUUUAUAUAGCCAAAAUUUUGGCUCCUUUUUUUUUUUUAUAACAAGUCAACACGGCACCACCAAGAAUGGUGGGCCGUGUUGAAUGGCAUGGCACCGCCCAUCUAGAUGGCCGGUGCCAACCAUGACUUUAACAUUAUAGUCCAAGUUUUCGAGGACCACUAUAUUGUAUUGAUUUAAAAAAAACUAAUAUUUUUAAUAUUAAUAUUCUAAAUUAUAUUCAGUUAAAAUAUUAAAUAUUAAAAACAUUCUUAAUAUUAAUAUUCUUAGAUGAAAUUAUUUUGCUGACUUAAGAAUAAAAUAUUAAAUAAUUUUAUUUUUCUUUUAUUGUGUAACGUGGACCAAAAAAAAGGAAAUGAAUUUAAUAAAACCUUCAUUCAAAACCUUCAUUCCGCCACCAUGCAUGCAUGUUAAUUGUUUCCAAAUUCCAACCUCCGUACUCUCUUGAGGAGUUUCCCAUUCAUCAAUUAUUAUUUUUUAUAAUCCAUACCAUCCUGAUAUAAUUAAACACCAUUAAUAAUGUACCAGCCUUUAAAUAGUAAUUAAUUUAUUUAGUUGGCCACCUAAAAGAAUCCUGCAGGAAAUAGAGGUUAAAAAUUUUAUUAAAUUUGCUUACCGCUGUAUCAUUAUAUAUAUAAAGAGUGAAAUCUAAAUGAAAUUUUUUAUCAUCCAUUCAGCAAACACUUAUAAUUCACAAAUAGUGAAUCUAUGCAUUGACAAUGUGGAUUAAGAAUUAUAACACAUGAAUUCAAACAUACCCUUGUGAAGUUAAGAAUAAGUUCAUACUUCAAAUGAUUUUUUAGCUAAUAAAGCAAUCAGUUUCAUUAAACGACAGCGUUGAAGGAAUUGUGCAAUUUUUUACGUUCUUUUCUAGACAGACGUUACAGAAAUGGGGUAAGUAGAGGGCUGGCCUCAGAUAUCUCACAAUUGUUAGUGAGAUAAAAUGUUAUUGUAAAAGGCGUUUAAUAGAAUAAUAUUAAUUCUUUUGCAUUGUUAUAAAAAUAUUUUUUUCUUUUGACAGUUCUGCAGGACAAGUGAUCAGAGCUCAAUGAAUAUAGCCGUGGAGGCACAGCAGAGCAGGAUUAUGAAAAAGAGAAGCUUAUUACAGGUCAUUCAAGUUUACUUGCUUUUAUAUAAUAAGUGUUUUGGCCGAUUUAUCUAAUUCACCAAAUGUUUUUUCCGGUACAUAUCUCCAUUGGUAUCAAGAAGAGGCAGAACCCAAAGAAACGUUUCUUGCAUCUUCAUAUUUGUGCGCAUUCAUCCUUUCAUUGAGAAUAACCAUUUCCAGGCAGCAGUUGCCAAUCAAUUCGCACGUCGAUGCUAUUCAUAGAUAUUAAAGACAAUGAUGAACCAAAGGUGAUAAAUCAUAAAUGCAUAAUUACCAAACCUCCAUCCUUCUCUCAUUAUGAUUUGAUUUUAAAUGAAUUAUUGCUUGGUAACAUUAUUUCCAACCAUUGCAAGACCUUUUUUUUUUUUUGGGAGAAAUUUCAAUUGAAAGUGAAACCUUUAGACAUUUACCUAAUGAAGUUAGUUAAUCGGGAGGGUGGAAAAAAAAAAGUUGACGCAAGUCAAUACACAAUAAUGAUUAAUUAAAUCCGGAGUGACUAAAACAGAGCCACUACUUUUUCAAAAAUAUCUGCAUUCAUCACUUUCUCCAGCAGCUAGUCAGCUACACACGAAUCAAUUUCUCUCCUCGUUUGUCAUCCAAAAUUAUUCACCAAUACCAUGGCUGAUGCAAUCGUUUCCACUAUCUUGGAGCAGCUGAUUUCCUUCGCUGCUGAAGAGAUAAAACAACAGGUGAUCGAAGUUACACCCCUCAUAUUACAAAUACUUCCAAUGAUUUUAAUUGGUUUUGUUUUUAUCAAAAACAUUAUAUAUUUUUGCUUUUUUUUAUUUAUCUGAUAAUUUUAUAUUUUGAAAUUUGAAUUGAAUUUAAUUAAAAGGUGAUGUAGUAACCACUCAUUUUUAUUUUAUUUCAUUUAUAUUCUCGAUAACUAACCAUAUUUUGGUAACUUAAUAUAACUCUCGUACAUAAGAAAUGAUCCAAACCCACAAUUUUAACUCUGUAUAAAUAUUCAACGUUGAGUCAUUAAUUCUCAACUCAGCACUGAAUCCCAUAGCUAUUACUUAGACUCUAUGAAAAAUUUCAUAGUUUUCUUACAUUCUUUGAGUUUGGUAAGUGAUUUCGUAUAAUUUCUUUUCAAGUUAAAUUUUAAUUUGGUUUAUGAUAUAGUCUCUGUGCCGAAUUGUAUCUUUUAUGAUUCUUGGAUUUUGGGCUCCAACUUUUUAGGAUUUGAUAGUCACAUUUUAUGCCAUGCUCAGAUUGAUUUUCAUGAUUUUAACUACCCGUUAAGUGGCUUACAAUUUGACAAAAGUUUGAAAGGAAAUAUGUUUCAGGAUUCUGUUUUAAUUGACCUUUAAGUAGAAAUAGGAUGCUUAUAACUUAAUGUGGAUGGUUUGUAAAAUCAUGAAAUUCGGAUAGGAUUCACUAGAAAUAUGUACAAGACUCUCCAUAAAGUUUCAUAAUUUUUCAUUCGGUAUGGGGUGGUACAGGUGAAACUUGUGGUUGGUGUUGAAAAAGAAGUGAAAAGCAAGUUGUGCUCGAUGAUGCAGAGGAAAAGCAAGUGAAGGACAAAGCUGUUAGUCUUUGGCUGGGUAGACUCAAGUACGCAUCCUACGACAUUGAAGAUGUGUUGGAUGAGUGGAUCACAGCAAGACGCAAAUUGCAAAUUGAGGGUGGCGUUGAUGAAAAUGCUCUUGUUGUUCCUCAUAAGAAAAAGAAGGUAUGUCUCUACUUUCCCGGCUCUUGUUUUGGAUUCAAACAAGAAGAAUUUGGUUUCAAACAAGUCUUUCUCCGUCAUGACAUUGCCGACAAGAUCAAAGAAAUCAAUGAAGAGCUACAUGAUAUUGCCGCUCAAAAAGACAUGUUUGAUCUUGUUAAGAGUGGCAAUAAAAGUAGUGAAAGACCAAGGCGUGUACAGAGUACCUCCUUGAUUGAUGAAGAAGAGAUUUGUGGCAGAGUUGGUGAGAGGAAUGAACUCUUAAGCAAGCUGUUGUGUGAGAGUAGCGAGCAACAAAAAGGCCUUCAUAUCAUCUCAAUCGUUGGUAUGGGAGGCAUAGGGAAAACAACUCUUGCACAACUAGCUUGUAAUCAUGACGAGGUGAAGAGAAAGUUCGACAAAAUUCUGUGGGUGUGUGUAUCAGAAACUUUUGAGGAGUUUAGGGUUGCCAAAGCGAUCGUUGAAGUUUUGGAUGGUCGUGAAUCUCAUUUAGCUGAAUUCCAUUCUCUUCUUAUAAGUAUUGAUAAAUCUAUUGCGGGAAAGAGAUUUCUUCUUGUCUUAGAUGACGUAUGGGACGGAGAUUACAUUAAGUGGGAACCGUUCUACCGUUCCCUAAAGAAUGGUCUCCAAGGAAGUAAAAUUUUGGUUACUACACGUAAGGAGUCAAUUGCGUUUAUGAUGGGAUCCAUUGAUAUUAUCUCUAUCAAGGGAUUGGCCGAAGAAGAAUGUUGGUCGUUGUUUAAGCGGUUAGCAUUUUUCGGUCGAUCCAUUGAGGAAUGUGGAAGAUUGGAACAAAUUGGACAAAGAAUUGCAGGAAAGUGUAAAGGCUUACCUCUUGCAGCAAAGGUAAUAGGGAGUCUCAUGCGUUCUAAAAAAACUGAAGAAGAGUGGCAAAGAAUCUUAAAUAGUGAGCUAUGGAAAAUAGAAGAGAUCGAGAAAGGUGUUCUAACUCCUUUGUGGUUGAGUUAUAACGAUUUGUCAUCUCGAGUAAAAAGAUGUUUUUUAUAUUGUGCUGUCUUUCCAAAAGACUACAAUAUAAAAAAAGACAAACUAAUUACAUUAUGGAUGGCUCAAGGUUAUCUUAAUGCAGAACAAAAUGAAGAGAUGAAGACAAUAGGUGAAGAGUAUUUUGGCAUCUUAGCUUCUCGCUCUUUCUUUCAGGAGUUUACGAAAAGUUAUGAUAAUCGUAUUAUAUGGUGCAAGAUGCAUGAUAUGGUGCAUGAUUUUGCCCGAUUUGUAAGUCAAAAUGAAUGUUUUUCGAUGGAAAUUAACGGCAGUGAGGAACCAAACGCCACAAACUCUCCUCAUGGGAAGCUUCGUCAUUUAAUGUUAAUCAUUGGUGAAGGGGCUUCAUUUCCUGUCUCCACUUGUAGAGUCAAAAGAAUGCGAAGCCUCUUAAUUGAUAGUAGCAGAUUUGAUUAUCAGUCGUUAAAUGGUGAGAUCCUAGAAGAAUUAUUGAGGGAAUUGACAAGUUUAAGGGCAUUCGAUUUUUGCAGAUCGGACCACACACGAUUGGGUUUCACUCUAGAGAUUCCAAGAAAUAUAAAAAAGCUGAUACAUUUAAGAUACCUUAAUUUGUCUGGUCAGAAAAUAGAGAAGCUACCGGAGGCAUUGUGCGAGCUAUAUAAUCUAGAGAAGUUAGAUAUUUGUGGUUGUUGGUGUCUUAAAGAAUUACCUGAAGGGAUUGGGAAGUUAAUAAACAUGAAGCAUUUACUAAAUAGAAAUACCGAUUCUGUAAGGUACAUGCCAGUAGGGAUUGCGAGAUUAAAGAGUCUUCAGACAUUGGAAGAGGUCAGUGUGAGUGGAAGAGGAUGUCUUGAUGGUAGGAAAGCAUGUAGGCUCGAAUCUCUUAAAAACUUGGAACACCUUCAAAUAUGCGGUAUACGUGGACUGGGUGAUGUAUCAGACGUGGGCGAGGCUAAGCGAUUAGAACUUGACAAAAAUAAAUACCUCUUCAGUUUGACCCUUUGGUUUGAUAAGAAGGAGGAAGAAGGAGAAAGGAGGAAGAACGAGGACGAUCAACUUCUUCUUGAAGCCCUGCAACCACCUCUGGAUUUAAAGAAAUUAACGAUAUGGUCAUACAGAGGCAACACUGUUUUCCCCAGCUGGAUGAUGUCAUUAACCAAUUUAAGGAGUUUAGGUCUCUGUUACUGCAAAAAUUGUGAGCAGCUGCCUCCUUUGGGAAAAUUGCCAUCCCUUGAAACGCUCCACAUAUUGGGCAUGAAUAGUGUGAAAAGAGCGGGUAAUGAAUUUUGGGGUAUAGAAAGUAAUCACCAUGACUCAUCUUCAUCUUCAUUUUCAUCAGUUAUUAUUGCCUACCCCAAAUUAAUAUCACUUUCAAUUCAUUGUCUGACGGAAUUGGAGGAGUGGGAUUAUGGGAUUACUAGAACGGGAAACACGUUCAUCAACAUCAUGCCACGUCUUUCUUCCUUGCGAAUUACUAUGUGCCCCAAACUAAAGGCACUGCCCGACCACAUUCAUCAAACGACAACACUGAAGGACUUGACCGUUGGGUGGAACUCUGAUCUUCUGCAAGAACGUUACAGCGAGGGUAUAGGAGAAGACUGGCCUAAGAUAUCUCACAUUCCCAACGUCAGGAUUUGGCAAGACGUAAUUUCUUCUCCUACUCUGAUUUGCUUUGUUGUUGUUUUUAAUCUAAUUAAGACGCAUAAAUAGCAUUUUGAUUUUGAGUUGACAAUUUUCUGGACCAGUGAUCAAGGGUGAGAAUGGCGCUAGGAUAUUGAAUAAGGCACUGAACUUAGGCUGAUGUCAAAAGAGGUAAAUUAUUGACAUGUGUAGCUAAUUUGACCGUUUCCUGAUUCAUAAGUCUACAUUAAUUUUGAUUUUGAGUUGAGUGAUUACAUUUUAAGGUUUGCUUACUUAACAGGGCCAGGACAUGAAAUGAGAAGCUUAUUAGUGGCAGUUGGCAGUGAAUGGAGGACCUUGACUAAAUUCUCAAGCGGUUGCACUGCAGUUACGCUCAUCCUAAGCCUCCUGUAAUUUCUUCUCCUGCAUUUUUGUAAUUUGCUAUCUAAUUAAGGAGCGUAAACUAUUUUGAAUCGACUUCUAUAUCAGGAAUAUAUGCAACAUUUUCUAAAAGUUUGAUAUGAGUGUAAUGAUGGUAAUUUCUCUUUUUUGUCUGUCAUCGAAAUGUAAGAUAACAUUCAUUAAGACUCUUGAGAGUCGUUUUUGGCAAUUGCAGGACAAGUGAUGAAGAGUGAGAAUGGUGCUAGAUUGGGGAUUAAAGCAAAAGGAGGUAAAUUAUUGGCAGAGAAUUGUGAGAGCUUGAGUGUACUGGGAUUUGCAAUUACAAUCAUCCUCUGCUUCAGGUGAUUUCUUCUCCUGCUCUGUCGUUGUUUGUAUCUCAAUCAAAUUCUAUAACUGGAAUAUGCAAAAGUUUCGAAUUUUUUAUUUCUAUCUGCUUGCAUUGAUAACAUCACGGCAUA